This 158286-nucleotide long non-coding RNA is filed under the name Panax ginseng (ginseng). RNAcentral describes it as "long non-coding RNA (PGIN_LNC007104)". Lineage: Eukaryota; Viridiplantae; Streptophyta; Magnoliopsida; Apiales; Araliaceae. The record is from RNAcentral.
ACGUUUUCAGUCCCGUCAAGAGCAAAUAUGAUAUCUCCAUAGUCAAACUUAUUGAAGAAUUCCCCAGCUUUGAGCGAAAAUGGUGUGUUUCUCGGAUAAUUCAUCAAUCCAUAUCCGUUCACUUGCGAGGAUCCAUUCGGAAGAGUAAGUGUAAGACUCACCGGACUUGCUAUGUUAAAGUUGUCUUUCAGCAGCACCACAAAAGAUACCUCAUAAGAUAAAUUUUCAAGCUUUUCUGUCAUAUAGUUUCCGUCAACAUGUAGGACUAAGCUACCAAUUAAUUCAGCACUGUCAGGACUGUACAAAAUGAUAGUAGAAUUAAAGUCAGAAACUUUUGAUAUAAGGAGCUUAAAUUCAUUAGGUGAUUUUAUUGAUUUAUUUAUUUUUUGCUGGAAUAUUUUUAAUGCGAGUCCUUCUAUCUAACUAGACUUCAAUAAAAUUUCUAUAGUCCUUCUAUCACUUUAAUUUAAUGACAAAGUUGCUUAUAUAUCCCUAUUUUUAACUGAAUAAAAUUCAGGUGUUUAAACACAAAUCUUGACCUUUGACGUCAAUUAAGUUAACUAAAUCUUAUUUCUACUUACGUAAACUUCCAGCCUGAAGGGUUGGCAUAAUUGAGUUUACUGGCAGGUACAUAAGCGCCAGAACUCUGAAUAAGACGAGAAAAAAAAAUUCAUAUCAUCCAUUACAAAAAAAUUUCACUUGCAAAAUUUACAAAUAUUAAGGAUUAUUUUUGUUCUAUAGCCAACUUUAGCUAUAUAUAUGAUGUUUGUUUACAAUUUCAGUAGACUUACCUUCUGGCCUAUUCCGCCGUUUUGGAGCAACUCCAUUUCCUUGGCUUGGGACAACAAUGCCUUGAGGUCAACCUCAUUAUGCCUCACUACUUGUGCCAUCUCCUCGAUCGAUCGAUAACUAUCCUUUAAUUCUGCUAUAUAUAUAUAUAUAUAUGUAUUUUCUGUUUCUAUUCUUGAUGUCUAUAUAUCUCUCUUCCAAAGGCUAGCUCUAUUUAUACUGGCACAAACAGAGGGUACUGCGAUUAUUAUAUCCCAUAAUAUCCUAUCUUCAAAUAUUCCUUCCCUUUUCAAAGUAGGGAUCCGAUCCUGAUAAGUUUAACAUCAUCAUCAUCAUCAUCAUCAUCAUCGCCAAGGAUAUAGAGCAGCAGAUUCUGUUUAAUAAUUUUGUUGGAAUAAUUCUUUUCCAUUUCCCAGUUCAAUAGUUCUUUCUUUAGCUUGUUGCGCAGGCAAAAUUCCAUGAAGGCGAAAGGCACGUAGGCAUACUAGUUGUGGGCAAGGAAAUUGUACCUUGCUAGGGUUAGGAUUUCGUGUUGGCUGAGGAGGAGAGAAAUUCACGAAGAGCACGGAAUUGAUUGGUUGAUUGAAGAGGGGAGAACGACAGGUGGGCGAUUACUCCAACGACGUGUGGCAGAACCCCUAGAAUCCAGGAACCGUGUUAGGGUAGUAGGGAUUCCAAGAGCCUUCUUGAGUCCUUCGUUCUUGAGAGAAUGUCUAAACCCCUUUUAGUGCUUUUAGGUGGAAUCUCCGAGCCUUUAAGUCACCAAAAAGGGUUCUUUGAUCUUCCGAGAGUCCAAGUCUUGAGUCUAAAGAGAAGUCUCUUUCCCAAUGGAAUGGAAGGGUAUUUAUAGGGUUUUCUGGAAAGUAGUCAUGUGCGAGGCACAUGCUUUCAGGGAAAUUCCAGAAAUGCCCUUUAGUCAUUAGAAUAAUGCCCAUGUUGCCCUGUCCUUCUAGCCACCAAUCCAAUCCCUCAAUUAAUUCCCACAUCGAGCCGCCUCCACGAGUCUUCUGCCUCGGGACACGUGGAGGCUUCUCCCGGGUCUAGCACAUUUAUUUAUGACUUUUUCAUCUUCAUUCCAUUCGGUUAUGCGAACACUAAUUUGCACAUUUAAUGAGGCCGUGGAACCCUAAUUGCGCAUUUAAUUCAAUUAGGUCAUGUGAACUCUAAUUUUACACUUUGGCCCACAUUUGCCCCCUGCGCGAGAGUCGCAUUUUCAAAUAGACGAUCGUGCAAGAAAACUGCAAGCCUUUGAAUGAUUUUGCGGGACUUCACUUUACAUGUCUUGAAGACAAUAGUCCUAGAAGAGGGAACUCCUAGGGAGCCAAACCCUUAGAGUUAAACCCUAGGAAGGCAAGACCUAGCGAGGCUCUUCCUUGGACAUAUUGAAAAAUCUUCUGAAAUCUUUCUGUAUUUUGCCCAAUAUUUAUUUCCAAUUCCGCAAGCAGAUCAACUGUCCGAGCAGCCUCAAUACGAACAGAAACAGAUUCCGAUAACUUGGAAUGGAAAAUAGAAUUAAGACCAGGCAAAACAUUGAAUAGAGCGAUGUAGAGAUCUAAAAUUUCAAACAACUUGAGAAACGAUGGACGGGUACUACUAACGCCUUCUGCAAAGUUAAUCAAGUGCAAGGCGGAUUCUUUAACUAUACCCAUAAAACACACAUCAAAUGUGGAGUUACCAAGUCCACUAAAGAUUUGUUCACAGAGUUUCUUCUCCUUUAUGAAGAGAUCUUCAAAACAAACACGAGAUGCUCGUAUCCACAAUUUGAUCUUUGGUGCCAACAUAUCCCACUCCAAACUCCGGAACUCACCGAUGCUAUAUUUACCGACGCCGAGGUGUCGAAAUUCUGCAUCCACAAUCAACUUCCUUGAAGUCCUGUAGAAUUCAACGCAGUCGCCAACAUUACCGGCUGAGUUCAAUCGUUCAAUGAUACUCCUAAAACCAUAAACUUCGUCAAUAUGUCCAUCAUCCUGUAAUUCAUAGCUAAAAGUAUCGGUUAUUGUACUUGAAAAAAUGGUAGAACUCCUAUCGGCCAAGAAAGCAUUGUGGACUCUGUUGGUUUGUCGGGUCAAUAUGACCCGAAACUCUAACGGAAGGGUUUCCAUGCCCGUUUAGAUCAUGUUUUGAUGCUUUCAGUUUGGGGAUCUGAGAUUAUUCUCGAUCGUCUGAAGCUCGUCAAAAGUACUGAUCAAUCUCAUGGCGGUCUCCGUCGAAGUCGAAGAUGAUGAAUUUAAUAAUUCCGCCCGAAUAUUUUGUGUUCUACCAAUUCCAUUCAGACAAUACAAAAGAGAUAUAUAUAUCUGCCUAAAAAUUGAAAACCGAAAAUCAUCUCUGAACAGCAGGCUUUGAAAAUUACUCCUACUAGUAGUUUAUAAAUAUAAAUACUUUGAAGAUUGUAAGAAGUUCAUAGCCAUCCACUAGUAAAAGUACUUACCAUUACUAAUUGAUGUCACGUUACCGCAAUUAGGACGGAGAGAGAAAGUCGGACCAACUCUUUUUUUUUUUCAAAUCAAACAUUAAUUUUUUAUUUCCAAAAUCAAAUCUUAAUUUUUAUUUUCAAAAUAAAAUCAAAUCUUAAUUUUUUAUUUCCAAAAUAAAAUCAAAUCUUAAUUUUUUAUUUCCAAAAUAAAAUCAAAUCUUUCUUAAUUUGAAAAGAGAUUUUUUUUUUUUGAAAAUGAAAUAAAAUAAAAUCUCUCUUUUUUUUUUUUGGCAAAUCAAAUCAAAUCAUUUUUUUUUAUCAUUCACGCAAAAGAUUUAAGUGCAUGAAUAAAAUAAAAUAAAAAUGCAUGAAUUUAAGAGUCAUAUAAUCUCACAGAUCUAAUGAAGGGGAAUUGCCACAUGCCUACGACAUUCUCUAUGAAAAAAAUGAUGAAUUAAGGCAAAACGAGAUCCAAUCAUGUAUUAUUUUUUUUUUGAAAAUAAAAUAAAUCUUAUUUUAUUAUCUUUCAAAAAAAUAAAAUAAAAUCUUAUUUUAUUAUUAUUAUUUUUUAAAAUAAAUAAAUAAAUAAAUAAAACAUUUACUUAUCUUAUUUUUAAGAAGUAAGGAGUCGAUGAGAAUGUCUUGUAUCCAUAUUGAAGCCUUUGAUAAUUCUUUGAGCAAAGAUGAUUAUAGCUUUUUGAUGAUUCUGACAUCUUUUAUAUGAGACAAGUCUUCACAUGCUUCCGAUUUUUAUUUGCCAUAAAGAAAGAAUCCAUUAAAGCUUCACAUGCCAGUUGCCACUCCUCUGUUAGCCAACAAAAAAAAAAAACAUUGUUUUGCUGCUUUAUUUGGGUGUUAUAGCCACAGGCAAGCCUCUUUCUAUCCACGCCGAACCCUACUGAUUCAAUUUUUUAUUAUUUUUUUUUUAUUAAAAAAAAUCAAGAACUUUUGGAACACUUAUAUUUAGAAGAAGCUUGUACGUAUGGGAAUUGAUGAUCCAAAAACCCACAACCCAAUUCUUAAUCUCAGUUUCUUUCUUGCUAAUCUUUCUCAGUUGAUGAACCCUUUGGAUAAUAUUAACGAUCCUCUUAGGAGGUUGCAAUAUUCAGAUCCCACUCAACUACUAGCCAAAAUCCAAAUUUUACAUAACCUAUUGCAGGCCAUAAAUGUGAGUCCUUCUUUCCCAAAUAUUAAAGUAGUAAACGUGAAUAAUCUCUUGGGAUCAUAUAAUUAUCUUAGCCAAUUUGAUGGAGUGAUCACGAGUGAAGCUAUCAACCCCAUGAUUAAUCCUAUCCCCAACAACCGGCCUUUAAUAUAUAUACUCCAAUCCCAAACUCAUUUGGAUUCUUUAGCCCACAAAUAUUUAACAAUGUUAAUAGCUUAAGUGGUGUUGCAUGCAAUAUUACUCAUCAAACUGAAAAUCAGCUUCCGGAAAGUUCCAAUACCAAGGAAAUGGACAGUAUGAAGCCUACAAACAUCCCCUCCGGUUCAACCAACUCUGACAAUAUCUUUGAGGUUUUGGAGAAAUUUGUUGAUUGUGAUCAAGCCAAUAGUACUUCCUUCUUGCUUCUUUUUUUUUUUUAUUCAGGUAACUCUAGUCUUUCUUUUGUCUUCCGAGCCCCAUUACCUUGAUCAUAUCUUGGUUUUUUCCCUCGGAUCAUAAAGAAAGAUUGGUAUUUUUUUUUUCUUGCAGGCCCUCCCUGUUGAACAUUCUGCAGACUUGGGAACAACCAAGGAGGCCCCGUUUCUCAAUAAUUGGGGAAGGGAUCCCCUCUUUUGGUCUUUCCGACGUCUUUUGAGAGCGAGUCUAGACUUAUAAUCGUACAACACUUCCUCCGCCAGAGAAGAAAGGCGUGUUUCUUUAUGUCGCGGCUUGCGGAGGUUUGGGUGACUUCCUCCCUUCCGAUCGCAUUCUCCGCAUGUGCAUAGAGAAACAAGAAUAGCCUUUCAGUCCCUUUCGCUUCCUGUCUGACUCAUCUGACCGCCUUCAAGGAUGGCAACAUUGGACCGACUUCCCGUUGUGUGCUCUUCUUCAUACACAUUCAUUACUACUUGGGGGGGAAUUCACCCCUAUUCUAGAGGAUGUCUCUGCCCUCCACCAGUAGGUCGUACUUCGGUUUGCCCCCUGCACGUGAGUCACACCUUUGGUGGGACAACCGUGCAUAAUUUCUCCAGCAUUGAAAUCUUGCUACAAAUUUCUUAAUGAUUCGCGGAGCACGAUGGUGCAAGCCUUGAACAUAAAAUCCCUAGGAGGGGAGACCUGUAGGGGGCGAGCCCUAGAGAAGCUCUCCCUGGCUAUCUUGGAAAAAAUCUUCUAUCUUAUCCUUCCGAAUAUUACUUUCUUUUGGAAGUUCUCUCAUUUUCAAAAUUAAGAAGUCAACGAGAAGGCACCGAGUGAACAUACUUCAAAUUGGGGUGAACAAGCGAUGAAGGAGAUCUUUCCUCUAGGUACCCGAAUCCUGAGCGGCUUCAUUCUGGAACAUUGAUUAACGAGCUAGGAGAAGUAAAAGGUAAGAGGGGAGAGCCUCUGUAGGUGUUUGAACCCCAGGGGCCGAACCCUAGAAGACUGCCUAUUCCUUCACUCUUUUUUUCCUUCUUCCUUUCACUUGAAUCUUGGUCGUGUCCUAGCUUGGUUCCCCAAUAUAGUUGAUCGGAUACAUCUUCAUAGGACCCUUCUCCAGAUUUUCUUGCUCGAUUGUCUUCUGAGACUUAUUCUCGAAAUGCACAUUCUCUCUCUAUUAUCUGUGAGCAGAAGACUUAGAGGUGUUUUAGUUGUGAAGUUGAUGACUUCUCGAUCCUUCUUGGGCCUUGACAUGUCUCCCUUCCGUGCUAAGCUGGAUCUCUUCACUUUCAGUUAUCAUGUCAUUGCACUUUGUUCGGAGGUCACUUCACGUCCUCAUGAGAAUGACUUUCUUUAUGUAAGGGCCUCAGGAGCUUCAGGACGUCAUGGAUAGAUUGAAGGCCAAGCUUCGGGAAAUUGAUUCAUCUGCCCAAGACCUUAAGGAACUGUUAGCCUGAAGUUCGAAAGGCUCGAGAUACUGCCAUUGUCGACUUGGAGGCUUUAGCUAUGCCCCCAGUUCAGUUUGAUGUAUCAUGACCUUUGGAUCAUGACUUCAUGUAGCUUUUAUUUCUUCCAUCACUUUUGAAGAUAAAGUGUAUUAUCGAGGAUUUCAGGGUCAAGUGUCUCAAUCACUUUUGAAGUUGAAAGUAUAACUCUUUUUUUUUUCUGGAUCGAGGGCUGAUUAAUCAGGUGCCUCAUUACUUUUGAAGUUGAAAGUAUAACUUUUUUGGGUCGAGGGCUGAUUAAUCAGGUGCCUCAUUACUUUUGAAGUAGAAAGUAUAACUUUUUCGAGUCGAGGGCUGAUUAAUCAGGUGCCUCAUUACUUUUGAAGUUGAAAGUAUUUUUUUUUUGGGUCGAGGGCUGAUUAAUCAGGUGCCUCAUUACUUUUGAAGUAGAAAGUAUAACUUUUUCGGGUCGAGGGCUGAUUAAUCAGGUGCCUCAUUACUUUUGAAGUUGAAAGUAUAACUUUUUUGGGUCGAGGGCUAAUUAAUCAGGUGCCUCAUUACUUUUGAAGUAGAAAGUAUAACUUUUUCGGGUCGAGGGCUGAUUAAUCAGGUGCCUCAUUACUUUUGAAGUUGAAACUAUAACUUUUAAGAAAUUUGCUCUGAUCAAAAUUUGAUGUAUUUAUUUAACGAUCAAGAUAUAAUACAUUUUUUUUUCAUUUUCUAGUCUGCUAGGGCAGUAGCUUAUUCAGCAUUAUGCUUCUUAUUAUAGUUCGAUUUCACCUGCCGCUAAUUUUUCAUGAUAAAUUCUCCUCAAAUUACGACAAUUCAUGAUGGAAUGUCCUGGGUAUUGAUGAUACACGCAAAAGUCUGAUCUCUUCUUCAUCUCCUCGGUCACAACAAAUCUGGGUUUUGGAGGCUUCACCAUUCCAUUUUCUACCCAUUUCUCAUACAAAUCUUUAAAUAUCUCCUCACCACAAGUGAUAGCUUCGGGCUCUAGCGAAUUUAUAUUCUUUUUGAUUCUUUCCCUCUUGCCCCCCUGUGGCUCUGACUGAGAGUCUGUCAAAGCCGUAGUAGCUGUCCUCUUACUCUUCCAGGUAGCAAUCGGAUGGUUCACAGAUACUGCCAUAAUUUCUCCAUGGUCCUGUGCAAAGGUGGAAAGUGUCGCAAAGGAAUCACAAGACUUAGUGAUCAAGUGGGGCUUGAAGGCGUCGAGGGCGCCGUUGUUGCAAAUACUCACUAAAUUCUUCUCUUCGAUUGGCUCCACACACUUCCGCGCCUGGGCCCGAAAGGUGGAAAGUGUCGCAAAGGAAUCACAAGACUUAGUGAUCAAGUGGGGCUUGAAGGCGUCGAGGGCGCCGUUAUUGCAAAUACUCACUAAAUUCUUCUCUUCGAUUGGCUCCACACACUUCCGCGCCUGGGCCCGAAAUCUGUCAACAUAAUCAGAUAACUCCUCAUUCGAAUUUUGUUGAAUUCUCAUAAGCUCUAUAAUUGACACUUCCUUCUGAACAUAAAAGAAUUUUUUGAAAAACUGGUGUUUCAUAUCAUCCCAAUCUCGAAUCGAACCCUUCUCCAAAUUGUAGUACCAGCUGAAGGCACCGUUAGUGAGCGUCUUGUUAAACUCCCUCAAUAGAAUAUUGUGGUUGCUCACUUCAUCUAUUCCCAACCACGAGGACAUCGACUCCACAAAUCUUGCAAUAUGCUCUCUCGCAUUCCCUUUCUCUCCACUAUACUUAGGGAACUGAAGUGGAUGUUCAAUGUACCCAGCAGGGUAUGGCUGUCUUCUCACAUGCGCCGGGUAUGGUGGGGUGAAAUCCAGUUCCGCAGGCCUGACUGUCUGUCUACGCAUCUGAUUGAUUACAUCCAUCAUGUCUUCCCUUGUCGCAUAUUGACUGGUUUCUGGAGCCUUUUGGGACGUCAUCGCAUACUGGUUUAUCUGAGGUGUAUGUGGAACACAUGUUGAUGCACACUUGCCUCAUGUAAGAUUGGUUGUACUUGCUGGAUUAUUGGUUGUAUAUGGCUUGGGAUGGUUGGUAUCUGCACUUGUGAAAAUGCUGGGAGUGUAAUCGGGAUGAUGUUUAGCUGAGGCUGGCUAGCUUCCAAUCUAAGUGGUGGUACAUCACCACUGUUCUGGGGCUCCAAGUUGAUGACUGGAAUCGGCUGACUCUCCAUUGCUGGAGGUAUAAUCUGAUUCUCUUUGUUGUUGUUGUUGUUGUCCUCCACUUCUCCUGCUCGUCCCCCUUGCGAACUUCCUGGGAACAUGGUCUUGAAAGUGGGGAUUUGCAUCAACUGCUGGCAAAAAUUCUCCAUUUCUUCUUGCUUUCUCUGCAUCUCUAGCAUCAUGGCCAUCAUCAUCCCUUGCCCUUCUCGUGCUUCUUUCAAUGCUUUAAGCAUCUCCAGUUGCACAGCAUUCGUCUGGUCUCCCCCUGCAUCUUCGCCUUGCCUUCUUGCAUUGGUUUGUUGUUGAUUGGCCAUAUGUGGUGAUGUCGAACUCCCUUCCAAAGCGUCUUCAAUAAUUGGUUGGUCAAAAUCCAGGUUUGCGCCUUGGAAAACUUGAGUUACUUGUCUUGGAACUGGAUCCGGUGACGUAAUGCUAUUUGUUGGUGAAGCAGCUCUUCCUGUAAUUCUCCCACUUCGAGUCGUGGGCAUACCCUUCACGAAUUAUACACCUCCCCAGCAGAGUCGCCAAAGAAAUGUGGGCAAGGAAAUUGUACCUUAGUAGGGUUAGGGUUUCGUGUUGGCUGAGGAGGAGAGAAAUCCACGAAGAGCACGGAAUUGAUUGGUUGAUUGAAGAGGGGAGAACGACAGGUGGGCGAUUACUCCAACGACGUGUGGCAGAACCCCUAGAAUACAGGAACCGUGUUAGGGUAGUAGGGUUUCCAAGAUCCUUCUUGAGUCCUUUGUUCUUGAGAGAAUGUCUAAACCCCUUUUAGUGCUUUUAGGUGGAAUCUCCGAGCCUUUAAGUCACCAAAAAGGGUCCUUUGAUCUUCCGAGAGUCCAAGUCUUGAGUCUAAAGAGAAGUCCCUUUCCCAAUGGAAUGGAAGGGGUAUUUAUAGGGUUUUCUGGAAAGUAGUCAUGUGCGAGGCACAUGCUUUCAGGGAAAUUCCAGAAAUGCCCUUUAGUCAUUAGAAUAAUGCCCAUGUUGCCCUGUCCUUCUAGCCACCAAUCCAAUCCCUCAAUCAAUUCCCACAUCGAGCCGCCUCCACGAGUCUUCUGCCUCGGGACACGUGGAGGCUUCUCCCAGGUCUAGCACAUUUAUUUAUGACUUUUUUGUCUUCAUUCCAUUCGGUUAUGCGAACCCUAAUUUGCACAUUUAAUGAGGUCGUGGAACCCUAAUUGCGCAUUUAAUUCAAUUAGGUCAUGUGAACUCUAAUUUUACACUUGGGCCCACACUAGUAAAUGAUGAUUUUCUUCUAACCAGAAGUAUGAGCAGGUUAAAAGUAGAAGAAUAAGCAUCUCGCAGGCCAAAAAUCAAUAAAAAAACGAAAAGAAGAAAAAGAAAAGAAGAAGACAGCAAUAGCAAGACCAUAUUUUUCUUCUUCUUUCUUUUUAUCUUUUCUUUCUUUCUUUUUUGUUUCUUUUUAGACGGAGGGUUUUAUUUCAUCUUUGAAAAUAAACCUAAGAAUUUAUCAAAGGAAAUAAAGGAUAAACGACAAUACAAAUAUAUAUUUUUAUUUUAUUUUCAAAUAUAUACGCAUGCAUGAUAAAGAUUCACAAUUAUACACACAUAUAUAAUAGGCUACAACCAACAAUCUACUAAACAAUUUGUAAACCAUCGAGGUGUUUUAGUGACAACCUACCGUCUACCAAAUCGUUAUUAGUUAACGAGUUAGUGUAAAUUUUCAUUUUGGAAGCUAGUAUAAACUAUCAUCUCUCAAAUUGUUAUUAGUAGAGGAGCUACGAAUGUAAACUAUCGUCUAACAAACUAUAUUAGCUGAUGAACUAGUGUAAACUAUCAUUUACUAGAUGUAUGAGCAUGUUAAGAGUAGAAGAAUAAGCAUCUCGCAGGUAAAAAAAUAGGAAAAGAAGAAGACAACAAUAACAAGGCCACAUUUUUCUUUUUCUUCCUUUUUAUCUUUUUUUUUCUUUUUUGUUUGUUUUUAGACGGAGGACUUCAUUUCAUCUUUGAAAAUGUGGGUAAAGAAAUUGUACCUUAGGUUUUCAUGUUGGCUGAGGAGGAGAGAAAUCCACGAAGAGUACGGGAUUGAUUGAUGAAUUAAAGAGGGCAGAAGAACAUGUGAUCAAUUACUCUAAUGACAUGUGACAAAACUUUUAGGAUCCGAGAACCUUCUUAGGGUGCCAAAGAUCCAGGGAGUCUUCUAGGGUGUGCUUCGGGUUGAGAGAGAAUCUCCAAGUCUUCAAUCUUUCGAAAAGCCCUCUUCUUCAUAGAAUAGAAGGAGUAUUUAUAGAGUUUCCUGGAAAGUGGUCACAUGACAGACAUAUGACCUCGAGCAAAUUCCAAAAAUACCCUUAGUCACCAGAGUAAUGCCCAGAUCGUCCUGUCUUUCUAGCCACCAAUCCAAUUCCUCAAUCAAUUCUCAAAAUGAGUUGCCUCCAUAAGCCUUUUACCAUGGAGGCUCUUCCUUGAUCUCAUGAUACAAAGCUCUUAUUGCUCAAACCAUGCUUACUUGCUCUUCCUUCUUUAUUUAAGAAUCUCGUCGCCAGAAAUCAUCGGAAGAACUCUGCGCAAGACCCGGGAAGCCGCGUGUUACAAACCAGUCCCACAUCGAAAGAUAUGGAAAAAAAUUAGUCUAUAUAUAAGGAAUUAUGUUACUACCAAUAAUAUACUUUUAAGUCAUGACCUUUUGGGUGAGCCUGUGGUGGGAUAAGAUGACCCAAUAAUAUACUAUUGGGUCAGUGGUUUAAGGCCUUGGGAUUCGGACUUGGGAUUUGACCCAAGAUUUGUUUUGGGCAAUUUUACUCAGGUUGUUACAUAUGGUAUUAGAGCCGACUCUCGAAAGCUCGGGUCGGAUCAUCCGAUCGGGUUGCCGGAAGUGGGGACACGAAACCAGCCGAUAUUAUCCCACAAUGGCUAAAGAGGCAAAGAUCUGUGGAACGUAUAUGUGAUCGAUUUUGAUGGAGAUGUCAAAAAUUUAAGUGGGGUAGUUUAUAACACCUCAGUCCCACAUUGAAAGAUAUGGGAAAUACUAUUGUGCAAUGAUUUAAGCUAUCCAGCUAUAUUGUUAUAGUUUGGAUAUAUUCCAGUAUGAGAAUUAACAAACCCUGAAAUGGGAUAUUUUUAUUGCACUCUGGGAGUGGUGACGUUGAACAUGGAAGUUGUUCUGGAUAAGAUAGUAUUGAUUAAUAAAGGGCAUAUAUAAAGGGCUGAUCAUCCAUCGUGCUCAUAAGAUAAGAUGGUUCACAAAUAAAUUUUUAAGAAAACCUUUUCAAGAAAAGAAAAAGCUUGUUCACGGUCUUAUGACCUCUCAGAUGUUCAAUAUUGAUAUGAUAUUCCAGGAAUAUGAAUGAUUCAAGAUUUAAUUGCUUUACAGUUUUGUUUCACUGUUAAAGCAUGUCUCAAAGAAAACAUUUAAUUAUUGUUAAGAUAUUAAAGAAUGCUAUUACUUAUUGAGCAAUUGAAUGCUCAUUCUUGUUUUGUUAUAAAUGUUUUCAGCUAAUCAGGCUCCAACGGAGGGGUCUAAUAGAGACAAAGGAAAAGGAAAAGCUACUGAGUAGUAGGUAUAUGUUGUAAUAAAUAGUUUAUAUGUUUGUAGAUAUUUAACUAUCAUGUAAUAAGCACUUAAUGGUUACGUACCUGGUAUUAGAAGAACUCUGAUAUAAUAAAUCUAUCAAGUUUGAUAUUAUAUUAUGUUGAAUGCUUGAUAUCUUGAAGCACUGAAUAAGGGUUUAAAAUACCCGAAUUUGGGGGCGUCACACGCCCGAUUCGCCUCCUUUGCGUAUGUUUAACAUGCUCAUACAACUUGUCUAAUACUCCAUUGAUUAAUUCUAAGUAUCAUUAUAUUUCAUAACUUUCAUGUUUAAUAACUUAGAAUAACAUAUUUUAUCGUCAAAAGCAUCCACGUAGUACGAGCAUGCCCGACGCCCUCCGAUCGCCUCCGAUCGAAUGCACAAUAGUCCUAAAAAUAGCCAUUUUAGCCCCUUCUCCCGACCUCAAAUCUCAAAACUUAUAAAAUAAAAGUUUUAGGUCAACUUCUAAUAUUUUCGAAUCAUCUUGAAUCACCUCAAUCAGAGUUCGUAUAAAAAGGUUAUGCAUGUUUUACUAAAGAACGUCAAAGCUGACUUUCUGCACUUUUGGUUCAGCGCCCAUCCUAGGCCUAUUUCCAACGCCCCGGGGCUGGACGGCAGUACGUUCUCAGCCAAAAACUUCAAUUUUCAAAAAUCUUCAGUUUUGAAUGAUUUCAACAUGUCUACUUUGAAAUAUCAUAAAUUUCUCCUCCGAUAUCGAAAUGAGCUCGUUCUUAAUGGGUUGAAAAGCUUGCAACACCCUCUACAAAUUUCUCAGGACAAAAUAAUUUUCUGGAUUCUCUAACAAUCCUUUAAACUUUCUCAAAAGUCCAUCGAGACUAAGAUUUUUAUCAUUCAACAUACUUUACCAAAAUUUUCUGCCAUGACUUCGUUUUAACAUAUUUUUACUCCGUUCCAAUUAGAAUAUCUUCAUAAAUUCCUUAUCUAUAAAUCCUUAUUCCCGAAUUUUAUUUAUUACAACCCUAUCAACAAUAUUAAAAUCCAAUUUAAGUACUCUAAAUAAAUAAUGUCUAUCCUUUAAGCUUUGGCCUACGAUUCCAUUCUUGUUACCACUUCUUAUGCAAUUUAACAAGUUAUUUAUCAUGAUCAAAGCACACAUAACUUUAUUUACUCAAGGUCCUUCAUACUCUUUCAUUAAACAACCAUCGCCAACAACUAAUGAUUCAAGAAAGACUUCACAGAAAUGAAAAGAUGGAUGGUUCUUACCUUCUUAGUUAUUCUUCUUCUUCCUAGCUUAUGCUUUGUUAGCAUGAUAUACAUUGUUGGGCCCUCCAUCUACCAACUUAAGCUUUUAAGAUAAGUUGGUUACUUAACAUGGUAUCAAAGCUUUGGGUGUGCAAGGUCUUGGGUUCGAAUUUUUCCAGCUGCACAAUUAUCUUUCUAUUAAUUUAACAGUGCAAAUGCACUUUAAUUUCUCCCUUCUCUAUAAAAAAAAGUUGCGUUUGAGAGGGAGUGUUAGCAUGAUAUACAUUGUUGGGCCCACCAUGCAUCUAACAGCUUAAGCUUUUAGAUGAGUUGGUUACUUUGCUCUUCUUUCUCUUCUUAUUGGUAUUCGGCCUCUCUAUUUCUCUCUCUCUCUCACUCUCUUGUUUUCUUUCUCUUCUCUCUAGUUUGCCCUCUCUUCCUUUUUUUUUCUUGCAAAUGAAAUGAAUUGGCUAAGUGAAAAAUCCUCUAGAUCAAUUGAAUUCUCCACUAACUAACUCAACCAUACUUCUAAGGUUAGGUUAACUCGUGUAGGGUUAGGGAAUGAUAGGAUGACACUUGUAAGCUUAAUGUUUAAGGAUGACAAGAAGAUAUAAGCUAGCAUUAAAUUAAAUUUUCACCUUGCUAGAUGAGUCACACAUACUCUCCCUUUUGCUUCUUUAAUUGGUUGGAUCACCCCUCCCUUUCUUAGCUCAUAUUUUAAUUAUCCCAUGUGGGAUAAACAUCAAUCCUCUCCCUUAUCUUACUUUUUCACCCAACUUAUCUUUUAUGAGAUAACUACUAAGUCUCAUUCCUUAUCUUUUCUUCGAUAAGCCUUGUCAUUAAUCCUUAUCUCUUCCUUGUUUUCCUUCAACCCAAACUUACCAUAAAUAGAAAGUUUCCAUCUCACCUUCUCUCUUCUCCUUGUCCAUAUUCAAAUCCCCACAUGUUUAAUUCUAGCAAAUGACACUUGCCCUCUUAUAACUUUGGCUCCUAGUUUGGCUCACUUUUUGGCUCAAAGACCAAGCCAUGGCUCCUAUCCUUUGACUCUAAGCUUAAGCCACUCAAACCUUAGGCUCAACCCUUAGCUAAGCCCCUUUAAAUUCCUAACCAAGUCAUUUAAACCUUAGGUUUGGUUAGACUAGAAUUAAUUUAAUUUCUCUUUUUCUUUUAAAUUAGUUAGAUUUCCUAAUUUUUUAGUUACAUUUUUCGUAAUAUGCUUGGUUAGCUGACAAUCCGACUUUUGAUUUUCAAAAAUCCAAUUUCGCCACCAUUCCUUCUUUCCCGAAUAAACGCUAUGUAGUUCUUCGAAAUUUUAAAAAAAACGAAGUUGGGUUUUUAGCGUGAAUAGUUUUUUUUCAUACGACUUUUUCUAGAAAAAUAUUUUAUUAGAGAUUUCAUCUCGCCUUCUCAAAUAAACACUAUGAUGUAAUUCAAAAUUCUCGAAAAAGUAUGUUUAUUAGCGUUUUUCUGUGAUUUUAAAAAUAGUAACUUUUUCGUCUUUUUCUCGAAAAAAUUAUAUUCUCCCAAAACUCCCAACACUUAUACAUAAUCACGUAACACGUAAACUAGGUCAUUAAUCGACCUAAAUCAUGUAACACAUAAUAAUAUCUAUAAAAUUUUAUUUUAUUAGAUAUUCACAAAUAAAACCUAUUUUCAAGCCUAUCUGAAUUCUCGGGUCGUCACAUAGUAUUUAUAGAGUUUCAUGGAAAGUGUUCACAUGCCAGGAACAUGACCUCAUGGAAAUUCAAGAAAUACCCUUAGUCACCAGAGUUAUGCCUAGAUCAUCUUGUCCUUCUAACCACCAUGCAAUCCAAUCCCUCAAUCAAUUUCAAAAAUGAGUUGCCUCCAUAAGCCUUCUGCCUUGGGACCCAUGGAGGCUCCUCCUCGAUCUCAUGCUUCAAAGCAAUUGUUGCUCAAACCAUACUUUCUUACUAUUCCUUCUUUAUUUGAGAAUCUCGUCGAUGGAAAUCCUCGGAAGAACUCUGCGCAAGAACCAGGAGGCCGCGCCUUAGGGGGGCAAUCCUUAGGGGGCGGAACCCUAGGGAGCUGAACCCUAGGGGGGCCUCCUUCAGUUCUUUUCGUUCGUUUCAACCUUUCUUGGUCAGUUUUCAUCAUUUUCUCAUGAUUCUUGGUCCUGUAAGAAGCCUUUCUUGUCAUAGAGAUUAUAAGGCUAAUCAUUAUUUGGAGUUUCACAAGAUUUUAGUUUAUUUUUGUAGUCCAGGCUUAUUUCUUUGUCAUUGCAUCGAUGAAACCCCUUCUAGCAUGCCAAUCGAGAAAAUGAGGUAGCAUAUGCCCUAGGGUGCCGAACCCUAAGAGGUAAUUUAGAUUUCUUUUGUCCAUCUUUUGUCUGUUUUCCUUUUUUCAUUACGAUAGUUCCAACCAAAUCCAGUCGGAGAAGAAAUUGGUUUUAUCUUUUCUUUAAGGAGAAGUCAUCUUGGAGUGGUUGAACCAUAGGGUGGCCGAACCCUAAGGGGCCAAAAUCCUAGGAUUUUUCCCUUUUUGCUGAUUUAAUGCUUCGUUCAUUAAUUGAAGUCUUGUUCAUUUACUUUCGUCUUUUCAUUUAAUUCAAUUAAAUCAUAUGUAAACCCUAAUUUGUACUUGGGCUCACAGAAAAUAAACCUAAGAAUUCAUCAAAGGAAAUAAAAGAUAAAUGACAAUACAAAUAUUGCGUUUUGUUUUGUCUUAUUUUUUUAAUUUUAUUUUCAAAUAUAUACGCAUGCAUGAUAAAGAUUCACAAUUAUGUAUAUAUAUAUAUACAUAUAGAUACAUAAUAUGGUAAAUAAUAGGUGGUAGUUGUUUUAUUUAUAAUAUGGUAAAUAAUAGGUGGUAGUUGAUUUAUUUAUUACAUGCUAAUAACAGCCAUGAGUUGAUAGUUGAUUUAUUUAUUAUAUGCUAAUAACAGCUAUCAGUUAUUGGUUGAUUUAUUUAUAUAUCGUGCUAAUAACAACCAUCAACUUGUAUAUAGUUUCUUGAUUUACUGCUGAUCGGAAGAUUACUGAUCGUUCAUUUAGGCGUUGGUGGGACUAAUGUUAACACCAUAGAUAACUAAACCCGUCUUCAUAGUCACGCUUUCAGUCCCGUCAAGAGCAAAUUUGAUAUCUCCAUAGUCAAACUUAUUGAAGAAUUCCCCAGCUUUGAGCGAAAAUGGUGUGUUUCUCGGAUAAUUCAUCAAUCCAUAUCCGUUCACUUGCGAGGAUCCAUUCGGAAGAGUAAGUGUAAGACUCACCGGACUUGCUAUGUUAAAGUUGUCUUUCAGCAGCACCACAAAAGAUACCUCAUAAGAUAAAUUUUCAAGCUUUUCUGUCAUAUAGUUUCCGUCAACAUGUAGGACUAAGCUACCAAUUAAUUCAGCACUGUCAGGACUGUAAAAAAUGAUAGUAGAAUUAAAGUCAGAAACUUUUGAUAUAAGGAGCUUAAAUUCAUUAAUAUAGUACAAUUAAUGCGAGUCCUUCUAUCUAACUAGACUUCAAUAAAAUUUCUUUAGUCCUUCUAUCACUUUAAUUUAAUGACAAAGUUGCUUAUAUCCCUAUUUUUAACUGAAUAAAAUUCAGGUGUUUAAGCACAAAUCUUGACCUUUGACGUCAAUUAAGUUAACUAAAUCUUAUUUCUACUUACGUAAACUUCCAGCCCGAAGGGUUGAAAUAAUUGAGUUUCUCAGCAGGUAUAUAAGCGCCAGAACUUUGAAUAAGACAAGAAAAAAAAAUUCAUAUCAUCCAUUACAAAAAAAUCUCACUUGCAAAAUUUACAAAUAUUAAGGAUUAUUUUUGUUCUAUAACCAACUUUAGCUAUAUAUAUGAUGUUUGUUUACAAUUUCAGUAGACUUACCUUCUGCCCUAUUCCGUUGUUUUGGAGCAACUCCAUUUCCUUGGCUUGGGACAACAAUGCCUUGAGGUCAACCUCAUUAUGCCUCACUACUUGUGCCAUCUCCUCGAUCGAUCGAUAACUAUCCUUUAAUUCUGCUAUAUAUAUAUAUAUAUAUAUAUUUUCUGUUUCUAUUCUUGAUGUCUAUAUAUCUCUCUUCCAAAGGCUAGCUCUAUUUAUACUGGCACAAACAGAGGGUACUGCGAUUAUUAUAUUCCAUAAUAUCCUAUCUUCAAAUAUUCCUUCCCUUUUCACAGUAGGGAUCCGAUCCCGAUAAGUUUAACAUCAGCAUCAUCAUCAUCACCAAGGAUAUAGAGCAGCCGAUUCUGUUUGAUAAUUUUGUUGGAAUAAUUCUUUUCCAUUUCUCAGUUCAAUAAUUCUUUCUUUAGCUUGUUGCGCAGGCAAAAUUCCAUGAAGGCGAAAGGUACGUAGGCAUCCUAGUAAAUGAUGAUUUUCUUCUAACCAGAAGUAUGAGCAGGUUAAAAGUAGAAGAAUAAGCAUCUCGCAGGCCAAAAAUAAAAAAAAAAUCGAAAAGAAGAAAAAGAAAAGAAGCCACCAAUAGCAAGACCACAUUUUUCUUUUUCUUUCCUUUUUAUCUAUUCUUUCUUUGAUUCUUUUUUAUAAUUUUUUUUAGAUGGAGUCUUUGAAAAUAAGCAUAAGAAUUCAUUAAAGGAAAUAAAAGUGUUGAAAGUUGUCUUGCAUUAGUCUUCUCCAAAUUCUGUUCCCCUUAGACUUUAGAAUUUAGCCUUUCCCAAAAUUCUGUUCCCCUCAGAUUUCGGAAUUUUGCUUUCCUCAUUUCUUGUUCUCCUCUCCAGAUUUCUCCUAUAAAAGGGAGCUUUGGUGUAAGACCCCAACUUUUAUGAAUAAAGACGAAUUUUUCUAUAAAUAUAAUUUUUGAUUAUUAAGAUGUGAAUUUGAAAAAAUAUUAUAGUUGUGAGUAAUAUUUAAAAAUUUUACAAAGUAAACAAGGUGUUAUAAAAUAUUCGGUUGGUCGAGGAAUAUUCGUUUUAACAGGGAAUAUUCAUACGACGACACAAUCAUUGGUGGACCCCACAACGAAAGUAUUGUCGGAGUUAGAAAACGACAGAAAUAUCUUAUUAUGAAAAUAAUGGCGAAAAUUUUACCGUUAACUGUUGAAAUACCCGUUAGUAAAAGUACAGUAAUACGUAUGGUUGCAUAGUAGUACACGGUAUUAAUUAUUGAUGCUUACGUGAGAAGUCACUCAGUUAUACUCAAUUAUUGUUACAGUAAUUGUUGUAUCAUAUCUCUUAUAUUAUUGAUUCAAUUAUUGUCAGUAUCAUCUGCAUAAUAUUUUAUAUUAUUAAAUCAAUAAUUGAGACGAUAAAGUUAUUCAUAUUAUUAUUUACAAUAUUGACGAUGUCUAGAAGUUCUGUCAAGGAGAGGUUAGGUCAUUUAAUUGCGCGCCAAUAGGGAGAAAUCCUUAUCGGAAAGCCCCUCUUUCCUGAAAACGAUCUGGUUGUUAAUAUUGCGAGUUAUAAUAAUGAUGAAUAAAUUGAAGGAAUUUUAUGAAAUAUUUGUUGUAAGUUUUGCUUAUUAUAUGGACCCCCAUUUAACCAUUUUUCAAAAUAAUCGGUAAAAAAUUAUUCAGUAUUUUUUUUAAUAAAAAAGGUGGGGCCACAUGUGGGGCCCACUGAAAGAAAAAUGGGGGGGGGGAGAUGUUUAUGUUUGUCAUGGGUGAAGGUUUGAUUAUAUAUAUAUAUAUAUAUAUAUAUAUAUAUAUAUAUUAUAAUAAGUCUUUUUUUUAUGAAAAAUAGAAUAUAUUAAAUUUUAUUUGCAUAGUAUUUUACUAUGCAGUGCACAGUAAAGUUUUGUGAAUUAGAAAUUCGGCGCCCGUGAAAUUUUCGAUUGUUUUGUCCGUGAGAAUUUCAAACAGUACCCCUUCCAUCAUCCUAUAAAUAUGACGCUUAUUUUGAAUUGAAAAUCACACAAGAAUCAGAGAAUUUUUUUCUAUAAUAUUGAGUAUAUUUCUUUCGAGUUUUAGAAAGUUUUGAGUGUAGAAAACAGUGAAAGUUUUUUUCAAGAAUAUCCCCGCUAUACCAGUCGAAAUACUCUUCUUAGGAUGUUUUUUUGUUCAAUAUUCGUAUGAAAUAAUAUUUUCUUCCAUACUCUGUAGUAUGUAAAUAAUAUUAUUUCGUUUUAGAUUUCGAAUUCUAUAUCCAUUUUGUUAAAGUUUUGGCUCCUAUACUCCAUGAAAUUAGUAGAAUAUCCUUAAAAUUUGCGUUUCAUCCAGUAUCUUUUCAUGGAAAUAUUAUUCUGAGCAUUCUUGAUAAGUUUUAAUUUUUUCAUGCCAGAGUACUAUAUACGGGGUACUAUUCUCAAAUUACUAUUCACGGGGUACUAUUCACUCGGUUACUAUUCAUCCGAGGCACUAUUCAUGACAAAAAUUAAUUUUUUUUCGGUCCAAAUCAUUUUUGUUACAAUAUUAUUCGUGAAUUUUACUCCAUAAUGCAGUAUCAUAUUGACAAUUUGGACAUUAUUAAAUUAUGGAUAAAUUAAAUUAUAAAUCUUUAAAAAUUUAUCUUUUGCUUUCAUUUAAUUGAAUUCUUAUAUCAUUGUCAUCAUCCUGAUGCUUAUAUUAUAAUGAAAGUCAUUUGUGGCCCGUAGUGCAUAGAUGGACUUGGUAUGAUUAUGACCAGGGAUUAUUUGGUAUAAUCAUGACUGUAAUAUUACAAAUGAUGUGGUAAAAGUCCUCAUUGGCCCGUAGUGCAUUGAUGAACAGUUGUUUUCAUGAUCAUGACCAUUGAUGAAAACACGAAUAUCUUUGGCCCGUAGUGCAUGAAUAAUUUGUGGUUGUGAUACUAAAGAAUAUCCUUGGCCCGUAGUGUAUGGAUAAUUCAGUGAUGUGUAUUAUUUAUUAAGCUGAGUCUCAGCGAUACAAUUGAUGAUAAACCUUUUAAAUAAUAGAAGAUAGUAGAUUUUAUGCUCUACUUAACUCUUCUAAUAGAUUGCUUGUUCCUCUGCAAUUAAACUUGAUGUUUAUUAUAUUUUAUCAGUUUAACAUUGUUGAAGGCUAAUGAUAAUUUAUUCUGUGUUAUCUUAGUCAUAAUAUUUCUUACUGGCUAGUUGAGCUCACCCUUUACUUUCAUUGUUCUCUUCAGGAAAUGAGAAUAUAGCUGGGAUCGACUAGUCGGGGAACGGAGUGACGGUCCAAAUGAUAACAUUAGUAGUCCUCACUAUUCUGUGAAAUAGUGUGAUAAUAAAUGUAAUGAGGACUUAUUUUGAGUUUGAAUACUGUCUAGAAGACAAUAUUUGUAUUAAAACUCACAACUCAUGUUAUAUAUUUAAGUUUAUAUUUGUAUUCUGUACCAUGUAUUUAACGAUUCAAAAUGGGUGAUGUAUACCUAUUCUGGGGGCGUCACAGUUGGUAUCAAAGCUUGGGGAUAUGAUCCCUGGCUGAGAUGAGAGACUAGAACUAGGAGGGGAGAGUCAGGUAAUUCCUUUGCUAGUAUGACCUACCUAAGUUUAUUUGUUAUUUAAUUAGUCGGUCAGAAUAUAGGGAUAAUAUGUUGCAUGUCAAUUAACCCUUGUUUUGUGGCAGUAUUUGAAAAUGACAUCCGAGAAUGUUGAGAAUAGCAAUGGAGUACAUGAGACCGUUGAAUCACCAACGAUCAAUAACCAGGAUAAUGUGCAUCAGGAAGGCAAUAAUCCUCAUGCAAACAAUAACUCCAACAAAAUAAUGAACGACAAAAUGUUUAUGAGCUUUCUUCAAUUCAUGCAACAUCAGGCAAGAGAGACUCCUGUUCAAAAUGUAGGUGGAAAUACCGGCAACUCUCGAACGGUCACCGCUAAGCAAUUCAAGGAGCUGGGACCACCGAAGUUUUUGGGAAAGCCAAAACCACUUAAGGCGGAGACAUGGUUAAAGCAGAUCACUAAGAUAUUUGAUGUCUUUGGAUGCUCCGAGGAGCAAAAGGUUCCCUUUGCCACCUUCAUGUUGCGAGGAGAGGCAGAUCAUUGGUGGAAAUCUGUAAAAUGUACCCAGCUUGCCACAUUAAAGAUGUCUUGGGAGAAGUUUCAAGAACUGUUCAACGACAAGUACUUUUUCGAAAGUAUUCGUUAGAUGAAGGAGGUGGAGUUCAUCAGGUUGGAAUAAAACAAUAUGACCAAGACGCAGUACGAGGCUAAGUUUGCGGAGUUAUCCCGGUUUGCAUCUCAUUUGGUUGUUAAUGAGGAGAGAAUGACGCGGAUAUUUUUAAGAGGUUUGAAACCUGAGAUAUGUCAAUAUCUCAUUCUCACAAACUUUGCUUGUAUUCAGAUGUUGUGAAUAUUGUAAUAACUCGAUAUUUUCUAUAUAAUUAAAUCAGAAAUUUUACGUAUGAAUUUUUUUAUUUAAUUAUUAAAGUUGGAAAUAUGUGCCAGGUAAUGUGUAUAUGUAUAUAUGUGAUAAAUAAAAUAUAUUUAUUACAUGAAUAAUUACCAAUAGUUUUAUUUUAGAAUUAUUGCUCAUUAUAAAUUAUAUUAUAAUAAUAAUUAGUUUUAUACUAAAAAUGUUUUCAUUAAUUCUAUUCUAUGAAAAUAUGUUUAUAUAUUAUUUAAAAAUUAUAUGAAAUGAUUAUAUAAUUAUUAUAAUGAUUAUUCUAUUUUAUUAUAUGAAUUUAGUUCAGAUUAUUUAAGUUAAUUAUUUUAACUUAAUUAUUAUUGUUAUGUAUGCAAGAUAAAUCAGAUAUGGAAUCCAAACCCUAAUUUUGGAUUUUGAACAAGGAAUGAGAAUAUUAAUAUAAUAUUAAUUAUAUUUUUAUUUUUCAGUGCUAUAAAUAUAUAUGUUAUGUUUGUAAGGUUAAUCUGGGGAGCAAUUUUCUUAUGACCUGAUAAAACCCUAAUUUGAAAGUCAAUUACGACUGUAAAAUUUGUUAAGUCAUUGUGAUAUGUGGUCUAUGAUUUGUAUUAUAAGUAUUAAUGUUAAUUCUAUAAAACCCUAAUUAGUAAUUUAAAACUCUAUUUUUCUUAAAUUAGGAACCCUAAACAGUACUUAGCUAUCCGCUAAGUGAAAACCCUAAUUUAAAACUCAGCUAUGAGUCGAGACUGUUAUGUAACUGUAUUAUUAUGUUUAAGGUUAAGUAUUAUAGAAUUUUAUAUUAAUUAAAGAAACCCUAAUUAACAUUUAGAAAUUCUAAUUUCUAGAAACCCUAAUUUCUAAAUUAGUAACCCUAAUUUGCUAAAACAAAACUCUAAUUGUUAAUUUGGCACGCUUAAUGAUAAUUAGUAAAAUUUAAACCUAAUUUUCAAGUCUAUGUAAUGAGGAAACCAAAUUAAUUAUGAAACCUUAAUUUGUAUUUUUAGAAACUAAAAAUUUCAAUUUUUUUAAAAUUAGAAAUCCUAUAACACUUUGUGCUAACCCUAAGGGUCAAACCCUAAGGGUUUGAUAAGUUACUAGUUUGCCCUUAAAUUGAUUAGCCAAAUGACAAAAAUACCCCUCUUGCAUUAUUGGACAUAACUUGUAAGACUAGCCAAUUUUGAGUUGCUCAACAACUCUUACCAGCCCCAUGUGACUAAAAUGCCAGCAAUCAAGCUCUAGAUAUCAGCCAACUUGAUUUCAUGUUUUAUAUAUAUAGACAUCAAGAGAGAGAAAUUUCAUUUAUUAGCCACAUUUGUACACAAACUCCUUACCAACUCUCUCUCCCAAAACCCAUGAAAUGUUGUAGUAGAUCAGUCCCGUAUUGAAGCCCCACUAACACACUUAAGCAAAUCAGCAGCCAGAAUCAAGAAUUGAUGCUUAAAGGUAUAAAAUCCUAAGUCAAAUUUUGAUCUUGUAUGCUAUAUUGGAUUUGUGGUUUUAAUGUUUAAUCAUGUUGAAUAAGGUGUUAAUAGGUGAUCUGGGUUGGCACAUGUUAGAUCCAUAACAUCAAAGUGCUCGAAAUCUAAGUUUUUCAAAAUAUGGAAAUUUUUGUUUUUGUUGUCUGACAGCGAAUGUCAGGCCUUGUAGAUCUGUGCUUAUUUAUUAUUUUGAUGAUUUAAAUGUUUGAAGUGGUAGUCUGGUAUGAGGUCUUUCAUAUGAAAAUGGAAUCACUGUUAUUGGAUGUCUAGAUCGAAAAUUAUUGAUGGUCAAAGGUCGUUGACUGACCAUGACCGAGUAUGAAUCUGGGCAACCUUGAAAGCUUUUUCAGCGUCUGAAAAUGUUUUGGAAGGCUUAGAUCUGUCAGUGUGUAAAUGAUUUGAUGAUGUUAUAAUAUCCAGUUUAUAGCUUGUCAUAUGUAAUUUAUAUUUGUGGCUUUAUAUCCUUUAAACAAACAAUUGAUCGAACUUAGUGGAUGGUCAAACCUGGCCCCUCGGUCACGAUUUCAUUUCUGGGAAUUUCCAGAAAAUCGAAAGAACAGCCCUCUGACAGGGUUUGACCGAGUAAUAUCUUGUAGAUCUGUUGAUGUUAAACUGAUUUGUUGUUAUAUUAUUGUUCCUGGACAUAAGGACUACAUCUUUGAGGCAUUAGAUCACUUGAAUCAUGAACGGAACCUAGAUUAAAUCGAGGAUGAAAGUGACUGGUCGACCACCUGGGUUUCUGGAAAACCCAGGAAUGCUCUGACAACAUAUUUGCAAGCCUAGAUCUCCUUGUGUGUUUGUUGUAUGACCUAGAUAUUGAUUGCUAGUUAUAGUGUUGUAUAAUGACUUCAAUAUUGAUGCUUAAGUUUGCCCAAAAACGAAUUAGACAGAGAAUUAUUAGUGGUCAAAGUUGACCCCUCAAACACGAAGCUGUCAGUGUUCUUGAGCUCAAGAACACCAACAGCGACGCUUAGUGUCACUAAAGGCCAAUAGCGAUGGUUUCUAAUAUUUUUAAUUUCUGAUUUUCUAGAAAAUACUUAAAAAUAGAAAAUAAAUUAUAAAAAUUACAAAAAUGGUUUUAAAAAUUAUUUUAAAUUAUGAAAAUUAACUUUUAAUUAUUUGGGAUAUUUUUUAUUAAUAUUUAUAAUUAUUUGAAUAUUAUUAAUAUUUAAUUUAUUUAAUUAGUGUAUUAAAUAAAUUAGAGAAAAAUGAUUUUAAUGUUAUAAAAAUCAAUUUAAAUAAGAAUAAAGUGUUUAAAAAUAUUUUUGAGUUAUAUAUGUAACUUUUAAUAUUUUUGUGAUGAAUUUCAUUAAUUAAUUAAUAUUAAUGAUAAUUAAGUUAUUUAAUAAAUGUAUUAAAUAAAUUAUGAAAAAUAGAAAUUAUGAUUUAAAAAUCAUAUAAAAGUGAUUUAAAGAUUAUAAAAAAAUAUUUUAAGUUAUAAAAUAUAACUUUUGAUAUUUUGUCAUGAAAAAUAUUAAUAAUUUUAUAUUAAUAAUAUUAGAUUUAUUUAAUGAUUAUAUUAAAUAAUUUAGUUUAAAAUGAUUUUAUUAUUAUAAAAUUAUUUUAAAUGAAAAUAAAGUGUUUAAAGAUAUUUUAAGUUAUAAAAUAUAACUUUUAAUAUUUAAAGGAUAAUUUCAUUAAUAAUUUAAUAUUAAUGAUAUUAAUUUAAGAUUUAUUGAUAUUAAAUUUAUUCAAUAAUUAUAUUAAAUAAAUAGUUUUAAAAUGGUUUUAUUAGUUUAAAAAUUAUUUAAAAAGGAUAUAAAUGAAUUAAAAAUAUUUUAAGUUAGAAUUAAUAACGUUUAAUAUUUGGAUAAAUAGUAGAUUAAUAUUUUAAUAUUAAUGGUAAUUAUUUAAAAAUGAUUUUAAAUGUUUAAAAAAUUAUUUAAGGGUAAUAUUAGCACUUUAAAAAUAUUUUGAGUUAUUAUUAAUAACUUUAAUAUUUUGGCAAUGGUUUCAUUAAUAGUUUAAUAUUAAUUAAAUAUUAAUGAUAAUAUGAUUAUUUACUAUUUAAAUCAUUUAAUUAUGAUUCUAGUGUUUGAAAAUUCAUAAUAAAUUAUAAUAAAUGUUUAAAAAUUAUUAUAAGUCAUUUAAAAAUAAUAUGACUGAUAUUUGUAGAUAUUGAGAUACAGGAUAGAGUCUUAGACUCGAUAUUUACCUGAUAAAGCCGUCGGUAGACCGACAUGUUUCAAAAAUUGAUCUAGACUUAGAUAUUUUGACUGUAUUAAUAUUUGUUUGUGAUUCAAUGACUGUUGAAUAUGUGUGACAAUGUGAUUAGGUUAUAUGCUGACUGCAAUAAGCAGUGCUAUGUUAUUCUAAUCGAACGAAUGAUCUUAUUAAUGAUAGAUUUUGGUAUUAAAGAUAAAACUAAGUUGCGUAUUGUAAGCAGCAGACCAGGCAAGUAUCAUAUAUUUGCAUUUUGUUUAUGUGACGCCCCCAAAUCCGGGUUAUCUUUAACUCGGGUUUGGUGCUUACGAUUCUAGAAUACCCAUUCAUACUAAAAAUAAAACUGUCUUAUAUUACAUAAACAUUGAACUUAAAUCCCAGGUUCUAGAGACCUUUACAUACAAGCCAAAUAUUAUUACAUCAUAGUGCUACAGUAUUUAUUACAUGCACUACUUAGGUUCAUUUAAGCACAUGCGCUUAAUAAUUGACUACUCAACAACCUUGCCCUUUCCUUUGUCUUUUCCAGAUGGACCGGCAACCUCAAUUUUAACUGAAAACAUUAUAUUUAACGCAAGGGUGGGCAACAAGUUUGCCCAGCAAGGAAAUAAGCAGCUAAAUAUAAGAGAACAAAAAUAUUACAGUAAUGGGGAUAUCAUACAGAAGGUAUAGAACAAAGUAAUUCUUAAGAGUGUUGAGUCAAAAGUCAGGAUUUAUCAUGCUGUAAGGUCAAAUGACCAGUGAACACUAUACUAGAAUUUACAGUAAUAAUACUGCAAUCUAUGAAUACAAACAGUUAUAAAGCUGUUUUAUAUCCUAGACUCGUACUUCAGGGGAUCAGCCUAAGUACCCUAUAUUGUGCACAACAUAACAGUCUAAUAAAACUUUACAUGUCCUUCAGAAUCAUAUAUACGGUACAAUACGCCCCUAAAAAAGGGUUGUUCGUUCACAGCAUUAUAUAAGAAUCCAUACCACAAUAACAAAAUGGUUUGGAAAGAAUUAACUGAUAAAUUCAUAAACAAUAUCAAUAUAUCUCAACCUUUGUCCAAGCGAAGUAAUGGUAUUGACAUACUUUCAAUAUAACUUUUAUUCAAGAUAGAAAAGUUGAUAUACUAUUCUUUUGAAGCUGAUUGGAAUAAAAAGGCUAUUUAACCUUAUAUUAUUCAUAAAUAAGGACAAACAGUUCAGAAAUUAAAGAACCUGUCCACUGCAGAAUAUUUGCUCAAUAAAGAGUAAGGAUUAGAAACUUGCCUUGUUUGUAGUCUAUCGUUUAGGAUUUCAGCUUAAUUGAAGUAUUUCUCAAAGUCCUACACAGUUAUUUGUAUUAACAAGCAUGUUAAUCACAUAGCUAUGUUAUAUAGUUUGUAAGCUCACAUAUCACAUAAUUUCAGUGAUUAUGGUUGUAGUUAAAUUAUUAUUUUUGAUACAUUUUUCAAAUAUCUCAUCCAUGCUUUCAAGAGACAUUUUUCACUUUGAUGGGUUUCAACAAGCUUUCAACAAGUAAUAGAAAUCAUAUUACAGUCAUCAUUUGCAUUAACCAAGUAUGUUAGCCACAUAGCUAAGUCAUAUAUCAUGUAGUUUUAAUGGUCAUGGUUAGAUUUCCUAUAUUUGAUACAUUUUUCAAAUACCUCAUCCAUGCUUUCAAGAGACAUUUUUCACUUUAUUAGUGUUCAAUAUGCAAUACUUUACAACUACCAUCUCCAUUUCCUUAGUAACAUAGUAUAUAAUCAUUUUAUGUUUCCUUUACUUAAUUUCUAGCAUAUAAGGUGUUUUCAUAGCUUAUUGUCGGUUUUGAAGGUAUUUCUUAUAUGUAUGGUUAACCUAUAGUCUUCCUCAUAGUUUAUAGAUUCAUUUUGACACACCAGUGUAUCAAUUAUCACUGUUUUCACCUAUGAUGCUAAAACAGCCCUUUGAGGCUUUAAUUUUUUUAAACAUGACUUAAUGAUCCCAAUUUAGGUUUACUGUUUAUAUUAGAUUUCAUUUAGAAUUUUUCUCCUACACUUGCUUGCAUCAUAACUCUACUCAUUUAGAGAAACAUAAUCUAUCCUUUAUAGAUAAUCUGGUUACUAAAACUAAAUUUGGAUUCAAACAUGAAUUUUACAAAACAGUCAUUAUUGUAGCUGCUAUACCACAACUGUUGUUUCCCAUUCUACUUGUUGUGGCUAUUGGUAUCAGCUAUAUGCUGCCACUAUUAGGCAGUAAGUCACAUCACUCAUGCCCAAAAAUGCUUCUAAAUUAACCUUUUCAGCUGGCUUUGCAGGCUUUGCAGCCCUUAAUUGAGCCUUACAGCUCAAUAAUCUCUGUAACACAUUUCAGUUAUUAGUCUUAUCUUAUAACUUGCUAUUCCAUUAACAUUUUCUAUGUAUGAAUGCACUGCCAACUGCUACUGCUGGUGUUGCUGUUGCUGCCAAUGGGCAGCGACUAUUAUUUUCUUACCAUAAGCUGUUUGGUCUGUUUCAAGUGCUGCAGUCACAUGUCAUCAUGCUCCAUCAACUAGAGUAAACAAAAAUGCAUGAACUUAACUUACUAACUGCAGCCCAAGAAAAACAAACUCAGCUGUCAAAAUGACAGUGCAGUCAUCUACUUGAAGUUGCCAAGGACAACAGCUAUCCGAAGCUUUUUGCUACUGUCAUUAGCAGCCUCCCUUGCUCCUUAACCCAUUCCCAACAAUCCUCUAACCUCAGUUUUGCUAUAUUUCUAGGAAUAGGCCUCAUGGCUAUAAUCUUUUAGAGUUAUAAGGUUAUCCCAGUUGGCCUAUUAAGCUUUGGCUCCUUGGUUUAGUGACUGUUUCAACAGAGUAGGCAAAGGAGUUUGUCAAGCUAGAAUUACUUAGCCUAAAAACUGAACUAUGCUAAAAAUUUCUAUGCCAAAACAUUACAGUCAUCACAUAUGUUGGGUAAAUCAGGUAAAUAGUGUACUAGUUCUACUAUUCAGUUUCUUUUUACUAAAACAGUCCUCUUAGGUCUUUUAUCAAACAGUUGGUGGGCAUGGUUAUAAGCUACUAGUUCCAUAGCCAUUUGUUUAUAUUCCAACUCAUAUUUUCCCCUUAUUACUCCACAGCCCACUUAUCUCCUUGUGCUUAAAUUAUAACAAUAUCAUAAUGGCAUAACAAUCAAUGAAAUGUUACAACAGUUUAUAUAUAGCAGCUUAACACCCACAUAGCAGUCCUCAAAUCCAUACUAGGCCUUUUAGGCUAAAUGAUCAAAACAGUCCUUAAGUUUUUAACACAAGGAUUAAUAUAACAUGUACAUACUAUGUUUUAUGGUUUAAAGACCCCAAUACCAACCAUCCUGUCUUGACACUAUAACAGCUUUAGACUAGCAAUUUGGUCAUGGUUUAUCACACCAAACCAAUAGCAAGCACUGAUAUGUAUGCCUUUCUAACACUAAAACAUUUUACCUACCAUAUUUUCAUGGUUUAAAGCAUCUAGAGGCAAGGUCCUUAAGUUUAAAAUCAAAACAGCCUCUCAUAGGCUUUUAAAGUAAUAUAAGAUAGCAUGCUUGGGCAACAUGAAAACAAGGACUGCCUACUAUGAAUAUAUUAGAAGUAAGGCAUGAUCAUCAUAAUAAACUUCUAAUAACAGUCCACAUAAUGCAAUAACAGUUCAUAUAAGGCAAUAAUAAUUUAUAUAGCAACUAAAGUCCUUCUAACAGUCAUUUAUGCUUAUUCUAGUCACCACAACAAGUAUACUGUCUUAGUCCAUUCUGUAUACUAGUUCUGGGCAUGGUAAUAUAUUUUACAAUCAUAAAUAACCAACCAUCUUGGACUCCUUUCCAGCCACACUGUUUUGCCAUUAUAGCAGUUUUAGACUAGCACCUUAGGCACAGUUCAUCACAGCAAAACAGUAGCAACAUAGCAUAGCGUAUCAGUCCAGUUAUUACAAUAACAGUUGGUAUAUCACAAGGAUGAUGCUACAGCUAUUCAAGUCUCUUUUAGGCCAUUUUGGCAAGGUUUUAGUAAUAAGUUAUCAAAGCGGUCAUUAGUGUGCAAUACAAAGAUUAUUACCUCAUGUACAUGCUAUAGAAUAUAUGUUCAUGUUUUAAGAGCCUAUAUACAAGGUUUCUUGCUGUUAGUUCAUAACAAUCCCUUAUAGGCUUCAAUUUAAUACACGGAAGCAUGAUCUGAAAAAUUUAGUUAUCAAAAUAACAUGUUUAAACAUAAACAUAUACUCGAGGUAUUCUUUUUCUUUCUAUAUAAUCAAGUAGACAUGCUAUUAGGCUCUAUUUACAGCUAGCAUACCUUGAUACCAUAACAGUCCAAUUAGAGCAAUAUUUUAGGCAUGGUCUAUUACAACAAAAUGGUAGCAAGCACUGACAUGUUUUCCUUUCUAACACAGGCACCUUUUAUUUAUCAUAUAUUCAUGAUUUAAAACAUCUAAAGGCAAAAUCUCUUUGCUUUAAGCCAACACAGCCCUCUUUAGGACCCACUUUCCAAAAAUAACCAUGGUUUACCCUUAUGUUUACAAGGAUAACAUGGAUGUGCAACAUAGAAGUUUAGACUAUCUUCUUUAUAUGGUAUUUAAGAUGCAAAAAUAUAUUUGGAUGUCAUAGAAUGCCUUACCCCAUAUAUAUCAGUCCUUAUUAAGCCUCAAAUCUAGCAUACCAGUUUCUCAGAAUAGUGGCCAAGUCUUGGUUAAUUGCUUAGAUUACAUAUAUGCUAGUAUACAAUAGUUAUACCCAAUACAUCAUGCCACAUAUAACAUAUAAGCAGUCCUUUAUUAAUAAUCAUAGCAUAACAGUCCAUUUAACAUCAUAGCAAUUCAUAUGGUAACACAGAUCAUGCUAACCGAAAUCAUAAUAUCAUUAACUUUUUAGCAGCUCCUUAGCUUGACAAAUUAUCAAACACCUAGAGUGCAGUCUAUAUACUUGCACUUAAUACAUAAUUUCUAGCCCUCUGCCCCCAGCCGUAUGGCUUAAACAAUAUCAAGCAUAAGACCACACUUAUCAGUACCAAACCCAGCAGUUCAAAUAACAUGAAAGCAGUCAGUUAUCAUAACAGCCAUACACGUUUUUGGUCAUUGACAAUUCAUUUUACUAAUUAAUUUAAUAGCCAUCCUAAUCAUUUAUCAAUUCAGUUGUUACCCGGAAUGAAUGGAAAGAUUAGAAAGGCCAGAAUUGGCUUACCUUGCUGAUUCGAAGGUAUCAAGUGGUUGAGCUGCUUAAUUCCUUUUCCCCUCUAGCCGAACUCUUCACUCUUACUCUAUAUGACCGUUGCUGCUAAUUCUUUUGGACUCAGUUAAGUGAUGAGGCUAAUUGAUUUUGGGUAAUAACCUGGCCUUUUUAUGGCUGAGCUUAGCUUCCUUACAGUUGAUCGCAUCACCUUCUACUUGCCCCCUAACAUAUAAUCUAUUACCUCUAGCAGUUAGACUGCUCUGCAGCCACCCUACAAGACCCUAGUCUCUCUGCCAUGCCUUAUCUGUUGCUAACCUGUCUACUAACUAAUAACUGACUAACUUAUAGACUAACUACUGCUAACAACAGAACAGCCUCAGCUCCUAAGUUUACCCCUGUGGGCUGUUGGAAAAAAUCCUAAGGCAAGGCUGGGCAGUGGUUUCAUUUUGGGCCUAGUCCCUUUAACCCAAAGUUUUACUUGUUAAUUUGCUAUACUCCAAUGGGUUUACAGGAUUGGGUUUUGGACAUCCAUUUCACUCUUUAACACUUGGAGCUGCCGAAUUGGGCUAGCAAAUAGACUACAUGCAACGAUCAUGGCAAAAUUAUUAAGGCCCAAUAUUUUAAUAUGGACUCUUGUUACAUUAAAACACAUGGACUAUUAUUUUCUCUAGCAACAAUAGUUAUAACAUAUAUCAUUAAAAUGACUAUUCUAUGUAAUCUUAAAUAAUUCAUGAUGGCACAUAAUUUCUUUGCCCUUUAUAACUCAAGAUGCUAAACGAACUAUUAAAUAAAUAAUAUUUUUAUCACAAUGAGAAUUAACAUAUCAUAAAAAAAAAUUUAUACUCAAAAAUUGACAUUACAAUAAUUAAAUAUUACAUAGGAUGAACUACAGGCCAAUGAGGACUUUUACCACAUCAUUCGUCACAUUACGGUCAUUAUUAUACCGAAUCAUCCCUGGUCAUAAUCAUACCAAGUCCAUCUAUGCACGUAAGCCAAAGAUGACUUUCAUCACAAUAUAAGCAUGAGGAUGAUGACAAUAAUAUAAGCAUUAAUCAAACGAAAAUAAUGAUAAAUUUUAAAGACUUUAAAUUUAUCCAAAUGUUUAUCAAUCACUUAAUAAACUCAUAAUCUAAUAUUAUUAAUAUUAUAACAAUAUUUUAAUCACUUCUUGAACUUAUAAACAAUUUAUUCUAAUUGUUUACACUUUCCCAAAUAAUACAUUUUAAUCAUUCAAAAAUACCAUACUCAUAAGAUUUCAUCACCAAUGAUCAAAUCCCUUAUCAAAAAUCUGCAUAUACCUUAUAUAGGAUUUCCAAGCCAUAAAAUCCAUUUUACCAAUUUUUCAACUUCACAUAACAUAUUUAAUUCAUAUGUUCGUAACUAAACUAUUUUCAUGAAAAAUACCAAAUCAGUCCAAAAAAUUAUUCUUUUUUGGGAUUUAGCAGAAUAUAGUCCCAUAUUGAACAUAUAUUUUUCUCAUAAUUUUUAAAAUUCAUUUACUAUUUUUCAUAUGGCCAAAACUGCCGAAUAUUUAGACAUUUAUCAUAAAUUGUACUUUUGUCCAAAAAUUCCGAAAUUUACAAGGUAUACUCCUAUUAUAUAUGUGUACUCCCAAUAAAAAUUUAACCAAUUUUGGAGUUAACCACAAGGAGUUAUAAGGGUUUACUUUUAAAAUAGUUUUUUCCCAUAAAAUUCAUAACUCCUAAUCUAUACAUCCAAAAAUUGCCAUUUUUGGACACAAUCUAGAAAUCUCAACAAACUAUCAUUUCAAAUGUUUCCAAAAUUUUUGAGGGUCAGAAAAAUUACGAAACUGCAAAUAGAUUUUCACCCGUCAUUCGGUAAUCCAGGUAGACAGAUCAUUUCCACAAUUUAAUAAGGAAUGAAUACAAAGGAUCAUUCACCAUGCAUGCGGUAAUCCACAUAGACAGGUUAUUCCAACAGAAUAAUAAAAAAUAGAAUAACAACAGAAUUCACCAGGCAUACGGUAAUCCGCGUAUACAGGUUAUUCCAAUAGAAUAAUAAAUAAUGGAACCAGGUCAUGCGUAAUCCGCAUAGACAGGAUAUUCCAACAGAAUAAUAAAGAAUGGAAUAACAACAGAAAUUCACCAAGCAUACGGUAAUCCGCGUAUACAGGUAAUUCUAACAGAAUAAUAAAGAAUGGAAUAACAAUAGAAUUCACCAGGCAUACGAUAAUCCGCGUAUACAGGUUAUUCCAACAGAAUAAUAAAGAAUGGAAUAAUAGAAAAUUUUCACCACGUAUGCGGUACUUCGCAUAGACAGGUUACUCCAAUAUAAUAAUAAAGAAUGAAAUAACAAAAGAAUUUCACCAUGUAUGCGAUACUUCGCAUAAACAGGUUAUUCCAACAUAAUAAUAAAGAAUGGAAUAACAACAGCUCUCUUCAUGAAUACGAAAGAAAUAAUAAUACCCCUUACCUUAGAAGAAACUGGAUACUGGAAUAGUGAGGUAGCAGGCUUCUCUUCUUCUUUCUCUCUAUAAUUUCUCUCUAUAAUAAUUGCUCUAUAGCUUUAGUGAAUUGGUGAGAAAUGAAGGAAGAAUGAGCUUCUGUUUAUAGGAAAACAUAGUUUCAAUAAUUGCACAUUUUGGGGCUCGAAAUAUUACAUUAUAAUACCUUCCUCUUUUUCUUUAUUUUUAAUUUAGCCCUGCAAGUAUUAUCAAACUUGCACCACCUCCUCUAAUAGUAAAUCAUGUGAAUUAAUAGUAAAUCAUGUGAAUCAAUAGUUCUAGACAUGUGAAAAUACGAAUUACAGUAUAGUACCUCCAUCUAUACCUCUAUUUUUAACUUAGUCAUGCAAGUAUUAUCAAUCUUGCACCAACUCCCCUAAUAGUACCAUAAUGUGAAUCAAUAGUACACACAUGUGAACAAAUAGUUAUAAUCAUAUGAAUUAAUAGCAAUUAAAAGCUCAUUUAUCCGGAUAAUUACCCGAUUGGUCAAUAUAACCUCCAGACAUCAAUUAUCAUCGAAAUAAAUGUCGAUUCCCACUAACACUAAUAAUUCCAACACAAUGGAACUAUCAAUUUCAUCUUUAAUCAACACAAAUUUAUUCAUCAUUAAUAUUAUAACUCAUAAUAUUUAACAACAAGAUCGUUCCCAGGAAAGAGGGGGCCUUCCGGUAAGGAUUUCUCCUCACUGGUGCGCAAUUACCUAACCUCUCCUUGACAGAACUUCUAGACAUUGUCAAUAUUGCAAUUUAAUAAUAUUAAUAAGUUUACCAUCUUAAUUAUUUAUUUAAUAAUAUAACAUAUUAUGCAGAUGAUACUGUGACAAUAAUUGAAUCAAUAAUAUGAGAGAUAUGAUGUAAUAAUUACUGUAGCAAUAAUUGAGUAUAACUGAGUGACUUCUUACGUAAGCAUUAAUAAUCAAUACCGUGUGCUACUCAAUUCGUCAGCUACCACGUUCGCUCUUUCAUGAUGAUAUUGAAUGGUACGAUCGUAAUCUUCUACAGCUCAAGCCAACGUCUUUGGCACAUUAUACGAUUAUUUUAGGUAAAGAAAUAUUUGAGGGUUUUAGAAAUGAGUUUUGUACUUGGGUCAAUACAAAAUAUGAUUUCACGCUCUGGGGUAGGCAAGGAAGUUCUUCGAGAAUACGUCAGAAUAUUUAUUAACAAUAGAAAUAUCAUUUAAAAACUGUGACUCUCAUCCAAGACUUGGACAACACAUGAAAUGAAGGUUUCUACUAACGAAGUUUCAACCAAUAAGUCAAAGUCUAACUUCUCUGGGGUCAAAUUUAAAUGUUGAGCGCAAGCAAGAGAGAUAAAAGAAUGGGUAGAACCGGUAUCUAAUAAGGUAUAGACUUCGCAAAAAUUUAUAAUUAACUAACCCGUGCUAACUUCGUUCGGGUUACUCGCUUUUUGAGAAGUCAUGAAAAACGCUCUUCCUGAAACCACCGACUUUGUUUUGUCCAUAUCCGCCUUUGGUGCCACCGUCCCAGCUGGACUUGACUUUGGUGCACGACAAAAUCGGGCUAAGUGUCCUUUUCCAUAAUUAUAACAUGUUUUGGACUGCAUCACGCAGUUUGGACUGAUAUGUCCCUCCCCUCCGCAUUUGAAGCAUACAAUUGGUGGUCGUUCUCCUUCCUUGAAAACGGGUGUUGGUGCUGCUGUCUUUGCAUCUUUGUUGAACCUUCUCUUCUUGAAAUUUCCACUCCUAUUAUCUUGGUCAUGAUUACCACCGAAGUGGUUACCAUUCUUGGUGUAAGACCCCAACUUUUAUGAAUAAAAAAUGAAUUUUCUAUAAAUAUCAUUUUUGAAUAUUAUGGAGUAAAUUUGAUAUAAUGUUAUAGUUGUGGGUAAUAUUUAUAAAUUUUGAAAAGUACGCAAGUUGUUAUAUAAUAUUCGUUUGGUCGGAAAAUAUUCUUUUUGUCGGGAAUAUCCGUACGACGACACAAUCAUUGGUGGACCCCCACAACGGAAGUAUUGUCGUAGUAAGAAAACGACAGAAUUAUCUUUUUAUAAAAAUAACGGCUAAAGUUUUACCGUUAAAACUGUUGAACUACUCGGUAGUAAAAGUACAGUAAUACGUGUGGUUGCAUAGUAGCACACGAUAUUGAUUAUUAAUACUUACGUGAGAAGUCACUCAGUUAUACUCAAUUAUUGCUAUAGUAAUUGUUGCAUCAUAUCUCUCAUAUUAUUGAUUCAUUUAUUGUCACAGUAUUAUCUGCAUAAUAUGUUAUAUUAUUAAAUCAAUAAUUGAGACGACAAAGUUAUUAAUAUUAUUAAAUUGCAAUAUUGACAAUGUCUAGAAGUUCUGUCAAGGAGAGGUUAGGUAAUUGCGCGCCAAUGAGGAGAAAUCCUUACCGGAAGGCCCCCUCUUUCCUGGGAACGAUCUUGUUGUUAAAUAUUAUGAGUUAUAAUAUUAAUGAUGAAUAAGUUUUGUUGAUUAAAGAUGAAAUUGAUAGUUCCAUUGUGUUGGGAUUAUUAGCGUUAGUGGAAAUCGACAUUUAUUUUGAUGAUAGUUGAUGUCUGGGGGUUAUAUUGAUAAAUCGGGUAAUUUAUCGGAUAAAUGAGCAAUUAAUUGCUACUAAUUCACAUGUUUAUAUAACUAUUUGUUCACAUGUGUGUACUAUUGAUUCACAUUCUGGUACUAUUAGGGGAGUUGGUGCAAGAUUGAUAAUACUUGCAUGACUAAGUUAAAAAUUGAGGUAUAGAUGGAUGUACUAUACUGUAAUUCGUAUUUUCACAUAUCUAGAACUAUUGAGUCACAUGAUUUACUAUUAAUUCACAUGAUUUACUAUUAGGGGAGUUGGUGCAAGAUUGAUAAUACUUGCAGGACUAAAUUAAAGAUAAAGAAAAAGAGGAAGGUAUUAUACUGUAAUAUUUUGAGCCCCAAAACGUGCAAUUAUCAAAACUAUAUUUUCCUAUAAAUAGAAGCUCAUUCCUUCAUUAUUUUUCACUAAUUCACUAAAGCUAUAGAGCAUUUAUUAUAGAGAGAAAUUAUAGAGAGAAAGAAGAAGAAAAGUCUACACUUCACUACUCCAGUAUCCAAUCUUCUUUGAGGUAAGGGGUAUUAUUCUUUCGUAUUCAUGAAGAGAGUUAUUUUUUUUCAAUACUCGUUAUUCCAUUCCUUAUUAUUAUGUUGGAAUAACAUGUCUAUGCGAAGUACCGCAUACAUGGUGAAAUUCUUCUAUUAUUCCAUUCUUUAAUAUUCUGUUGAAAUAUCUUGUUUGUGCGUUUUACGCAAGACCUGGUUCCAUUAUAUAUUAUUCUGUCAGAAUAUCUUGUCUGUGCUUUACGCAUGACCUGGUUCCAUUAUUUAUUAUUCAGUUUGAAUAACAUGUAUACGCGGAUUACCGUAUACCUGGUGAAUUUUGUUGUUAUUACAUUCUUUAUUAUACUCAGUUGGUUAAAGUUUUGGCUUUUAUACUCUAUGAAAUUAGUGGAAUAUCCUUGAUAUUUGCGCUUCAUCCAAUAUCUUUUCAUGGAAAUAUUCUUCUGAGCAUUCUUGAAUUUUACAUCACAAAGCAGUAUCAUGUUGACAUUUUGGACGUUAUUGGUUCCUGGAUAAAUUAAUUCUUGAACUUGUUUUAUUGAAUUCUUAUAUCAUUAUCAUCAUCCUCAUGUUUAUAUUCUGUUGAGAGUCAUCUGUGGCCUGUAGUGCAUAGAUGGACUUGGUAUGAUUAUGACCAGGGAUUAUUCGGUAUAAUCAUGACUGUAAUAUUACAAAUAAUAUGGUAAAAGUCCUCAUUGGCCGUAGUGCAUUGUUGGACAAUUGUUGGUAUGAUCAUGACCAUUGAUGAAUACACGAAUAUCCUUGGUCGUAGUGCAGGGAUGAUGUUGAUUAUUUAUUAACCUGAGUCUCAGCGAUGAAAAUGAUGAAAAACCUUUUUAAAUCAUAGAAGAUAAUAGAUUUUAUGCUCUAUUUGACUCUUUUAAUGGAUUGCUUAUUUUCGCUGCAGUUUUUGAUCUAAAACUUGUUGUUUAUUAUAUUCUAUCAGUUGUUAUACUGUUGAAGGCUAAGGAUAAUUUAUUCUGCAUUAACUUAGUCAUAAUAUUUCUUACUGGGCUUGUUGAGCUCACCCUUUUCUUUCAUGGUUCUCUUCAGGAAAUGAGAACGUAGCUGAGACUAGUCAGGGAACAGAGUGACGGCCCAGAUGUUUGCAUUAAUUGUCCUCACUAUUCUGUGAAAUAGUGUGAUAAUAAAUGUAAUGAGGACUCCAUUGAGUGUGGAUAUUGUCUAGAUGACAAUAUUCUUCUUAAAACUCUUAGAUUAUGUUUUGUCGUAUUUUACACGACUGUUGUAUAAUUAAGUUGUAUUUGAAUUUUGUACCAUAUAUCCGGCGACUCAAGAUGGGUGAUGUAUACCUAUUUUGAGGGCAUCAUAGUUGGUAUCAAAGCUUAGGGAUAUGAUCCCUGGUUGAGAUGUGAGAUAAGAACUAGGAGGGGAGAGACGGGGAAUUCCUUUGUUAGUAUAACCUACCUAAGUUUAUUUGGUAUUUAAUUGGUCGGUCACAAUAUAUGGAUAAUAUGUGACAUGUCAAUUAACCCUUGUUUUGUGACAGUAUUUGAAAAUGGCAUCCGAAAAUGUUGAGAAUAGCAAUGGAGCACAGGAGACCGUUGAGUCACCAUAGAUUAAUACCCAGGAUAAUGUGUAACAGGAAGAAAAUAAUCCUCAGGUAAACAAUAACACCGAUGAAAUGGGGAACGAUGGGAUGUUCAGAGGCUUUAUGCAAUUCAUGCAACAUCAGGCGAGGGCGGCUCCUGUCCAAAAUGCAGGUGGAAACACUGACAACUCUCGGACGGUCACCGCUAAGCAGUUCAAGGAGCUGGGACCACCGGAGUUUUUUGGAGAGCCAAAACCACUUAAGACAGAGACGUGGAUAAAGAAGAUCAACAGGAUAUUUGAUGUCUUGGGAUGCUCCGAGGAACAAAAGGUUCCUUUUGUCACCUUCAUGUUGCGAGCAGAGGCAGAUUACUGGUGGGAAUCCGUAAAGCGUACUCAACUUGCCGCACUGAAAAUGUCUUGGGAGAAGUUCCAAGAACUGUUCAACGAAAAGUACUUUCCCGAAAGUAUUCGUCAAAUGAAAGAGGUAGAGUUCAUCAAGCUUGAGCAAAAAAAUAUGACUGUGGCGCAGUACAAAGCUAAGUUUGUCGAGUUAUCUCGGUUUGCGUCCCACUUGAUUGAUAAUAAGGAGAGAAUGACGCGGAUGUUUUCAAAGAGGUUUGAAACCCGAGAUACGUCAAUACCUAAUUUCUCACAAACCGUGUUUGUAUUCAGAUGUUGUGAAUAGGGCUCAGUUAUUGGAGCGCGAUAAUGAAUCAACCCAACCAAGAGAGAGCAGCCGACAAGUCGAUAAUACCAGUGGUAGCAGUCAUCGAAGCGGUGACAACAAGCGUGGAGGGAAUCAACAUGCCAAAAAUGGUAAUCACUUCGGUGGUAAUCAUGGCCAUGACAAUAAGAGUGGACAUUUCAAGAAGACGAGAUUCAACAAUGAUGGAAAGACGUCAGCACCAGCACCUGUUGUUAAGGAAGGAGAACAAUCGCCGGUCGUAUAUUAUAAAUGCGGAGGGGAGGGACAUAUCAGUCCAAACUGCGUGAUGCAGUCCAAAGCAUGUUACAAUUGUGGAAGAGAAGGUCACCUAGGCUGAUUUUUUCGUGCACCAAAGUCAAGUCCAGCUGGGAUGGAGGCAUCAAAGGCCGUCCCAGACAAGACAAAACCGGUAGUUCAACGGAGAGCGUUUGUCGUAACCUCCCAAAAAGUGAGGAAUCCGAAUGAGGUGAUCACGGGUAAGCUAAUCAUAAACUCUAGCAAAGUCUAUACCUUAUUUGAUACCGGCUCUACCCAUUCUUUUAUUUCUCCUAUUUGCGCUCAACGUUUAAAUUUGACUCCGAAGAAGUUAGACUUUGACUUAUCGGUUAAAACUCCAUUGGGAGAAACCUUCAUUACAUCCACUAUUUAUAAGUCUUGUUUGAUUCAAAUCGGUAACCGUACAUUACCUGUCGAUCUUUUUUCUUUGAAAAUACUUGCAUUUGAUGUGAUUUUAGAGAUUAAUUGGUUAACUACUCAUCAUGCUAAAAUCGAUUGUUUUCGUAAGGUUGUUAGCUUUCAUAUUCCUAACCAACCUAUUAUGCGAAUUCAAGCAACCAAACAACUAAAAUCAAUCACUAUCAUAUCAAGCCAUAAAGCUAUUCAUUUAUUAAAAAAUGGAUGUCAAGCUUUCUUAGCCCAUGUCACGGAUUUAAAUAAAAAUACGUCAGAUUUGAAUGAUAUUUCUAUUGUUCAUAAAUUUCCUGACGUAUUCCUUGAAGAAAUUCCUGGCCUACCCCUAGAGUGUGAAAUUGAAUUUUGUAUCGACCUUGAAUGUGGUACAAAACCCAUUUCCAAAGCCCCAUAUCGAAUGGCUCCUAUUGAACUUCAGGAGUUAAAAACCUAACUACAGGAAUUAUUAGACAUCAGUUUCAUUCGUCCUAGUACAUCUCCUUGGGGUGCUCCUGUUCUAUUCGUGAAGAAGAAAGAUGGAAGUAUGCAACUUUGUAUUGAUUAUCGGGAGUUGAAUCAUGUCACCAUCAAAAAUAGGUACCCGUUGCCUCGCAUUAAUGACCUGUUUGACCAGUUGCAAGGAGCUAAAUUCUUUUCAAAGAUUGAUCUUCGUUCCGGAUAUCAUCAGUUGAAGAUUAAAACUGAUGACAUUCCAAAGACUGAUUUCAGAACUCGGUAAGGGCAUUAUGAAUUUCUAGUCAUGUCUUUUGGAUUGACUAAUGCUCCUGCUGCCUUCAUGGACAUGAUGAACCGAGUAUUCAAGGAAUAUUUGGAUCACUUUGUGGUCGUCUUUAUUGAUGACAUCCUCAUAUACUCCAAAAGCCGUGAAGACCAUGAUCAACACUUGAGGCUGAUACUUCAAAAACUUCGUGAGAACAAGCUUUAUGCCUAGUUAAAGAAAUGUGAGUUCUGGCUUGAGGAAGUUGCAUUCCUUGGGCACGUGAUAUCAAAUCAUGGAAUAUCUGUUGAACCAGCAAAGAUUGAAGGAAUCCAAAGCUAGGAGCAACCAAAGUCAGUGACUGAAAUACGUAGCUUUCUUGGCUUAGUUGGUUAUUAUCGGAGAUUCGUGGAAGGAUUUUCUCGAAUCGCUACUCCAUUAACUCAGCUGACUCGAAAAGAUACAAAGUUCAGUUGGAGCGAGAAAUGUGAGAAGAGUUUUCAAGAACUCAAGAGAAGACUCAUUUCAGCACAUGUUCUGACAAUACCAUCUGGCUCGGAGGGAUUUGUCAUCUACAGUGAUGCUUCAGGCAAAGGGGUUAGGAUGUGUUCUCAUGCAACAUGGAAAAGUCAUAGCCUAUGCCUCACGACAACUCAAAGAAUAUGAGAGGAAUUAUCCUACUCAUGAUCUAAAGUUGGCAGCAGUCGUUUUUGCGCUUAAGAUUUGGAGGCAUUACCUGUAUGGAGAGAAGGUGGAGAUCUAUACGGAUCAUAAAAGCCUCAAAUAUUUCUUCACUCAAAAGGAACUCAACAUGCGGCAAUGACGAUGGCUUGAGCUGUUAAAAGAUUAUGAUCAUACCAUCCAAUACCAUCCUGGAAAAGCGAACGUAGUAGCUGACGCAUUGAGUAGAAGAUCAUAUGCGGGUACGAGUGCAAUAUUGUCAACGCUAAGACCCAUUUUGUAUGACUAACGAAGGAUGGAGAUAGAGUUAAAAACUCCAGGGACCCAUGUGAUAAUGACGGAUAUACGAGUAGAACCGACUUUAAUCAAUAAAGUUAAAGCUGCUCAAGCUACAGACCUGGAGCUGAUGCAUAUGAGGAAGAAAGUGCAAGAAGGUGCUAUUCCAGAAGCAAGAAUCGAUGAAGAAAGAAUACUUCGAGUCAACUCCAGACUUUGUGUUCCUAACGAUUUUGACUUGAAGUAUAAAAUCAUGAUGGAGGCAAACAACACACCGUUUGCAAUCCAUCACGGGAGUACCAAAAUGUAUCGUGAUCUUCGACAUACAUUUUGGUGGAGCAAUAUGAAGAGAGAGAUAGCGGGGUUUAUCUCAAGGUGUCUAACUUUUCAACGAGUCAAGGCGGAGCAUCAAGUGCCAAAAGGUCCAUUGCAACCACUUGAAAUUCCAGAAUGGAAGUGGGAGCACAUUACCAUGGAUUUCGUUACUGGUCUUCCCAAGGUUUCCCAAGGCGUAGAUGCGAUUUCGGUCAUUGUUGAUAGAUUGACCAAGUCUACUCAUUUCUUACCGAUACGAGAAACUUAUACACUUGAACGUCUUGCUAGUAUGUACAUAAAUGAGAUUGUAAGAUUGCAUGGCAUGCCAGUAUCCAUAGUUUCUGAUCGAGACCCAAGAUUCACUUCAAGAUUUUGGGUUAGUGUGACGCCCCCAAAAUAGGUCCACACGAACCAUUCUGAGUCGCCAGAUAUCACACUAUAAAAAUCAAAUACAAACUUUAUUUAUACAACUGUUGAACUGUCGUGCAGAGUACGACAACAGUUAACUGUGAGUUUUAAUACAAAUAUUGUCAUCGUAGACAGUAUCCAAACUCAAAUUGUUACAAUGCCAUAUAAAAUACAGCAGCAAAUAUUUUAAGACCCCAAAGAAGAACGAGAAGAUUACUAUCAUAUUCAUUCUAAUGAGGUGCACUUUUGACGCUUUCAAAGUCGGGUUCUCAUCACCCUUAUUGUUGUUCACCAACAUCAAUUAUUAAGUGACGUAUAAAAUACAACACACACAUCUUAGGUCUUUAAUACAAUUAUCGGUUGCAUAUCAUGCCGUUUUAUAAUGUAUUGAGAAAUUUCGACAGUCUCGGACCAUCACACUAUUUUCCUGUUAUCCCCGCUCGACCCAGCUACACUCUUAUUACCUAAAAGGAAUUGUGAAGCAAAAGGGUGAGCACAAUUAGCCCAGUAAGGAAUAUCAUGGCUAAGAUAAUUAAUUUAUCAACAGCCUUUAUCAGAAUAAAUCAGAGAUUUAGAACAUAUGGUAGAUAAUAAAACGUUUCAACCAUAGUUGCAGCGGAACGAGUAAUCCAUUAGAUGAGUCAAGUAGAACAUAAUGUCUACUAUCUCCUCUAGAUUAAAAGUCCAUCGUUGAUAUUUUAUUCCUGUAAUACUCAUCAACAGUUCUUUGUUAUACUUAAGACAAAUAAAACUUUCAACACUUGUCUUCACCUGAACCACCAAAGAUGUUAGUUAAAUUCACAAUUCAUAUUUAUAAUAAUGUGAAUUAACAGUUCCUUCUUUCCACCAAGACUUAAUAGAAUGUUUACUCAAUAUCUUUACCCCAAAGGCUGAAGGUAUUCAAAUGUAAUAACAAUGAUCAUACCAAUCAGUUGUCUAUCUUUGCAUUACGGGCCAAAGAUAUUCAACUAUAGAACCAAUGGUCAUGAUCAUACCAAUCACAUCAUUGAAUUAUCCAUGCACUACGGCCAAGGAUAUUCGUUAGUAUCACUAGUGGUCAUGAUCAUGUCAUACACCUGUCCAUCUUCACACUACGGGUCAAAGCUAUCAAAUAACAGAUCAUCUUUGCACUACAGGCCAAAAAUAUUCAACAACAUAUCGUCUUUGCACUACAGGUCAAAGACAUACUACUGUAAAACCAAUAACCAACAAUAUAAUAAAGAAUGGAAUAAUAAAAGAAUUUCACCAUGCGUGCGUAAUCCGCACAGAAAGGUUAUUCCAACAUAAUAAUAAAGAAUGGAACCAGGUCAUGCGUAAAUGCACAGACAGGAUAUUCCAACAGAAUAAUAAAGAAUUGAAUAACAACAGACUUCACCAAGUAUACGGUAAUCCGCGUAUACAGGUUAUUCCAACAGAAUAAUAAAGAAUUGAAUAACAACAGACUUCACCAGGUAUACGGUAAUCCACGUAUACAGGUUAUUCCAACAGAAUAAUAAAGAAUUGAAUAACAACAGACUUCACCAGGUAUAUGGUAAUCCGCGUAUACAGGUUAUUCCAACAGAAUAAUCAAGAAUGGAAUAACAACAGACAUCACCAGGUAUACGGUAAUUCGCGUAUACAGGUUAUUCCAACAGAAUAAUAAAUGGAACCAGGUCAGGAGAAAUUCGCACCGACAGGAUAUUCCGACAGAAUAAUAAAGAAUAAAAUAAUAGAAGAAUUUCACCAUGUAUGCGGUACUUCGCAUAAACAGGUUAUUCCAACAUAAUAAUAAAUAAUGUAAUACAUAAGGAUUUCACCAAGUAAAGGGUAUGACGCUUAUACAGUUUAUGUAUAGGGUAUGCCUCAUAUACAGGUUAUUCCAACAGAAUAAUAAAGAAUGGAAUAACAGAAGUUCUCUUCAUGAAUAAGAAAGAAUAACACCCCUUACUAUAAUAAUAUUAUCCCUUACCGUAAAAAAACUGAAAAUAGAGGUAGUGAAGUAGCAGAAUAGUCUUCUUCUUUCUUUCUAUAAUUUCUCUCUCUAGAGUUUCAGUGAAUUCGUAAGAAAAUAAUGAAGGAAUGAGCUUCUAUUUAUAGAAGAAUGGAUUGCAUAGUAACUAACUCAUGAACGGUCCAAAUUGAUUUACUUUAAUCUGACGGUCCAUAUUUAAAGCAAAAUCUUUUAAAUAAAAUAUAAUAUAUUCUAUUUAUAAUCUAAUAAAAUAAAUAACUUUAUGUAAAUACUAUGCAGGCACUAUGCAAAUACUAUGCAUAAUAAAAUAUAAUAUAAUCUAAUUAUUGUCUAAUAAAACGAAUAACUUUAGAAAAGUAUUAUGUUUUAUAUAAAAAGAUUUUACUAUUAGUCUAAUAAAAUGAAUAACUUUAUAAAAGUAUUCUGUUUUAUAUAAAAAGUUUUUCUGUUUUAUUACGUUAAUAAUACGAAUAAAACAAAACUUCAUCAUCGCUUACUUUGAAAAUUUUUCAAAUGUCACCCUUAACUUUAAACUUUUAUCAAUUUAAUCAUUUACCAAAAUAGAAAAAUUGAAUACUUUUAUUUCAUAAAAUUCGGGGUCUCACAGUUAGUUUGCAAAAAGCUAUGGGCACGGAUUUACGAUUUAGUUCGGCAUAUCAUCCUCAAACGGAUGGGCAGUCGGAAAGGACUAUUCAAACUCUUGAGGAUUUAUUAAGAUUAUGUGUCCUUGACUUCAAGGGAAGUUGGGACAAGUUCUUACCAUUGGUGGAGUUUUCCUACAACAAUAGUUAUCAAGCAAGUAUUGGCAUGACUCCAUUUGAAGCGUUGUAUGGAAGAAAGUGUCGUUCUCCAGUAUGCUGGGAUGAGGUGGGUGAAGCAACGUUGUUGGGACUGGAGUUGGUACGUAUGACUACGAAAAAGAUUCAAACGAUCCGACAACGUAUAAAAACCUCACAAGAUNNNNNNNNNNNNNNNNNNNNNNNNNNNNNNNNNNNNNNNNNNNNNNNNNNNNNNNNNNNNNNNNNNNNNNNNNNNNNNNNNNNNNNNNNNNNNNNNNNNNUAUAUAUAUAUAUAUAUAUAUAUAUAUAUAUAUAUAUAUAUAUAUAUAUAUAUUGUCCAAAAUUAAUUUUUAGUUUUUGAGAUGGCAUGUAACCAUCACAUAUAUAUUUCUCCUUAAUGUGAUUGCAUUUAAGCCAUAACAAAGAAAAAAGUUUAAAAUAAUCUUUGGUGACAGCCAAGACCAUCACGAAAAGAAAACCACAUGUGAUGGACCUUUAUGAUUACAUUUAAAGUAAUCUCAACAAAUGGUAUUAUAUGAUGGACUUUUUCAACAAUCACAAAAUAAUAAUAUACAUGACGGCUCCUAGUAGUGGUUAUUUUUUCCAUCACCAUAAACUAUUUGUGACGGACAAGACAAUCACUAAAAAACAAGCAUAUAUGAACAACAAAUAUAUUAGGCGAGGAAUUUACUAGCAAUCACAAAAUAGUAGUAUAUAUGGUAGAUGUUACUCAAUGUCUAAUUGUGCCAUUAUUAUUAAAUAUUUAAGACAAUCAUUACAAUCACUAAAUUUUUCGCGUAAAUUGUACAUCUCUUUUUUAAGUCCCCAUUAAUCUUUAUUUUGCUUUGUUCUCUUUGUAAACUCAUUGUUUUUAUUGUGAAUUCAAAGGAUUUAGAGUUUAUCUCGUUUUUAUAUAACUAACUAUUUACGUUUGUUCUCUUUGUCUCGGUUGGUAUAUAUCUACUUCUUUCUAUGCAAGAAGUCUAGAGUCCAAAUCUCCACCCAAAAAAGAAACAGUGCAAAUGAUGGAGCAAAAUUCUUGCUGUUGGGGAAGAGCAGAUGGACUAAUUGAUGUAACCUUCAAAUUGGUGGGAAGAAAUCUGAAAUGGAAGGAGCAGUAAGCAGGAUUUUUUUUUUUACUAAAUUUAAAUUGUAUUAAAGGAGAAAGAAUGUACAAAAAUCAUGGGAAAACCCAAUCAGAAUAUAGUAUAUACAUCACCUCAAUCAGAAUAUAACAUAGACAUCAUAGGACAUGCCAUAUGAUGUCAUGACUAAAAAAGAAAAUAAGGCCAGAUGCCCAAACAAAAGAGAAACAAUCUCAACAUUCAUGAGAAUACAAUGCAUAGAAAUCAGACACAAAACCAAGAAAAACCUCAUCCAAAGUAGCAGCAGCCCACAAUAGCAGCAAAAGAAAAAUCAGUCCAAAGACCAAAAGGCAUCAUCCAUAACAGAACCGAAAGAGCCUACUGCAGACUAGCAGCACAAUAGAGCACAAGGCCCAACAAGAGAAGCCAACAACAGUUUAGCAAAGCAAAACAGCAGACAGGACAUGGAAAGCAAGAGCAACAAACCCCAAGAGCCCAAUGGCAGCCAUAGAAGUGCAGCAGCUGCAGCCGACAUCAAAUAAAACAGCAGUAAACGAUAGCAGCCAUAAGUACAGCACCACCCCCCAAAUCUGCAGCAUCAAGACAUAGAAAUAGUCACAAUACUGCAGACCAAAACACGCAAACAAUGCAGCAUAAGCAACAAACAGAGCAGCAAAUAGGUCUAUUUUCCUGCUUGUUUUCAAGGUUGUGUAGUAUUUAUUGUCAUUUUAGUAUUUUACAUAUAUGUCCAUUAUGGGUAAAAUAAGUUGUUUGGCAUGGGCAAUGAUGCCAGUGAAGGUUUUCUUUCUUCAGUGCUUGAUGGAAGCUCUCGAGCUGUAGUCACUACAAAGAUGAGGAGAUGCUGAAACCAUUUUCGAGCACAGUGAGAUAUAAUAGUUACAUAUAUGAAUAUGCCAUCUCAGAUGAUCAUGUUGGUGUAACACAGAAGCAUGUCUUCCAUGUGCUGGUACCAUUUCUCCUUCCUUUUCUGACAGUAGGCCUAUGAUUUCUUCUGGGAGUGCUGAGAAAGAGACUGCUAGACUAGAAUAUUGUAUACGGCACUAGAAAUAGGGCAGUCUUUCUGUAAACUGCAGAGCUAUGGUUCCUUGGAAUGAUCAUUGCUUUACAACGCAUUGAGUUUUUUUUUUCUACAUUUCUUUUUCCUGGAAAAGCCUAUUUGAGGGAGGAAAUAGGAGAAGUAGAAAUUUGUUGUGGGUAGAGAUGUUUUGGAUUUGUCCUUGGUUUCAGUAAUUAAACAUCUGCCAUUUUUAUUUGCGAUUAUAUCCGGAGGAAGCUUUUAUAUACUAGAUUCAUAAAUCAAGAAGUUCAAUAUAGGGAGCACCAGCUGCAACAGCAGCAGAGCAUGAGCAGCAACAUUAAUGUAGGUGGAAGCAUUGAAAGGACGUUCUAUUUGUUCAUGCCAUUUAAUCAUGGCAAUCAUUCUAUUUAUUCAUGGUAAUCAUUUUAUUUGUAUAUGCUUGUUCUUAUAUAGCUUAUAUUGACAGAAAAUUUAAAUGGAAGCUAUGAGAACCACAUUUUAUCAAGUCUUUCAGGUGGGUUAGCCUCUGCAUAGCUCUUACUAUUUCUUGCAGCUCGAGGAGCUAAAGCUUCCUAAAGUAUAGAAAUCACAAAACCAAGCAAAUAAGUUUAAAAAAAAAAAAGAACUAAAGAUAGAGUCGCAUGUCUUUCAAAUAUGUUUCAAAAAAAAAACACAUUCUCUAAAACACUGGUAACAGAGCUUCUCUAAAACUGAAUUUCAUGUCCAAGUUCAUGUUAUCAACUUAUAGUCUUAUAUGUAAUCAACAUAACUCAAACGACUUCCUCUUUUUCUAAUAAUUAAUAACAGGGAAAAAAUUUAAAAAUAUGGGUGAAUUGGAGAAAUAUAUCUUACAAUAACAAAGAAAAAGGGAAUCCUAGUCCAGAAACUUGUGCGCGCUCUCACGAAAGAUGUCUCAUGAGUAAGCCUGAAUCUUGACGGAUCUGCAUGUUCAUUGUAGGAGAAAUUUAACAUAAAGAGAUAGCCUCAUGUACACAAAUAUUAAAAUGAAUACUAAAUUCAAACUACAGAAUGAUAAAUAGUCAUUUCUUGAUCGUGCAGCGACAUAACAAUGGAAAACUCGGUCCUGAGAGGCAGUUUCCUGCUCCCAGACCUUCCAGCCACGAAUCUGUACAAGUUAAAAACUUAUUAGCAUUAUAUGUAGAAUCAAUCAGGUGAUAAUAUGAAGAGUGAUAGUGUUUUAUAGAAAAUGAAAAUAUUCGAAAAUUGUUUCGAACAUAUAUUAAAAUAAAUUAUUGUCCUUUUAUUUUAUUAAAUAAAAUAUUAAAAAAAUCAUUGUCUUCUUUAAUGCAGUUUAUAAAGAAACACGGGAAAAUGAAUAUAGGCCAAGUUAGUGAUAAAAGAAAGUGAAUGACAGACUUGGCAGGAACUCUAUUACUGUAGAAAAAUAAAGCAACAAUUGAAAGGAUUCUUAUUUCGAUAAUGAAAGGAAAUAAUAAUCGACUGAUAAUUAUCUGGAACAUGCCAACUACUAUAUAUAUAGGAAAACAUAACUAAAAAACUCAGCUACGUAGGCCUAAAUAUCAUCAUCUUCUUCUUCUUCUUCGAAAUAUUCAUCAUCAUUAAAAUAUUCAUUAUCAUCUUCAUCUUCAUCACUACAUUCUCUAUCUUCAUUUUCUGCUUCCGCUAAUGAUGGAUCCACUUCCGCCCACAUUAGGAUUACUCGUCAAUGGUUGAUCAAAUUUGAUAGAUUCGCCUUCUGAAACAAGAAGUUCUGGCCCUGGAGGGAUAAUAUCAACCACUUGACGUCCAUCCGAUGCAUCCGUUAUGGUUAUUUCGUAACCCCCCUUUUCUUUUCGUAUUAUUUUGCCUACUAUACCUGCUGCUGUAGCAUUAUAAACCGUAUUGUUACUCUUGCUCCCGUCGGGAUAAAUCUGACCCCUUCCCCUGUUUCCGCCUACGUAUAUAGGAUAUUUUAAGAAGUGAACAUCUUUCUUAGUAGCGGGGUCCGGGGAAAGAAUAGGAAAGGUGAUUUCACUAUAUUUUUGACCAGGAACAGGGCCUAUCACAAGAAUAUUUUUUUUAGUGGGGCGAUAGCUCUGAAAAGAAAGAUUGCCUAUCCUUUCUUUCAUCUCGGGAGAAAUCCGAUCAACAGGAGCUAAUUCAAAACCCUCCGGUAAAAUAAGAACAGCCCCUACAUUCAAAGCCCCCUUUUUACCAUUAGCAAGAACUUGUUUUAGUUGCAUAUCAUAAGGGAUUCGAACAACUGCUUCAAAUACAGUAUCAGGAAGUACGGCUUGUGGAACUUCAAUAUCCACGGGCUUAUUAGCUAAAUGGCAAUUGGCACAUACAAUACGCCCAGUCGCUUCUCGUGGAUUUUCAUAACCCUGCUGUGCAAAAAUGGGAUAUGCACUUGAAAUGGAUGUCCGAGUUAUGAUAUAUAUCAUGAGCGAUGCGGAAAUGGAUCGAGUAAUCUGUUCCUUUAUCCAAGAAAAAGUCUUUCUAGUUUGCAUGGUCCAACCAUUGAUCCCGAAAAUUUCUACAAUAAAUUGGGUAGGUCGCUAAUAUAGUUCCCUAUCCGCGAUUCUGCUAUUUACUGGAAUAAUAUAUNNNNNNNNNNNNNNNNNNNNNNNNNNNNNNNNNNNNNNNNNNNNNNNNNNNNNNNNNNNNNNNNNNNNNNNNNNNNNNNNNNNNNNNNNNNNNNNNNNNNGAGAAUCAUCAAGCAAUAUCAAAUUCUGAGUUUGCUCCUCAAUAUUAUAUAAGUCAAAAUCAUGAAACUCUUCCUCUUGAUAUGUCUCUUCAUUACUAUUUUCGGCAACAUCAUAUGUGUUUCUUGCUUUUGUUGUGAUUACAGUAGACCAACCUUUAGCUUUAGUCGACACUGGAUUAGCAUAGAACACUUGUACAACUUGUGAUGCAAUAACAAAUGGCUCAUACGGCUUGUGCCUUGAAUUUGUAUCAAUUGUAGUUAUCCCGUACUUGUUAAUAACUACCCUUUUUUCAGAAUCAUACCAUUCACAUUGGAACAAAAAUACUGAAUUCUCUUCUCCAUAGUAUUCUAGUUCAACUACUUUAAUUAAUUGUCCAUAAUAGUCUCGUUCUUGGCCUUCAAAAGUACAUCCCUAGACUAAAACACCACUAUUUUGAGUUACCUUUCUUGACUCCAAUUCUUUUGUAUGGAACCUAAAGCCAUUGACAAUGAAUCCAUCAUAACAUGUUACCUCUCUAGACGGACCCAUAGCGAGCGCUUUUAGACGCGUAUCAACGACAUCAUCAUUCUUGACUCUCUUUUCAAACCAUUUUAUAAAUGUCGAAUUAUGUUCCUUUUAUAGCACUUUAUCCGACAUGUUUGGACGUAAUUCUUUCAAUAAAUGCUUGUGCUCCCUAGAAGUAAUGAAAUAAAUUAGUAGAUAUAGAGUAAUGAUUUACAUAUCUAAAAGUAAUAAACUUUAUAAGAAUUAAAAUGUCAUACUCGAUGAAAUCAAAGACUUCCUCAUAAUUAGACAAGAUGUAUAAGGUUGCUGCCUCGAGUUCUUUAUCAGAUAGAUCUUCACGUUUUCGUUUUCCUCCAAUUGGACGACCAGGCCUAGGGUGGCUAAAUAUUGAUAACUUUCCAUUAGUUUCAGCUUGACCGCCAUCGUCAUUUCGAUCAGCUCGGUUGAACUUGGUUUGCACCCUAAGAUCAAAAUAUCGAGAAGAAAAGUAAACUAGUUCGUCUAUUAUGUAUGCCUCAGCUAUUGAACCCUCGGGGCAAGCCUUGUUACGCACCCUUUUCUUCAAAGAACACAUGCACCUAUAAUUAUAUUGAAGUUAGGUAAUCACUUUAACUAUAAAAAAGCCUUGGCAAGAAAAGAGAUAUAAUUUAUUAAAACAUCACCUCUCGAAAGGGUACAUCCAACGAUAUUGUACUGGCCCUCCGACCUUGGCUUUAUAUGCCAAAUGAACAAGUAGAUGCUCCAUUGAAUCAAAGAAAGAUGGUGGAAAAAUCAUCUCAAGAUUGCAUAAUAUUUCAGCAAUAAAUAGCUCAAGCUUCUCUAACUCAGCUAACUUAUACACCUUAGAGCAUAUGUCUCGAAAGAAUUUGCACAAAGCAUUUAUUGGUUCCCAUAUAGAGUUUGGUAAGAAAUCACGAAAGGCCAAUGGCAAGAAUCUCUGCAUGAGAACAUGGCAAUCAUGGCUCUUUAGCCCAAUUAUUUUGCAAUUGUCAAGGUUAAUACAAUGAGAGAUAUUUGAAGCAUAACCGUCUGGAACUUUCAACGAUUUAAGCCACUUGCAAACUUGCUUGACUUCUUCGCUUUUUAAAGAAUAUUUAGCUUUUGGCAAUUUAAAUUUCCCAUUACCACUCUCUUCAGGAUGUAAUUCAAAUCUUAUACCAAGCUCUUGCAAAUCUAAACGAGCUUUAAGGUGGUCUUUUGAUUUUCUAGUAAUGUUCAUCACAGUGUAAAAUAAAUUAUCAAAAAUAUUUUUCUCAAUAUGCAUCACGUCUAAGAAAUGUCUUAUUAGAAGCAAACUCCAAUAAGGCAAUUCAAAGAAGAUACUUUUCUUUGUCUAGUUAUGCUCGAUUCCAAACCCAGGAGUCUUAUCGGUACUAUUGUUUUUAUCCUUUCCAAAGAUGACCGAACUAAAUUGAGAUACAAAAUUUAACUCCUCAACACCUGUUAGUCGAGGCGGGGGAUUUCUCCGUUCGGUUUUAUUAUUGAACUUACUCUUCUCAGCUCGAUAUUUAUGAUUACGCUUCAACCAACGACGAUGGCAUCCAAAAUAACUCGGCUUCCUCCCAUGUUUAAGGUUAAAAGCUACACUUGGAUCCAUACAAGGACAUGACAAGGCCCCAUGUGUACUCCAACCCUUCAAUAUGCCUAGCGCAGGAAAGUCACUGAUUGUCCAUAUUACAGCUGCUUUCAUAUAAAAAUUUUGCUUUGAGAAAGCAUCAUAUGUAUCAACUCCAACAUCCCACAAAGUCUUUAGUUCUUCUAUAAGAGGUCGCAAAUACACAUCAAUCUCUCUUCCAGGUCCAUGUGGACCUGGAAUAAGCAGUGACAUAAACAUGUACUCCUCUUUCAUACACAUCCAAGGGGGGAGAUUGUAUGGAACAAGGAAAACUGGCCAUGUCGAAUGAGGUUUGCUAGAAUGCCCAAAAGGAUUAAAUCCAUCAGUAGCUAAGCCAAGUCUUAUACUACGAGCAUCUUCAGCAAAAGAUGGGUAAUUGAGGUCAAAAUAUUUCCAAGCCUCACUAUCAGCAGGGUGCCUUAGCUCACCUGGAAUAUCACAUCAUUUUUCUUUGUGCCACCUCAUAGGCUCGGCCGUUUUUGAUGACAAAUAAAGCCUUUGAAGCCUUGGUAUAAUUGGUAAAAAAACUUAAGACCUUCCUUGCUAUUGGUUUAUUCUUUUUCCCUUUAACACUGCCAUGGUUUUUAUACCUAGAUUCGUUACAAAUUGGGCAAGCAUCUAAAUCUGCAUAUUCUCCUCGAAACAAGAUACAAUCAUUAUUACAUGCAUGUAUUUUUUGUAGAGGUUGCCCAAGGUCCUUCAUUAAGGCCUUGCAGUGAUAAAAUGACUCGGGUAAUUUAUUCUUUUUAGGCAACAUUUCCUUGAAAGCUGAAAGAAAAGCAUCAAAUCCAGCAUUAGACAAACAAUACUUGGAUUUUAGGUGCAACAACAAAGUUACGGCUAAUAACUUGGUGUGAUUUUGACAACCAUCCCACAAGGGCUCGUCUGCAGCCUUUAGAAGGUCAUAGAACUUCUUUGAUUCGCUAUUAGGAUCCUCAUCAAAUUUAGGGCUAAUGCAGCUUGUAAUAUCCCUUAACAUGUCUUUAGGCCAAUUUGCAAUUCCCUCAUCAAUAUCGUCAUCUUAAUUCCCUACUUUCUUAAGUGACUCCCCAUGCUCCGUCCAUGUAGUGUAGUUUGGUACAAAUCCAUGCUUAUAAAGACACAUUUCUACAUCUUCACGUGAUUUAUAGUUUAUGAAAUCACACUUGGCACAAGGACACCGAAUCAUGCCAUCAUCUACGCACUCAGGAUUAGAAAAUGCAAAAUCAAGAAAUGUAUUGACCCCACUCAUAAAUUCAUGUAUAUGUUUAGACUUUUUCCCAACAUGCCUAUACAUCCAACUUCGAUCAUCCAUCUACCAUUUGUAAUUCAAAUAAUUGAAAAAUGUUCAUUUAUGGUGAUAAUUAACCCUUUUAUGAAAUAGAAAAGAAAAAAAAAACUGUACUGACUUUACAACUUAUUUUCUAGCACACUGUUCUUAACAUGGUCACAACUUAUAAUUAAAGAAAACAACAUAUACUACCUGAAUUCAAGAUAAUAUUGGUUAUGAGGUAGUAAAUCAAACAGAGAAAGCGUAAUCAGAGAAAGCAUAUUAGAUUUUCUAAUUAAUGUUCCUAAUUAGUUUUAUAUUAGAUUUUUUACAUGCUACACAGGAAUUGGGGCCAAAUUCGAACAGAGAAAGCAUAAUCAAAAUUCUAAAAUAAUUGGGGCCAAAUUGGAACAGAGAAAGUAAAGAGGGAGACAAUAAACACCCAAGGAAGAGAGGAUUUACCUUCAAAAUCACAAAGCUUAACUUGGAUCACAACUUUGGUACGUAGAAGAAAGGGAGAUGGUUUUAGUUACCGUCUAUGGAGAAGAUGGGAAGAGUUGUUUAGAGCCGCAGAGAGCACUGGGCAGAGGCCGUCGACUGAGAGGGAGUAGUCGACUGUCGACUUUGUCAAGAAAGAGGCAAGCAAGUAGCAACUGAAGCAAUCAAACAAAGAGUGAAGAAGGAGAACUGAAGAUAAGGGCUAGGGCAAAUGUCAAAUGUGAAAGUGAAAUCAGAAAUGGACCGCCGACUCGGUCACUUAGGAUUAUAGAUAGGAGUGAGAUAUAAUAAUAUUAUAAAAUUGUUUUUUUUAAGAAUUACGGUUCGGUUAUUCGGGUAUCCAAAUAACCAGUUUUUGAACACCGAAUCUGUAAUCGAAUACUAAAUAAUAAUUCGGAUAUAACUGAAAUUGUAAAAAAACCGAAAAACCGAAAUAAUUCGGUUAAAAAAUUUCGAUUCGGUUCGGUAAUUCGGUUUUAUUCGUUUUUUGCUCACUCCUAGUCACUGGACAUUUAAUUUUUGUUGGCUUGUUGUUGCUGACUUGCUGUAUUUUGGACAGUUAAUUAGGCUUGCAUUAUUAAGUCAUAAAUUUCAUGUUGGCUUGUUGUUGCUGCUGGACAAGUAAGUUAACAGUUGCUGCCUGCUGGGCAGUUAAUUUGCUAAAUAGUUAACAGGGAAUUUAUGUUGUAUGAUAUUUCGGUUAUUACCCGAAUAUCCGAAAUUACAAUUCGGUAUUCGGUAAUUCGGUUAUUUUCACAUUUCGAUUAGAAUUUUGGAUAGUGGAAUUGUCAUUAAUUCGGUUUUCGGUUAUAACCGAAUAGCUUAUUCGGUUCGGUUAUAACCGAAUGAUCACUCCUACUAAUAACUUGGUAUUUUGAAUCAAAUAUCGGCAUCGACACAUAAGGCUGUAAAAUGAGCAAACAGUUCGGGGUCGAUUCGUACUCGCUCGACUAAAAGUUCAAUUCGAGCUCGACUCUAAAUAUAAAUGAGUCAAAUAUGAGCAAAUUUUAAAGUUCUAUAAAUUACUCGAACCUCCUCAAAUUAUAAUUUUCUAUUGAUACUCGGAUCAUAUUCGUUCGAAAAGUUCAAACUGUUCAGGCUCGAUUCGGAAUCGUACUCGACUCGAUAGCUAAAUGAUCCUCAAUCAAACCUUAUAAUAUACUUGAUAAAAUUUGUGAACCAAAUCUGAUAGAAAUACAUUACGAAAAUUUAAAAAGAUUAUAAAAUGAGUUUUAGUUUUAGUUGGACCAGAUUAAGUAAUCUCAAGUACAUGAAAUUAAAAAUAAAAUAAAAUUAACAAAUUGAAAAAAACAACAACUAGUAGACUCGGGCGUAAAUUAACUUUUAAGGGUUUAAUACACUAUUUGUACGUUCCAAAUUUUAUAUUUGACUUUGUACCAUUGACAUUUAUUUUUUCGUGGGCAUAUAUUUUUAUUAUUAUUAGUUAUUGUCAAUUUUGGUGGAUAAAUUAUUUAAUGUUUGAAGACUAUUUGGGGGAUAUUAAAUAUAUCAUUACUCAUAAUGAUAUUAAAUAUAGUGGGUGCAGAUGAUAGUAAUGUUAUAAAAAAAUUUCAGGCUUCACAAAGAAGAAUAUAAGUUAUUGUAUUAAGCUUCAAUACUUUUUGUAAGAGUAAUAAUUGAUAUUAAAACAUCAUUUUUAUUAAUAAUAUUAUUUUAAAAUAAUAAAAGAGAGGAGACUUAAUUUGUAGCUUAAUCUAAAGAAAGUAUAUAAAUUUUUAAUAUUAUUUUAAUUUAUUUUACUUUUUUGAAUAACAAAUUUGUACUUAAUUACUAGUGGAUCAAUUAAUUCAUAUCUCACAAAUUUACUAAAAAUAAUAAUUAAAUGAUACUCUUUUUUUUGUAGAACAAAGGGUAUAUCAAAAGAUAAUUAAAUCAAAAGAAAUUUAAGCUAAUUAAAUUUAAUUAAAAGAUAAUUAAAAUUUAAACAAACAAAAAUAGACUAAUUUAGUGGCAUAUUCCACUCAUUUUGAAGAAAUGGCGGGAUCUCUGUUUCUAUCUUUAAUUUCAAGUACCAUUGUAUAAACUUCCCCAUCUUUUCCAUAGGCAGCAAACUGAAACCCUACAUCCAUCUUCUACCAAAAUUGUGAUCCCAGUUAAGGUUGUGAUUUCAAAGGUAAGUCCUCUCUUUGGGUGUUUAUUCUCUCCAUCUUUCCUUUCUCUGUUCUAAUUUGUCCCCAAUUCUUAUUUUAGAAUUGUGAUUAUGCUUUCUCUUUUCGAAUUUGGCCCCAAUUCCUGUUUUUAUAGAGAUGUUUUACGAACUGUUAUUGACAAUUUGAUUGUUCAUGUGUUUGUGGAGAUUUAAUAUAUAUAUAUAUAUAUAUAUAUAUAUAUAUGAUUUUGAUAGCGUAUUUACUAAUUUUAANNNNNNNNNNNNNNNNNNNNNNNNNNNNNNNNNNNNNNNNNNNNNNNNNNNNNNNNNNNNNNNNNNNNNNNNNNNNNNNNNNNNNNNNNNNNNNNNNNNNNNNNNNNNNNNNNNNNNNNNNNNNNNNNNNNNNNNNNNNNNNNNNNNNNNNNNNNNNNNNNNNNNNNNNNNNNNNNNNNNNNNNNNNNNNNNNNNNNNNNNNNNNNNNNNNNNNNNNNNNNNNNNNNNNNNNNNNNNNNNNNNNNNNNNNNNNNNNNNNNNNNNNNNNNNNNNNNNNNNNNNNNNNNNNNNNNNNNNNNNNNNNNNNNNNNNNNNNNNNNNNNNNNNNNNNNNNNNNNNNNNNNNNNNNNNNNNNNNNNNNNNNNNNNNNNNNNNNNNNNNNNNNNNNNNNNNNNNNNNNNNNNNNNNNNNNNNAUAUAUAUAUAUAUAUAUCCCUCGAUUUAUAUAUGUAUGUUAAUUAGGUACGUAUAUGUAUGCAUGAAUAUAUAUGAAACUUUGUUAGUUAAUUACUUUGGUUGAGAAUGGAUUGUAGUUUGUAAACAAAUCUAAUAUGAAACUGAUUAGGAAAAGACUUAAAUUGGAAUUCUUCUUUUGGUUGAAUGGAAGGGUUACUCAUUACUUCAUUAAUUUGACAUUAAUUUUGUAUUAUUUUGUUUAAUUAUGUUUUGGUUGGUUAUGUUUUUCAUUUAUUUUAUUCUAUUCCAAGUCAUUAAGAGCACAUGAUGUUUUAGGUAAAACACUGAUUCUACUGGACAGAUGAUUCAUGUACAAAACCAAAGUUAGUGCACACACCCUAUUAUUUAAUAUUCAAAACAUUGGGUUGCUGUUGGGGUGGGUCUGUAGGAGGGCAGGGGUGGAGUUGCAGGGGAGGCGAAUGGAAGAGGGCAAAAGUGCUGGAUGAAGGAGGGACGUUGGCAUGUUCUUGAAUGAUGGUAACCCAUUCUUUAUACAUUUUGAAUGAGAGUGGUUAAUUGCAAAAAAGCACUUGCAAUAGCUACAUUGAAAUUGGUUCCAUUUAUGAGGGACAAGAAAAGCAGCAGUGGGCAGUAAGGAACUGCUAUAACAGUUUUGGGUAUAUCAUUCUAGCUCUAGAAUCUAGUUUGAAGACUUAACCAUAGAGUUUUAGUUUUAGUUGGAGCUGUACAUUCUUUACCAUUAAUGAUUAGUGAUUCUAUUCAAAGUUACCAUGCUUUUUUAAGUUCUCACUUGGGUUUUUGUAAAUGGGUCAAGCUUUGCUUAUUGUGUGCAAGAAAAUCUGAUAUCGCUGUGAAAUCUAUAGUAAGAAAAUUAAAAAUGGUCACUUUGAUAUACUUGCACUUAAUUGAUGCCCACAAUUGUCGUCUUUAAUUGUACUAAUCCAUCAAAGGAGCAUGUCAAUAUUGUUCUAUUCAGCAGUACUAUGAUUUAAUUGAUGCCCUCAUAGUAUCCAUCAAAAGAACAUUUAAUCUUGAUGUAACCAGCAUGCCACGGAACCUGACAUGUGUAGCAAAAAAGCUUUUUACAGUUCAGACAUAUUAGAAAUGAUUGUUCCAUUGAAAUGAUUGUUUGGCAUAUUAGAGGAUCUAACAAGUGAUUACAGUCCAAAGUGGACGACAUUUAAUGCUGGCUACAUUGUCUUCAACUUUUACUUCGAUGUACUUGGUGAAGCAAUCCACACAAAAAGGAUGAAAACAUUCAUCAUUCUUCUUGAAAACAUUCAAUGCAUAUCUCACAAGUGAAAGUUGAACUCUCUUCUUCACCUGAUUUAUCCUCUUCUGUUUUCGCCAAACUCACCUCUUGUUUUUAGCUGUGUGUUCCCCAUUGUUUGUUCUGUUUCUGUUGCAAAAAAAUCAUCAGCUCAUGUGAGAAACAAUUAGAGAAAGUGGAAUUGUACAACAGAAACAUGCAUGAAGUUGUAUAUUAUUGCAAAAUAAAUGGCAACUCUUUCUACAAUUACAAAGAAAAUGCCAAACACAUUUUGAAUUUGCAGCUACAACUAUUACAUGUGUUAUACAAGAGAUGAGAAUACAUUUUGAACAUGCAUGUGUCAAUUUGUGAUCUACAACACAUUUUGAAAAUGCCUAACACAUUUUGAACAUGCAUGUGUUCUACAAUUACAUGAAUUAAUUUGCAUGUGUUGUACUUUGUGUUGUGCAUAUAGUAAUAGGUUCAAUUAAAUGUUGUGUCAAGUGAUAGUGCUAAUUUAUUUAUUUUUUGAUAAAAAAAUGUACAUGCUUGUGGUAUAAUUUCAAACUAGUUUUCCAAUGAGUCAUGAUUAAUUAUUGCUGAUUAAUAUGUUGGGUAUAUAAAUUGUUCUUUGUACGGUUGAAUGUUAUUGUCUUGACAGGUAAGAUGCUAAUUGAUUUUGGAGCUAGUAGAGUAGUGAAUAAUUUUGAAAUUGUAUUACAACAUCAUCUUGAAUAAUUUCUUUUAUUUAUCCUAUAUUUAAUUAUAAGUUUUUUUUCUUCUCCAGCUAUGGUGAGAACUAGAGGUGGGAGUAGUCUUUCCGGUAGGAGAUCAACUCUUCCUCAUAAUAGUGGCGAGACUGUUAACAUGAACAGAAUGAGAGAUGAGCCUAUUGUAUCUCAUGAUAGUGGUGAGAGUAUUGAUAGGGCUACACCGAAUACUACACAAGCCGAAAGGUUAUCUCGUAAGAAAAGGGGGCCAACUCUAGGGAUAAUAAAGCCUAAAACAGGCCAAACAAAGAUGCUUGUUAAUAUCAUUGGACAAAAGUAAGUUUUUACUAAUCUACUCGUGCUUGUCAAUAUGCAAGUUACAUACAAUCAAUUCUGGAUACGUUAAAGAUUCAUUUUCUGACACAUAAUAUAACGUCCGUUUUAACUAUAACAGGGUAAUCUAUGUAGCACAAUGUAAUCCAAAGAACAUAAAAGCAACUAAUCAUAUCAUGUUACUAUAAAAAGCAAUUAAUAGGGGUUCCAUUUAACAAGAUUUGAUUAAUCCUAUUGUGACAACUUUGUUUCUACUUUUCAUUAUUGUUGUACUAAUCAUAUCAUGCUAUGUUACCAUAUCUUGUAAUUAGCUUCCUUGAACCUGAAGCUCGAAGCAAGACUCACAUAUUAUUUCAAAAACGUUUUAAAGAAGCUCGAACCAAAUUCGAGCAAUGGCCAAAACAUGAAAUUGAACUUCUUUGGGGAGAAUAUUUGGUAUGUUUUAAUGAACACACAUUUUAAUUGUAGAAAAAAGUUUAUCAAAAAGUGUAUUAUUCAUUAUAUAUUAAUUAUUAUUUUUACUUGUGGAUGGUGUUAUAGAAAUAUUUUCGUUUCUCUUCAUCGAAGGAGGAGGGAAGGGGUCGAAUCAUAUGGGAGGAAAAUGCACGAAAAAGCUACCCAAACUAUUUAUGGAGAUGGAAAGAUGAUGCCAUUAAGAAGUUUGGCUCCAUUGAGGAAGCAAGGGAUAAAAAGCCUAAUUGGACAACUCUUGAUGUGUGGCAGGAGAUGUGUGAUUAUUGACUGAGUAAAGACUUUUUAGACUCUAGUGAGCUACAAAAAAAGAACAGAAACAUAACUACGUAUGUUCCUCACACAUCAGGCUCCAUAUCGUACGCCGUUAGGAGGGAACAAGAGGUAAAUUAUAAGUUGAUAAAAUCAAAUUAAUAAUAUGCGUAGUCGAUAAAUGCACAUGAUAAUGGUAAAAGAUUCAUAUCAUGAUGCUCUGUUUGGAGUUUUUAAGUGUUCAUGUGGUAUGUAUUGCUUAUUUUUAAUAUUAAUGUUUAUAAUUAAAAUAAUUAUUAUUUUGCUUGUUUUGUCUUAGAAACAAAGACUGCAUCGUCCGCCAACGCAAUAUGAGUUAUAUAAACAAACUCAUAUGAGGAAGGAGAAGGGUAGCGAGGAAAAAACGUGGGUUUGUGAUGAAGCAAAGAGGAAUUUGGUAUGAUUUUCUCUUGUAAAAUUAUAAACUUUGUUUACUCAUGCGAAAGUGAAGAUUGUUGUUCGUUCUUUUCAUAAUUAGUUAUGAGUAUUGUUAAUUAUAUAUACAUAUUUUAUGCAUUGUAUAGGAUGAUUAUGAGAGAAGACUCUUAGCCAAACAUGGUGAUACAGAUAAGCCCGUGAAUGAGUUAGAUGAUCCAAAUUUGGAGACAUGGCAGAAAACUGUUGGAGGCGUCAAAAAGGGUAGACUUGUUGGUCGACCAGGGGAAAAAUGGAGUUCUCGUCGUGGUUCGUAUUGUCCAUCUUUGGUUGCAGAUGAGAACUAUAUUAAAUUAAAGAAAAUGGAAAGCUACAUGACUUAUAUUCAUCAAUACACAAAAAAUAUGGCCGAAACACUUGCACUUGAUCCUCCUAUAGACUUUUGUGAUUUGUUUGCUUCAUCAAAUGCAUCAGCUGAUAUUCCAACGAAUAACUCAACCACGCAUGCUGAGAAUGACAACGGAGAUGAUGACGACUCUCAAGAAAACUUCAUGGAGAAUUCAGGAUGAUUUAGCUCUGCUUUACUUAUCAAUUUUAUUAGUUUAGGGUUCUUUGAUAGAUGUUGGGUUUGUUAAUUGUUUGAUGAACCUAUGACAUGUAGUUACCUAUUUAAGUAGUUGGUAAUGAAUUUAUUUUUAAUUAAAUGGAUCAGAUUUCUUCAUUUUAAUAAAUUUGUAUGAUUUUACGUUUCAAAUUUAUUGUAAUUUAUGUCAUUUAUAAAUUUGAAAUAUAAAAUUGGCAAUUAAAUAUAUUUUAAUAUAGGAAUUUGGUGAUGGCUUUACUAUCACCAAAACGUAUAAAAAGGUUACAAAAAUAGGAAUAAUUGUGAUUGCUUUAGCCAUCACAAGAGACUUAUGCCAUCACAAAAGAAUGUGAUUGUUUUGGCCAUCACAAAUAAUUGGUGAUUGUUUUGGCCAUCACAAAAAGAUGUGAUUGCUUUGGCCAUCACAAAUAAUUGGUGAUUGUUUUGACCAUCACACAAAGAUGUGAUUGCUUUAGCCAUCACAAAUAAUUGGUGAUUGUUUUUACCAUCACAAAAAGAUGUGAUUGCUUCGGCCAUCACAAAUAAUUGGUGAUUGUUUUGACCAUCACAAAAGAUGUGAUUGCUUUGACCAUCACAAAUAACUACUAUGCUAUCGAGAUUACUUUCGCCAUCACAAAUAACUUGUGUGAUUUCGUGAUGGUCAAACUAAUCACAAAAUACAUGUGCGCUAAUGUGACUGAUUUAGUCAUCACAAAAGGAUCGAAUGUUUUGGUGAUUGCCAAAACCAUCACGUAAAACCUUUCAUGAUGGACGUAUACAAAACGGCCAUCGUGAUGCUUAAAAUCAUCACGUAAACCUUUCGUGAUGGUUUUUUUAGUUUUUGUGAUGGAUUUUUGCCAUCACAAAUGACCAUUUUUUUAGUAGUGAUCGAAAGGACGUGGAAUUUAAUAUUGGAGAUCACGUGUUGUUACGUGUUGCUCCAUGGAAAGGAGUUACGAGAUUUGGAAAGAGAGAAGCUCAAUCCUCGAUUCAUUGACCCAUUUUUAAUCCUCGAGCGAGUAGGAACUAUGGCCUAUAGACUCGCCUUACCGCAAAGUAUGUCUCGUGUUCAUAACGUUUUUCACAUAUCUAUGUUACAUAAAUAUGUGAAAGACCCGAACCACAUUAUUGAAUUAGAACCAGACAAGAUAGAGGAAGAUUUAACAUAUGAAGAGUUACCUAUUAAAAUCUUGGAUAAGAAGGAUCAUAUUCUACGCUCCAAGGUUAUACCUCAAGUCAAAGUUUUAUAAGAGAAACCACGAUGUGGAGGAAAUGACCUGGGAGUUAGAAUCUGAGAUGAAGUCAAGAUAUCCUCGUCUCUUCGAUAUACCAGGUACGUACCCUAGUUUCGAGGAUGAAAUUUCAUAAGAAGGGGAGGUAGUAAGACCCCAACUUUUAUGAAUAAAGAAUAAUUUUCUCAAAAUAUAUUUUUGAAUAUUAUGGUGUGGAUUUGAUAUAAUGUUAUAGUUGUGGGUAUUAUUUACAAAUUUUGCAAAGUAAGCAAGUGGUUAUAUAAUAUUCGAUUGGUCGGGGAAUAUUCGUUUUAACAGGGAAUAUUCGUACGACGGUACAAUCAUUGGUGGACCCCACAAAGAAAGUAUUGUUGUAGUUAAAAAACGACAGAAUUAUCUUUUUAUAAAAAUAAUGGCGAAAGUGUUGCCGUUAAAACUGUUGAACUAACCGGUAAUAAAAGUACAGUAAUACGCGUGGUUGCAUAGUAGUACACAGUAUUGAUUAUUGAUGUUUACGUGAGAAGUCACUCAGUUAUACUCAAUUAUUACUAUAGUAAUUGUUGCAUCAUAUCUCUCAUAUUAUUGAUUCAAUUAUUGUCACAGUAUCAUCUGCAUAAUAUGUUAUAUUAUCAAAUCAAUAAUUGAGACGACAAAGUUAUUAAUAUUAUUAAAUUACAAUAUUGACAAUGUCUUGAAGUUCUGUCAAGGAGAGGUUAGAUAAUCUAAUUGCGCGCCAAUAGGGAGAAAUCCUCAUCGGAAAGCCCCCUCUUUCCUGGAAACUACCUGGUUGUUAAAUAUUAUGAGUUAUAAUAUUAAUGAUGAAUAAGUUUGUGUUGAUCAAAGAUGAAAUUAAUAGUUCCAUUGUAUGGAAAUUAUUAGUGUUAGUUGAAAAUCGACAUUUAUUUCGAUAAUAAUUGAUGUCUGGAGGUUUUAUUGACCAAUCGGGUAAUUAACCGGAUAAAUGAGCAAUUAAUUGCUAUUUAUUCACAUGCUUAUAACUAUGUGUUCACAUGUGUGUACUAUUGAUUCACAUGCAUGUACUGUUAGGGGAGUUGGUGCAAGAUUGAUAAUACUUGCAUGACUAAAUUAAAAAUUGAGGUAUAGAUGAAGGUACUAUACUAUACUUAAUUUUUUCACAUGUUUAGAACUAUUGAGUCACAAGAUUUACUAUUGAUUCACAUGAAUUACUAUUAGGGGAGGUGGUGCAAGUUUGAUAAUACUUGCAGGACUAAAUUAAAAAUAAAAAAAAAGAGGAAGGUAUUAUACUGUAAUAUUUUGAGCCCCAAAAUGUGCAAUUAUUGAAACUAUAUUUUCCUAUAAAUAGAAGCUCAUUCUUCCUUCAUUUCUUACCAAUUCACUAAAGCUAUAGAACAAUUAUUAUAGAGAGAAAUUAUAGAGAGAAAGAAGAAGAGAAGUAUGCUACCUCACUACUCCAGUAUCCAGUUUUCUUCUAAGGUAAGGGGUAUUAUUUCUUUCGUAUUCAUGAAGAGAGUUAUUUCUUUCAAUACUCGUAAGGGUUGUUAUUCCAUUCUUUAUUAUUCUGUUGGAAUAACCUGUAUAGGUGGAUUACCGAAUGCGGUGUGAAAUUCUUCUGUUAUUCCAUUCUUUAUUAUUAUGUUAGAAUAACCUGUCUGUGCAGAUUAUGCACGCCUGGUGAAUUCUUUUGUUAUUCCAUUCUUUAUUAUUUUGUCGGAAUAACCUGUCUGUGCGGACUACGCACGCCUGGUGAAUUCUUCUGUUAUUCCAUUUUUUAUUAUUCUGUUGGAAUAACCUGUCUGUGCGGUCUAUCGCAUGCCUAGUGAAUUCUUUUGUUAUUCCAUUCUUUAUUAUUUUGUUGGAAUAACCUGUCUGUGCGGUCUAUCGCAUGCAUGGUGAAUUCUUCUGUUAUUCCAUUCUUUAUUAUUCUGUUGGAAUAACCUGUCUAUGUGGAUUACCGCAUGCAUGGUGAAUGAUCCUUUGUAUUCAUUCCUUAUUAAAUUGUGGAAAUGAUAUGUCUACGUGGAUUACCGCAUGGCGGGCAAAAAUCCAUUUGCAAUUUUAUAUAUUCUAUUAUACUCAGUUGCUUAAAGUUUUGGCUUCUAUACUCCAUGAAAUUAGUAGAAUAUCCUGGAUAUUUGCGCUUCAUCCAAUAUCUUUUCAUGGACAUAUUCUUCUGAGCAUUCUUGAAUUUUACUCCACAAAGCAGUAUUAUGUUGACAAAUUGGAUGUUAUUAAUUUCUGGAUAAAUUAAAUUAUAAAUCUUUAAUAUUUAUCCUUGAACUUGUUUUAUUGAAUUAUUAUGUCAUUGUCAUCAUCCUCAUGCUUAUAUUGUGAUGAAAGUCAUCUUUGGCUUACGUGCAUAGAUGGAUUUGGUAUAAUUAUGACCAGGAAUUAUUCGGUAUAAUCAUGACUGUAAUGUGACGAAUGAUGUGGUGAAAGUCCUCAUUGGCCUGUAGUUCAUUGAUGGACAGUUGUUGGUAUGAUUAUGACCAGGGAUUAUUCGGUAUAAUUAUGACCAUUGAUGAUUACACGAGUAUCCUUGGCCAUAAUGCAUGGAUGAUUCGAUUUUAUUUAUUAAGCUGAGUCUCAGCGAUAAAGUUGAUGAAAAACUUUUUAAGUCAUAGAAGAUAGUAGAUUUUAUACUCUAUAAUUGACUCUUCUAAUGGAUUGCUUAUUCCGCUGUAGUUUUUUAUCUAAAACUUAUUGUCUAUUAUAUUCUUUCAGUUGUUAUACUGUUGAAGGCUAAGGAUAAUUUAUUUUGCAUUAUCUUAGUAAUAAUAUUUCUUACUGGGCUUGUUGAGCUCACCCUUUUCUUUCAUGGUUCUCUUCAAGAAAUGAGAACGUAGCUGGGACUAGUCGGGGAACAGAGUGACGGUCCAGAUGUUUGGAUUAGUAGUCCUCACUAUUCUGUGAAAUAGUGUGAUAAUAAAUGUAAUGAGGACUCCAUUGAGUGUGGAUAUUGUCUAGAUGACAAUAUUCUUAUUAAAACUCUUAGAUUAUGUUUUGUCGUAUUUUACACGACUGUUGUACAAUUAAGUUGUAUUUGAAUUUUGUACCAUGUAUCUGGCGACUCAAGAUGGCUGAUGUAUACCUAUUUUGGUGGCGUCACAUUAACCCUAUUGUUAUAUAUAUUAUAUCCGAUUAUUGUUUAUCAACAUAAUAUUAUACUAUAUAAUUCAGAUAUAUAUUCUGUUCAUUAAUUUCUAAAAAUGAUUAUACAAGUGUCUCCACCUGGAUAAUCAUUGUAUUUAAUCACAUGUUGAUAUAUAUAUAUAUAUAUAUAUAUAUAUAUAUAUAUAUAUAUAUAUACCUAUUGAACCCCAGUAUGUAUACAUUAAGUAAAAGUCGUCUAAGCUAUUCGACCAGCUAGACACAAAUUUAGUUAUAUCGUUUAAUAUGACAAAACUUUUUUGUAUCCAAUCAAAUUAUUUUGGUUCGGAUUCCAGACUAAGUAUGAACAUCCCGAACAUGAGAAAACUUUUAUGCGCCCAAGGCGGACAGAGUAAACGAUAAUAUCUUUCUUUCAUGCAGUAUUGAUCAAUACAGGGUCCAUGGGAUGUAUACCCUCGUGCCCGUAAGUUAUGACGGUUUGCAGAUGAAGUUCUGUUUAACCUUUUUGAAAAUAGAAAACAAUGUGUAUGUCACCCUAACCCUAUAUAUAGUCAAUACAUAGUUUCAAAAAUGUGAGAUAGAGUUGAUAUGUUAUUAUUAUCAGUUUAGUUUACUUCACAACUAUUGAAUCGUUGUAGAAGUAAUGUACAAAGAAAACAUUUAAUUCUUUCAGAUAAUUAUAUUUAUAAUUGUUAUUACUUGCUGGGCACUCAAAUGCUCAUCCUUGCUUAAUUUAAAUGUUUUCAGCUAAGCGUGAUCAACCUGAAGGUUUAGACAAUAAUAAGUGAAAAGGAAAGCAAACAGAAUAUGUUUAACGGUAUCUUUUGUAAUAGUUAAACUGUAUUAAGAUAAUGAUAUGUAUUAUCUAUCAUGUAAAGAAUUAUAGUAAAUGUUGCGUACUUGGGAUUAGACUAUGAUAUUUGUAAAUUAAGUUUGAUUUUUAUAUUAUUGUUAUUAUUAUUAUUAUUAUUAUUCUGCUCAUAAAAAUGGUAUCGUGAAGCACCGAGUUCGGGUUUCAAGUACCUAAAUUUGGGGGCGUCACAGUAUGGUAUUAGAGCUAUAGGUUAGAAACCUUAGGUGGGUUAAACCUUAGGCUAUAACCUUAGAACAGAGGGGAACGUUGAAAAUACAAAUAACUCAUAUAGAGUUUAUAAGGAGAUGAAUUUAAUAAAUUCAUCGUGAAACAAAAUAAAAGAUAACUAAUAAAACUAUUAUUUGCUAUGUGUUUAUACUUAGUGUUAAUCCGGAUAAUUUAUUUGUAUAGAUGUCAGAUAGAAAAAGAAUUAGAAUACCCUCAGAUCAUAAAGAAAGAGCAAAUCUCCAUGACCGAGCCAAUAUUAAAGCUAAUAGCUGAAAUAGAGGCACACAUUGAAAACUACCUCAAAGAGGAGGUUAUUUUGGAAAGUAUAAUACCAGAUCCAGAGACGAUAGUAUAACAGAUAGGUUGAGUGUAGUUAAAGAAUAUAUGGUGAAGCUUGAGUUCUUAAACUCAUUUAUUUGUGGUAAGUUCUUAAACUCAUAAUGUGUAGUAAGAAAAAGGGAAGUAUUUUAGAAUACCUCAUAUCAUUCUCGAAUUACUACUUCAUCUCCUCACCAGCUCUUGAACCCUUGACCUCUAGAAACUCAAUAAUCAAACGAGUACCAAAUGUCUACAAGGAGGACUAGUAUAGUUAUGUGUUAAUGGAUUAUUGAGGAUAAUAGAAUAUAUAGAAUGCUAAGCAAUUGAUCAUUAGUAAAGACGUAAGAAAUAGAUAGUGUUAGUAUUACUUGAAUAGGUAUGAUUCUAUGUGGUGUAAAUGAUAAGUAUGUCUGUGUAAGGAAAUAUUCUCAACUUUUGUAUAAGUUAUGGCUGCGAUUCCUGACUUGUGUGUUAUAAAGGAAUAGCGGAUGUUUAAAGCAGUAUGUGCUAUGGUAUGUCAAGUGAUAUGAAUAUGAGUCUAUGUUGGAUUAACGAAAUAAGUUGAUAUAAAGAUAGUAAUUAUUUAUCUGAACACUGGUUAAUACAGUAAACCGAAUUUUCAAAAUCUAAAAUUUUGAGUACAUGAUUAUUUGAAUAGAAAGUUUUGCGUUAUUUGAGAUGCAUGUACGAUAAGGCUUAGAAUGUAAGUUAAUAAGAAUAAUUUAUGAUAAUGCCAUCGAGAAGAAGAACCUGUCAAUAAAGCUAGAAGAUAACCAGACCCGCCAUAUAAUUUUGCGAAUGUGGACGCUCAAGCUAUGCAGAACGGAAUCCCAGCCGCGGGAAAUCGGCCAGAUAAUCGAUCGACAAACUUUAGAGACUUCAAGGCAAUCGUACUGCCAAGAUUUAGAAGAUCAACUGAUCCUGUUGACGCGUUUGUGAUAGUUAGGGUAACAUAGGGGCAAAAAGACAGCUUUUGCCACCUAUACGAUGAAAGGAGAUAGUUUUGAUAAUACCUGAAAUAAGCCAAGAGUGUGAUGGAAAGGAAAGUUUGUGUGUUGCAAAUGUGGACAGGAGGGAUAUAUCUCUCCUAACUCUCCCAAUCCAAAAGUGUAUAGUGGGUGUUUUAUUUGUGAGUUAAGGGAGCAUAAGGUGAAAGACUGUUUAAGAAAGAGAAGGGAGGCAAGGAAUGCGAAUACGAGGAGAGGCAGCAGGACAUUGACGACAACGAGACCAACUUCAACAAACAAACUGACGGAAUCAACCGCAAGAGUCAUCAACAUGACUGUUUAGGAUUCGGUAGCAGCCGGGGAUGCAACUCCAAGUAUUACUCGAACCAAUUUUAUUUUCUUAUAUAUGAUUUUCUUAUAUAUAUAGUAAAUUAUUUUAUAAAUUAUUUUGAAGGAGGAAUUUGAGUUCUUUUAGAAAUCAAAUUUCUGUUUAUGAAGAUAGAUAAGCUUUUUGCUGAAUAGUUAAAGAUCAGUUAGAUCAAUUAUGAUCGAGAUCUACUUGCAAUGAUUGUAUAGGUUAUGUACCCUUAUAUGUAUAGGUUUUAAAACGGUGAUUCCGGGGACGAAAUCUUUAUAAGGGAGGGUGAAUGUAAUAACCCGAUAUUUUCUAUAUAAUUAAAUCAGAAAUUUUGUGUAUGAAUUUAUUUAUUUAUUUAUUUAUUAAAGUUGGAAAUAUGUGCCAGGUAAUGUGUAUAUGUAUAUAUGUGAUAAAUAAAAUAUAUUUAUUGCAUGAAUAAUUACCAAUAGUUUUAUUUUAGAAUUAUUGCUCAUUAUAAAUUAUAUUAUAAUAAUAAUUAGUUUUAUAGUAGAAAUGUUUUUAUUAAUUCUAUUCUAUGAAAAUGUGUUUAUAUAUUAUUUAAAAAUUAUAUGAAAUGAUUAAAGACUUAUUAUAAUGAUUAUUCUGUUUUAUUAUAUGAAUUUUAGUUCAGAUUAUUUAAGUUAAUUAUUUUAACUUAAUUAUUAUUGUUAUGUAUGCAAGAUAAAUCAGAUAUGGAAUCCAAAUCCUAAUUUUGGAUUUUGAACAACGAAUGAGAAUAAUAAUAUAAUAUUAAUUAUAUUUUUAUUCUUCAGUGCUAUAAAUAUGUAUGUUAUGUUUGUAAGGUUAAUCUGGGGAGCAAUUUCCUUAUGACCUGAUAAAACCCUAAUUUGAAAGUCAAUUACGACUGUAAAAUCUGUUAAGUCAUUGUGAUAUGUGGUAUAUGAUUUGUAUUAUAAGUAUUAAUGUUAAUUAUAUAAAACCCUAAUUAGUAAUUUAAAACUCUAUUUUUCUUAUAUUAGAAACCCUAAACAGUAAUUAGCUAUCCGCUAAGUGGAAACCCUAAUUUAAAACUCAACUAUGAGUUUGAGACUAUUAUGUAACUGUGUUAUUAUGUUUAAGGUUAAGUAUUAUAGAAUUUUAUAUUAAUUAGAGAAACCCGAAUUAACAUUUAGAAAUCCUAAUUUCCAGAAACCCUAAUUUCUAAAUUAGUAAACCUAAUUUCUAAAUUAGUAACCCUAAUUUACUAAAAUAAAAUCCUAAUUGUUAAUUUAGCACGCUUAAUGAUAAUUAGUAAAAUCUAAACCUAAUUUUCAAGUCUAUGUAAUGAGGAAACCAAAUUAAUUACGAAACCUUAAUUUGUAUUUUUAGAAACUAAAAAUUUCAAUUUUUGUUUAAAUUAGAAAUCCUACAACACUUUGUGCUAAACCUUAUGGUCAAACCCUAAGGGUCAAACCCUAAGUGUUUGAUAAGUUACUAGUUUGCCCUUAAAUUGGUUAGCCAAAUGACAAAAAUACCCCUCUUGCAUUAUUGGACAUAACUUGUAAGACUAACCAAUUUUGAGUUGCUCAACAACUCUUACCAGCCCCAUUUGACUAAAAUGCCAGCAAUUAGCCAACUUGAUUUCAUGUUAUAUAUAGAGAGAUCAGGAAAGAGAAAUUUCAUUUAUUAGCCACAUUUGUACAAAAAACUCCUUACCAACUCUCUCUCUCCCAAAACCCACGAAAUGUUGUAGUAGAUCAGUCCCAUAUUAAAGCCCCACUAACACACUUAACCAAAUCAGCAGCCAGAAUCAAGAAUUGAUGUUUAAAGGUAUAAAAUCCUAAGUUAAAGUUUUGAUCUUGUAUGCUAUAUUGGAUUUAUGGUUUUUAUGUUUAAUCAUGUAGAAUAAGGUGUUAAUAGGUGAUCUGGGUUGGCACAUGUUAGAUCCAUAACAUCAAAGUGCUCGAAAUCUAAGUUUUUCAAAAUCUGGAAUUUUUUGUUUUUGUUGUCUGACAGCGAAUGUCAGGCCUUGUAGAUCUGUGCUUGUUUAUUGUUUUGAUGAUUUAAAGGUUUGAAGUGGUAGUUUGGUAUGAGGUCUUUCAUAUGAAAGUGGAAUCACUGUUAUUGGAUGUCUAGAUCGAAAGUUAUUGAUGGUCAAAAGUCGUUGACCAACCAUGACCGAGUGUAAAUCUGGGCAACCCAGAAAGCUUUUUCAGCGUCUGACAAUGUUUUGGAAGGCUUAGAUCUGUCAGUGUGUAAAUGAUUUGAUGAUGUUAUAAUAUACAGUUUAUAGCCUGUCAUAUGUACUUUAUAUUUGUGGCUUUAGAUCCUUUAAACAAACAAUUGAUCAAACUUAGUGGAUGGUCAAACUUGGCCCCUCGGUCACGAUUUCAUUUCUGGGAAUUUCCAGAAAAUCGGAAGAACAGCCCUCUGACAGGGUUUGACCAAGUUAUAUCUUGUAGAUCUGUUGAUGUUAAACUGAUUUGUUGUUAUAUUAUUGUUCCUGGACAUAAGGACUACAUCUUUGAGGCAUUAGAUCACUUGAAUCAUGAACGGAACCUAGAUUAAAUCGAGGAUGAAAGUGACUGGUCGACCACCUGGGUUUCUGGAAAACCCAGGAAUGCUCUGACAACAUAUUUGCAAGCCUAGAUCUCCUUGUGUGUUUGUUGUAUGACCUAGAUAUUGAUUGCUAGUUAUAGUGUUGUAUAAUGACUUCAAUAUUGAUGCUUAAGUUUGCCCAGAAACGAAUUAGACAGAGAAUUAUUAGUGGUCAAAGUUGACCCCUCAAACACAAAGCUAUAAGUGUUCUUGAGCUCAAGAACACCAACAGCGACGCUUACUGUCGCUAAAAGCCAAUAACGACGGUUUCUAAUACUUUUAAUUUCUGAUUUUUCGAAAAAUACUUAAAAAUAGAAAAUAAAUUAUAAAAAUUACAAAAAUGGUUUUAAAAAUUAUUUUCAAUUAUGAAAAAUAACUUUUAAUUAUUUGGGAUAUUUUUCAUUAAUAUUUAUAUAUUUUUUAAUAUUAAUAAUAUUUAAUUUAUUUAAUUAGUGUAUUAAAUAAACUAGAGAAAAAUGAUUUUAAUGUUAUAAAAAUCAAUUGAAAUAAGAAUAAAGUGUUUAAAAAUAUUUUUGAGUUAUAUAUGUAACUUUUAAUAUUUUUGUGAUGAAUUUCAUUAAUUAAUUAAUAUUGGUGAUAAUUAAGUAAUUUAAUAAAUGUAUUAAAUAAAUUAUGAAAAAUAGAAUUUGUGAUUUAAAAAUCAUAUAAAAGUGAUUUAAAGAUUAUAAAAAAAUAUUUAAAGUUAUAAAAUAUAACUUUUGAUAUUUUGUCAUGAAAAAUAUUAAUAAUUUAAUAUUAAUAAUAUUAGAUUUAUUUAAUGAUUAUAUUAAAUAAUUUAGUUUAAAAAUAAUUUUAUUAUUAUAAAAAUCAUUUUAAAUGAAAAUAAAGUGUUUAAAGAUAUUUUAAGUUAUAAAAUAUAACUUUUAAUAUUUAAAGGAUAAUUUCAUUAAUAAUUUAAUAUUAAUGAUAUUAAUUUAAGAUUUAUUGAUAUUAAAUUUAUUUAAUAAUUAUAUUAAAUAAAUAUUUUUAAAAUGGUUUUAUUAGUUUAAAAAUCAUUUAAAAGGAUAUAAUUGAAUUAAAAAUAUUUUAAGUUGGAAUUAAUGACGUUUAAUAUUUGGAUAAAUAGUAAAUUAAUAUUUUAAUAUUAAUGGUAAUUAUUUAAAAAUGAUUUUAAAUGUUUUAAAAAUCAUUUAAGGGUAGUAUUAGUACUUUAAAAAUAUUUUGAGUUAUUAUCAAUAACUUUAAUAUUUUGGUAAUGAUUAUAUUAAUAAUUUAAUAUUAAUUAAAUAUUAAUGAUAAUAUGAUUAUGUACUAUUUAAAUCAUUUAAUUAUGAUUCCAGUGUUUGAAAUUUCAUAAUAAAUUAUAAUAAAUGUUUAAAAAUUAUUAUAAGUCAUUUAAAAAUAAUAUGAUUGAUACUUGUAGAUAUUGAGAUACAAUAUAGAGUCUUAGACUCGAUAUUUACCCAAUAAAGCCGUCGGUAGACCGACAUAUUUUAAAAAUUGAUCUAGACUUAGAUAUUUGACUGUAUUAAUGUUUGUUUGUGAUUUAAUGAUUGUUGAAUAUGUGUGACAAUGUGAUUAGGUUAUGUCCUAACUGCAAUAAGAAGUGCUAUGUGUUAUAGUAUGUUAUUCUAAUCGAACAAAUGAUUUUAUUAAUGAUAGGUUUUGGUAUUAAAGAUAAAACUAAGUUGUGUAUUGUAAGUAGCAGACCAGACAAGUAUCCUAUCUUUGCAUUUUCAUUAUGCAAUGGACAUGAGUAAGAAGUUUAGAACUGUAUUACUACUGUAUCAGAUUAUUAACCCUAUUGUUAUAUAUGUUAUAUCCGAUUAUUGUUUAUCAACAUUGUGACGACCCCAAAAUAGUUAUACAACACCCAUUCUGAGUCGCCAUAAUACAUGGUACAGAAAGAAAACUACAACUUCACUAUUACAAUUGUCAUGCAAAAUACGACAACACAUACUGUGAGUUUAAAUACAAAUAUUGUCUUCUAGACAAUAUCCACAAUCAAAUAAGUCCUCAAUACAUUUAUUAAUACAUUAUUUUACAAAAAUAGUGAGGACUGCUAAAAUAACUAUCUUGAAUCAUCACUCCAUACCCCGGCUAGUCCCUGCUAUAUUCUCACCUCCUGAGAAGAAAAAUGGAACAACAAGAAAAAGGGUGAGUUCAACUAGCCCAGUAAAGAAUAUUAUGACUAAGAUAAUAUACAACAAAUUAUCAUUAGUCCUCAACAGGGAAAAAUCUGAUAGAAUAUAAUAGACAACAAGUUUUAGAUCAGCAAAUGCAGCGGAAACAACAAUCCAUUAGAAGAGUCACGUAGAGAAUGAGUUCUACUAUCUUCUAAGAUUUAAAAGUCCAUCAUCAAUAUUUUAUCCCUGUAACAACAAUCAAUAUACAUCUUUACACUACAGGCCAAAGAUAUUCAUUUAAAUCACCAGUCGGUCAUGUUCAUCUCAACACCUGUUCAUCUUUGCACUACGGGCCAAAGAUAUUCAUCAGUUUAUCAUUCAUCUUUGCACUACAGGCCAAAGAUAUUCAGUAAUAUCAUCAUUUAGGACUGAGGAUGAUGAAAAAUAUUUUUUUUUAAAGAAACGAAUCCAGUGAAACAAAAGGACAAGGAUUAAGAAUUCGUACUUUAGUUUGUCCAAAUUCAAAAAUACUCCAUAAUAAACAAUUAUGGGACAAAUUUUAAGAAUGAAGAUCAAAACAUGGAUAUAAUCAAAGCUAGUAUCAUAAUGGACAUUUUGGAUAAAAAGGAAAUUUUUUAUUUUUCGGUGAAUAAUGUCGUAUUCGUGAAUAGUGCUGUAUACGUGAAUAGUGCCGUAUACGUGAAUAGUAACCCCGACACAAAAAGUUCCAAAUUUGAUAAAAAGAUCAGAUCAAUAUUUCGACGUAAUGAUAUUGACGAAAAUAAUAUCAUUCAUGAAGAAAAUAAUAUUCCUUACCUCAAAGAAGCAGUACUUCGGAAUGAAAGGUCGGAAGUGAUGCUGAAUGAAACUUGUACUGAACAACAACUCUCAAAGUAUCUAAAUACUCACAAAAUACGCUCGAUAAUAUAGAGAGAAAGAGAGAAAGCUUAUGUUUCUUGUGUGAUUUUCAAUUCUAACUUAGCCAUCUAUUUAUAGAAAAAUGUUAACCCGCCGAAGCAGACUUGACCUGCUACCUGAUGGCUUUACCUGUUACUAUUGCCACCCACCACAUUUAAAAUUCAAUUUGAGCACAUUUCUCACCAACCACAAGUGGGGCCCAUUCAAUUCUAGAAUUUUCCACCAAAAUCAUUUAUAACCCUAAUUUCCGAAGCAGUCACCUCUUAAAAUUCAUAACAAAUCAUUCGUUCAUUUUUAACGGUUCAAAAUUUGUGGACAUAUACCCAACUUAUAUAUGUAUAACAUAACCAAAAAUCACAACAAUCCAACGGUCAGAGUAAAAAUUAUAACUCACGCAAUAUAUCGUAAAAAUACUGAUUUGAUUUUUAAUACCUCCAUUCCGACAAAAAUAUAGAUAAAACACCUCAACAUUAACUCCUUCAAUUAUAAUCACAUAAAAUAAACAAAUCCAUCAUUUAUAUAAAAUAAAUAUUUCCUUAUCAUAUAAAUCAAUAAUUAAUUAUUCACAAAUAAUAUUAUAGAAUCACAAUUAUGACAACCAAGCCGUUUCCAGGAAAGAGGGGGCUUUCCAAUAAGGAUUUCUCCUUACUGGCGCGCAAUUAGAUGACCUAACCUCUCCUUAACAGAACUUUCUAGACAUUGCCAAUAAUGCUAUCUAAUAAUAUUAUUAAAGCAAUAUGAAUUAUUGAUCUGAUAAUGGGAAAUACUGUGCAGUAACAAUAAUUGAAAUAAUAAUAAUAUAAAAUAUCAACGCAGCAAUUAUUGAAUCAAUAAAAUAAAAUAUUAAACAGUAACUACUGUAACAAUUAUUGAGUAGUGCCUUCUUACGUAAGAAUCAAUAAUUCAACUAUACUGUGUAAUACCGUGUGCUACUGUGCAACUACGCGUAUUACUGUAUUUUAACCACCAGGUAAUCCAACAGUGUUAACGGUAACAACUGCGCCGUUAUUUAUAAAAACACAUACUUGUCGUUUUCCUUCAUCCAACCAUUUUUCAUUAUGGGGCCCACAAAUGGCUGCGCCGUCGUACGAAUAUUCCCUGACAGCAAGAAUAUUCCACGACGAAACGAAUAUUCCCCGACAACAAUGAAUAUUUUAUAACCACUUGCUUAUUUUGCAAAAUUUGCUUAUCUCAUCCAUAACCAAAAUAUUAUAUCAAAUUAACACCUUAUUAUUCACAAUAAUAAUAAUUAGAGGAAAUUCAAUUUCAUUUAUAAAAAGUUGGGGUCUUACAAACAUGAUAUUAUAUUAUAUAAUUCAGAUAUAUAUUCUGUUCGUUAAUUUCUAAAAAUGAUUUAAUCACAUGUUGAUAUAUAUAUAUAUAUAUAUAUAUAUAUAUAUAUAUAUAUAUAUAUACCUAUUGAACCCCAGUAUGUAUACAUUAAGUAAAAGUCGUCUAAGCUAUUCAACUAGCUAGACACAGAUUUAGAUAUAUCAUUGAAUAUGAUAAAACUUUUUUGUAUCCAAUCAAAUUGUUUUGGUUCGGAUUCCAGACUAAGUAUGAACAUCCAGAACAUGGGAAAACUUUUAUGCACCUAAGACGGACAGAGUGAAUGAUAAUAUCGUUCUUGCAUGCAGUAUUGAUCAAUACAGGGUCCUUGGGAUGUACACCCUCGUGCCCAUAAGUUAUGACGGUUUGCAAAUGAAGUUCUACUUUACCUUUUUGAAAAUAGAAAAUAAUGUUCAUAAUAUGUCACCCUAACCCUAUAUAUAGUCAAUACGUAGUUUCAAAAAUGUGAGAUAGAGUUGUUAUGUUAUUAUUAUCGGUUUAGUUUACUUCACAACUAUUGAAUCGUUGUAGAAGUAAUGUACAAAGAAAACAUUUAAUUCUUUCAGAUAAUUAUAUUUAUAAUUGUUAUUACUUGCUGGGCACUCAAAUGCUCAUCCUUGCUUAAUUUAAAUGUUUUCAGCUAAGCGUGAUCAAUCUGAAGGUUUAGACAAUAAUAAGUGAAAAGGAAAGCAAACAGAAUAUGUUUAACGGUAUCUUUUGUAAUAGUUAAACUGUAUUAAGAUAAUGAUAUGUAUUAUCUAUCAUGUAAAGAAUUAUAGUAAAUGUUGCGUACUUGGGAUUAGACUAUGAUAUUUGUAAAUUAAGUUUGAUUUUUAUAUUAUUGUUAUUAUUAUUAUUAUUAUUAUUCUGCUCAUAAAAAUGGUAUCGUGAAGCACCGAGUUCGGGUUUCAAGUACCUAAAUUUGGGGGCGUCACAAAUAUGGCUCAGUUAUUGGAGCGCGAUAAUGAGUCAACCCAACCAAGAGAGAGUAGCCGACAAAAUGAUAAUACCAGUGGUAGCAGUCAUCGAAGCGGUGUCAACAAACGUGGAGGGAAUCAACAUGCUAGAAAUGGUAACCACUUCGGUAGUAAUCAUGGCGAAGAUAAUAAAAAUGGAAAUUUCAAGAAGAGGAGAAUCAACAAUGAUGGAAAGACGUCAGCACCAGAACCCGUUGGUAAGGAAGGAGAACGACCAGCGAUCGUAUGCUACAAAUGCGGAGGGGAGGGAUACAUCAGUCCAAACUGUGCGCAGCCGUCCAAAAUGUAUUAUAAUUAUGGAAGAGAAGGUCACCUAGCUCGAUUUUGUCUUGCAAGGAAGCCAAGUCAAGCUGGGAUGGAGGCACCAAAGGUCAUCCCAGAAAAGUCAAAACCAGUAGUUCAAGGGAGAGCGUUUUUCGUGACCUCCCAGAAAGCAAGGAACCUGAACGAGGUUAUCAUGGGUAAGCUAAUCAUAAACUCUAGCGAAGUAUAUACCUUAUUUGAUAACGGUUCUACCCAUUCUUUUAUUUUACUAUUGGCACUCAACGUUUAAAUUUAACUCUGGAGAAAUUAGACUUUGACUUAUCUGUUAAAACUCCGUUGGGAGAAACCUUCAUUACAUCCACUGUUUAUAAGUCUUGUUUAGUUCAAAUCGGUACCCUCACAUUACCUGUCGAUCUUAUUUCUUUAAAAAUACUUGCAUUUGAUGUGAUUUUAGGGAUUGAUUGGUUAACUACUCAUCAUGCAAAAAUUGAUUGUUUUCGUAAGGUUGUUAGCUUUCAUAUUCCUAACCAACCUAUUAUGCGAAUUCAAGCAACCAAACCACUAAAGUCAAUCACUGUCAUAUCAAGCCAUAAAGCUAUUCAUUUAUUGAAAAAUAGAUGUCAAGCUUUCUUAGCCCAUGUCACAAAUUUAAACAAAAAUACGUCAUAUUUGAAUGAUAUUUCUAUUGUUAAUAAAUUUCCAGAUGUAUUCCCUGAAGAACUUCCUGGCCUACCCCCAGAGCGUAAAAUUGAGUUUGUAUUGACCUCGAACUCGGUAAAAGACCCAUUUCCAAAGCCCCAUAUCGAAUGGCUCCUAUUGAACUUCAGGAGUUAAAAACCCAACUGCAGGAGUUGUUAGACAUCUGUUUCAUUUUUCCUAGUACGUCUCCUUGGGGUUCUCCUGUUCUAUUCGCAAAGAAGAAAGAUGGGAGUAUGCGACUUUGUAUUGACUAUCGGGAGUUAAAUCAUGUCACUAUCAAAAAUAGGUACUCGUUGCCUCGCAUUGAUUACCUGUUUGACCAGUUGUAAGGAGCCAAAUUCUUUUCAAAGAUCGAUCUUCGUUCUGGAUAUCACCAGUUAAAGAUUAAAACUGAUGACAUCCGAAAGACUGCUUUCAGAACUCGGUACAGGCAUUAUAUAUGAAUUCCUAGUCAUGCAUGUCCGUUGGAUUGACUAAUGCUCCUGCUGCUUUCAUGGAUAUGAUGAACCGAGUAUUCAAGGAAUAUUUGGAUCAUUUUGUGGUCAUUUUUAUUGAUGACAUCCUCAUAUACUCCAAAAUCCGUGAAGAUCAUGAGCAACACUUGAGGUUUAUACUUCAAAAGUUUCGUGAAAACAAGCUUUAUGCCAAGUUGAAGAAAUGCGAGUUCUGGCUUAAGGAAGUGGCAUUCCUUGGGAACGUGAUAUCAAUUCACGGAAUAUCUGUUGACCCAUUGAAGAUUAAAGCAAUUCAGAGCUGGGAGCAACCUAAGUCAGUGACCGAAGUACGUAGCUUUCUGGGCUUAGCUGGUUAUUAUCGGAGAUUCAUGGAUGGAUUUUCUCGAAUUGCUACUCUAUUAACUCAGCUGACUCGAAAAGAUACAAAAUUCGGUUGGAGCGAGGAAUGUGAGAAAAGUUUUCAAGAACUCAAGAGAAGACUCAUUUCAGCACCUGUUCUGAUAAUACCAUCUGGCUCGUAGGGAUUUAUCAUCUACAAUGAUGCUUCAGGCAAAGGGUUAGGAUGUGUUCUCAUGCAACAUGGGAAAGUCAUAGCCUAUGCAUCAUGACAACUCAAAGAAUAUGAGAGGAAUUAUCCUACUCAUGAUCUAGAGUUGGCAGCUGUCGUUUUUGCGCUUAAGAUUCGGAGGCAUUACCUGUAUGGAGAGAAUGUGGAGAUCUAUACGGAUCAUAAAAGCCUCAAAUAUUUCUUCACUCAAAAGGAGCUCAACAUGCGACAACGACGUUGGCUUGAGCUAUUGAAAGACUACGAUCAUACCAUUUAAUACCAUCUUGGAAAAGCGAACGUAGUAGCUGACGCAUUGAGUAGAAGAUCAUAUGCGGGUACGAGUGCGAUAUUGUUAACGCAAAGACCCAUUUUGUAUGACUUACAAAGGAUGGAAAUAGAGUUAAAGACUCUAGGGACCCAAGUGAUGAUGGCAAAUAUACGAUUAGAACCGACUUUAAUCGAUAAAGUUAAAGCUGCUCAACUUACGGACCUGGAGCUGAUGCGUAGUAGGAAGAAAGUACAAGGUGCUAUCCUGGAAGCAAGAAUCGAUGAAGAAGGAAUACUAUGAGUCAACUCUAGACUUUGUGUUCCUAACGACCCUAAUUUAAAGUAUAAAAUCAUGAUGGAGGCGCACAACACACCGUUUGCAAUCCAUCCUGGGAGUACCAAAAUGUAUCGUGAUCUUCGACAUAUAUUUUGGUGAAGUAAUAUAAAGAGAGAGAUAACAGAGUUUAUCUCAAGAUGUUUAACUUGUCAACGUGUCAAGGCGGAGCAUCAAGUGACAAAAGGUCCAUUGCAACCACUUGAAAUUCUAGAAUGGAAGAGGGAGCACAUUACCAUAGAUUUUGUUAUUGGUCUUCCCAAGGUUUCUCAAGGCAUAGUUGCAAUUUGGGUCAUUGUUGAUAGAUUGACCAAGUCUGCUCAUUACUUACCUAUACGAGAAACCUAUACACUUGAACGUCUUGCUCGUAUAUACAUAAACGAGAUUGUAAGACUGCAUGGUAUACCAGUAUCCAUAGUUUCUGAUCGAGACCUAAGAUUACUUCACGAUUUUGGGUCAGUUUGCAGAAAGCUAUGGGCACGGAUUUGCGAUUCAGUUCUUUGAUGCCCCCAAAAUAGGUAUACAUCACCCAUUUUGAGUCGCCAGAUACAUGGUACAAAAUUCAAAUACAACUUAAUUAUACAACAGUCGUGUAAAUACGACAAAACAUAAUCUAAGAGUUUUAAUAAGAAUAUUGUCCAUCUAACAAUAUCCACAAUCAAUGGAGUCCUCAUUACAUUUAUAAUCACACUAUUUCACAGAAUAGUGAGGACUACUAAUACAAACAUCUGGACCGUCACUCUGUUCCCCGACUAGACCCAGCUACGUUCUCAUUUCCUGAAGAGAACCAUGAAAGAAAAGGGUGAGCUCAACUAGCCCAGUAAGAAAUAUUAUGACUAAGAUAAUGCAAAAUAAAUUAUCCUUAGCCUUCAACAGUAUAACAACUGAUAGAAUAUAAUAGACAACAAGUUUUAGAUCAAAAACUGCAGCGAAAUAAGCAAUCCAUUAGAAGAGUCAAGUAGAGCAUAAAAUCUACUAUCUUCUAUGAUUUAAAAAGUUUUUCAAAAUUUUUAUCGCUGAGACUCAGCUUAAUAUAUAUAUAUAUAUAAAAGCAAUAAACGCACCGGAUGUAGACUUACAGUGGACUGCCAAAGUAGACUUCUUGGACUGCAAAUGGAUGAACACUCGUCUCUCGCCGGACUAAAAGUAGCUAUAUACGAGCUAACUAGUGUUUAAAGAAAAGGAAACACUCAAAAGAUGUGUAUGCAGAGCUAAACGGACAGGGCUUCCUCGCCUUUUUCCCUCUCUUCCUUCUCUCAAAUGGCUGACCCCCCCUCUAUAUUUAUAGACGGAUGGCCGCAGGUCUACCUGCGGCUGGUCGUGGUGGGCCCGGGCAUCGCGGGUCUCGUCGUCUUGUAGUACGUGCACUUGCGCACGGUAAUGUCCAAUCGAACUUUCAGAACUUCAAUCCUAGCAUCCAAACGAAGCGUGUCUGUACUUCUUCGGACCGCUGGUGUCGAGAGUUACGUAAUGACAUGGAUUAGAGGUUGUACGAAGUCAGGAAGCGGGGUAUAUGCCCAUGGUCUUCAGGCUUCAAAUUCUAUCCAAAGUAUUGUCACAGGUAAUAGUCACUCGGGAUUGUCAUUCCUCGGUUAUUUGGGACAUUGUUGUAUGUAUGUAUGUCUGAAAGGUUGAGACGACGUGCCAUUUGUUGGACGAACAAGAUGAUGUUUGACUCUUUGCCGGAGUUAUCGCCUGGUUGAGCUGAAAGUAACCGUUGCUCAGGUUACAUCUGAGAUUGGACUACUUGUUGGUAUGCUGCUAUAUCAUCUUGUUACGAGAUGACGUUGGUGACUCCUCACCGGGUUUAUCGCCGGUUUAAGCGGAAAGCAGACGUUGAUCAGGGUUACAGCUAAGAUUGGACCGCCUAUUUGUAUGCCUCACUGUCAUCUGUGAUUGAAGCUGAUUGCAUGUGUUUGCAACAAGCAAUUCUGGAGUUAUCGCCGGAACUGCGAUGGCAUCACUUGGGGUUAUCACCAAGGAUGGGACUACUACUCCCAAUGUUGUCUCUGGGACUGGAACUGAACGUCGCGGUGUCAUCACCGAGACAGGACUGUCCUCUCCGGUGUUGUUGCCGGUCUUUUGAUCUGCACAUCUCGGGGUUAUCUCCGAGAUUGGAAAUGACGUGCCCGGUGUGUGUUCCGGGUUUGGAACCGAUGCUCCCGGUUUGUGUUCCGGUUUGGAGCGAAACUUCCGGUAGUAUCUGGACUUGUUGUGAGCUGUCUUUCAGGGUUAUCUCCAAAAGACGAAUCUACCCUCCUGCAAUGUUAGUAAUAGGAGUGCAGAAAAUUUCGAGUGUCUACAACACCUAGCAACCCAGAUCAUCACUAUAGACUAAAAACAACAUAUUCUAACACCCAAACAUAACAUUUAACAACAUAUCAAAGGUCAGAUUUUUAGGUUUAGUGUUAUACCUUCUUGCUCAAUUUCUUGAUUUUAUGUUACUGAUUUGUUAUGGGAUUUCGUGGGGCUUGAAAAUGGGACAAAAAUGCUAUAGAUUUUCGUUGGUUCUAGUGAGAGAAGCUCUUGGUUGAGUGUUGUGCAAUUUUUAGUGAACAAAUGCAUUUUCUCUAUCCUUAAAUCUAUUUAUAGACAAAUUAGAUACAUGAAUGGCUGAGCUAGAACUUGUUGUUGUCAAUUUAGUGUCACAUGGCUACUCUAGGGUUAGCCAACCACUCCAUCUAGACCUAUUUCUACAAGCAAGCUUCAAUAAUACAAUAGGGCACAAAAGUCUUUUGGCUAGCAAUUUUAAGGGCAUUUUUAUAACUUGUCAAACCCUUAGGGUUUAACCCUUAGGGUUUAGCACAUAACACAAAUGAUUUUUAGCAACUUAGGGUUUGAAUAAAAUAAAAUUAUUUUAGCUUCUAAAAUUUGAAAAUCAAGAUUUGUUAAUUAGAUUAAGUUAGUAAUUAUAUUAUACAUGAACAUUAGGGUUUAGUACCACUAAUCAUAAUUAACCUUGCCAAAAUAGCAAUUAGGGUUUAAGAUUUUAAUAAUUAGGAUUUCUAAAACUCAAUUAGGAUUUUCUAAUUAUCCAAUUAGGGUUCUGAACAUUAGGGUUUUAAUUUAAUAAUUAUGUUUACCAUAAUUAGCAAUUAAAGUCUAUUGUACGUGUUAUUAAUCACAGUAACAUAAUUUUUGACAGAUAAAAUUCUUCAGUUUAAGUUUUGAUUUAGGGUUUCUAAUAUCAGAAAUUCAAAUCUAAUUAGGGUUUGACAUUUAUAAUUAGGGUUCCCUAAUUGGCAUAUCAUUAUGUAACACAACAUAUAACACAGUUAUAUAACAGUCUCAAAUUUCCCAUUUAAAUUGAAAAACAGGGUCAAACCAAUUAAUGCUAGGGUUUGGUCAAUAUACACCAUAAUUGACCAACCAUCAACAGUACGUACAUACAGUACAUAUUUAUGGCACUGAGAAAUUAAAAUAUUAUAAUAUUAUAUAUUAUUCUCAUGCCUUGAUCAAAACCCAAAAUUAGAGUUUGGAUUCCGUAUCUGAUUUAUCUGCCAUAAAUAACCUUAUUAAUUAAGUUAAAAUAAUUAACUUAAUAAUCUGAACAAAAUUCAUAUAAUAAAAUAAUUAUUAUAAUUAUUCUAACAUCAUUUCAUAUAUUACUUAUAUUUUCAAGGAAAAUAAUUAAUAAAACAUUUCUAAUAUAAAAUUAACUGUUAUAAGAAUAUAAUUUAUAAUAAUUAAUAUUUCUAAAAUAAAUCAAUUUGUAAUAAUUAAUGUAAUAAAUUUUAUUUAUCACACAUAUAAUUAUACACAUAUUACCUUGGCACAUAUCACCCAUAUUUAUUUUAAUAAAUAAUAAAAAAAAAAUUUAUACGCAAAAUUUAUGAUUUAUUUAUAUAGAAAAUAUCGGGUUGUCACAUUCUUCACAUUCAUCAGAUUCGGGUGUGUAGCUUGAGCGGCUUUAACUUUAUCGAUUAAAGUCGAUUCUGCUCGUAUAUUCGUUAUCUUCACGUGGGUCCUUAGAGUCUUUAACUCUAUCUUCAUCAUUUGUAAGUUAUACGAAAUGGGUAUUUGUGUUAACAACAUCGCACUUGUAAACACAUACGAUCUUCUACUCAAGGCGUCAGCUACUACGUUCGCUUUUCUACGAUGAUAUUGAAUGGUAUAGUCGUAAUCUUCAAUAGCCCGAGCCAACGUCUUUGGCGCAUGUUACGUUCGUUUUAAGUGAAGAAAUAUUUGAGGGUUUUAAAAAUGGGUUUUGUACUGGGGUCAAUACAAAAUUUGAUUUCACGCUCUAGGGGUAGGCUAAGAAGUCUUCAGGAAUACGUCAGGAAACUUAUUAACGAUAGAAAUAUCAUUCAAAACUGUGACUCUCAUCCCAAGACUUGGAUAGCCCGUCAUAUUGAUACCUAUCAACUUGCCACCGUUAUUCACGGCGUCCCCUACGGAUAGUCUGGCUUCGGUGUAUUCCAAGACUUGGAAGUCAUCAGCGAAAGGCUUAGGUCUCUUUACUUAUGGCUUGAUAUGACAAUGAUUGGCUUUAGUGGUUUGGUUGCUUGAAUUCGCAUAACAGGUUGGUUAGGAAUAUGAAAGCUAACAACCUUACGAAAAGCAUGAUGAGUAGUUAACCAAUCGACUCCUAAAAUCACAUCAAAGGCAAGUAAUUUCAAAGAGAUAAGAUCGACAGGUAACGUGAAAGUGUCGAUUUGAAUUAAACAAGAUUUAUAAACAGUGGAUGUAAUUAACGAAGGUUUCUCCUAACAUAGUUUCAACCGAUAAGUCAAAGUCUAAUUUCUCCGGAGUUAAGUUCAAACAUUGAACACAACUAGGUGAAAUAAAAGAGUGAGUAGAACCGGUAUCUAACAAGGUAUAGACUUCGCAAGAGUUUAUGAUUAACUUACCCGUGAUAACUUUAUUCAGGUUUCUCGUCACGAAAAACGCUCUCUCUUAAACUACUGAUUUUGACUUGUCUGGGACAUCCCAGUUGGACUUAACUUUGCUGUAGAGUACAUUCCACCCUUAAUUGCUUCAUCACAUUCCUGAUCCAUGAUUCGAAUCAUUACUCUCUGAUCCAUAUCGAAUUGGGGUUAACCGCUCUGCACAGGGUAAUUUCGAAUUCGAUGUUGGAUUCUCCCAAUUGUUGUCCAAAAAGCAAAAUCCAUUUCAUCUAUUUUAGCCUUAUUGGAUCUGACGUCUUUUUCUACAAUAUCUACACGUCGUGCGACUUUUACCCAUGCAUCAUCUAUUCUCAUUCGUUCAGUUGUUUUUUCUUUCAUCAGAACUUUGAUCAUAGCAUUCUUAAAUUCCAGCUCUAAUAUCUUAUACUCUGCCAAAGAGUGCUUCUGUUCGAGCAUCGUACAUCGGGUAACACAAUUUUGAAUUGCUACAUCUCUUUGCUCCACGACCGCCUGUCGUUCUUCAGCCUGCUCUUCUAGCUCAUGAAUACAAUUUUGUAAUUCUAAAUUUCGAUCAUAAAAUUCUUCUAAUAAAUUCACCUCAGGUUCCUCUUCUUCCUCACUCUCAGCUGCUACCUCUGCAACUAGCUCGAGUGCAACUAUUAGUUCUUCACUCACCAUGUAGAUAUCUCUAAUUUCUUCUUCGUUUGACAUCACAUUAACCUGGUUAGUGAUUAAAGGUGUCUCAACGAUCUCAUUCACUGCAUUGUUAAUAUUUUUAGCCGCCAUUUUUAAAUACUGUCAUAAAACAAGGGUGAAUUAACAUAUCACAUAUUAUCAAUAUAUUAUGACCGACCAAUUAAAUACCAAAUAAACUUAGGUAGGUCAUACUAGCAAAGGAAUUCCCCGUCUCUCCCCUCCUAGUUCUUGUCUCACAUCUCAGCCAGGGAUCAUAUCCCUAAGCUUUGAUACCAACUGUGACGCCCCCAAAACAGGUAUUCAUCACCCAUCUUGAGUCGCCAAAUACAUAGUACAAAAUUUAAAUACAACUUAAUUAUACAACAGUCGUGUAAAAUACGACAAAACAUAAUUUAAGAGUUUUAAUAAGAAUAUUGUCAUCUAGACAAUAUCCACACUCAAUGGAGUCCUCAUUACAUUUACUGUCACACUAUUUAACAGAAUAGUGAGGACUACUAAUGCUAACAUCUGGACCGUCACUCUGUUCCCCGACUCGUCCCAGCUAUAUUCUCAUUUUCUGAAGAGAACAGUGAAAGAAAGGGUGAGCUCAACUAGCCCAGUAAGAAAUAUUAUGACUAAGAUAAUGCAAAAUAAAUUAUCAUUAGCCUUCAAUAGUAUAACAACUGAUAGAAUAUAAUAGACAACAAGUUUUAGAUCAAAAACUGCAGCGGAAUAAGCAAUCCAUUAGAAGAGUCAAGUAGAGCAUAAAAUCUACUAUCUUCUAUGAUUUAAAAAGUUUUUCAUCAUUUUUAUCGCUAAGACUCAACUUAAUAAAUAAAAUUGAAUCAUCCCUGCACCACAGCGAAGUUUAUUCAUGUAAUCAUCAAUGGUCAUGACUAUACCGAAUAAUCCCUAGUCAUAAUCAUACCAACAACUGUCCACCAAUGAAUUACAUGCCAAUGAUGACUUUUACCACAUCAUUCGUCACAUUACAGUCAUGAUUAUACCGAAUAAUCCCUGGUCAUAAUCAUACCAAGUCCAUCUAUGCACGUAAGUCAAAGAUGACUAUCAUCACAAUAUAAGCAUGAAGAUGAUAACAAUGACAUAAUAAUUCAAUAAAACAAGUUCAAGGAUAAAUUUUAAAGAUUUAUAAUUUAAUUUAUCCAGGAAUCAAUAACGUCUAAUUUGUCAACAUGAUACUGCUUUGUGGAGUAAAAUUCAAGAAUGCUCAGAAGAAUAUUUCUAUGAAAAGAUACUGGAUGAAGUGCAAAUAUCUAGGAUAUUCUACUAAUUUUAUGGAGUAUAGAAGCCAAAACUUUAACCAACUGAGUAUAAUAGAAUAUAUGAAGCUGUAAAUGGAUUUUCGCCCGCCAUGCGGUAAUCCAUGUAGACAGAUCAUUUCCACAUUUUAAUAAGGAAUGAAUACGAAGGAUCAUUCACCAUGCAUGCGAUAAUCCACAUAGACAUGUUAUUCCAACAGAAUAACAAAGUAUGGAAUAACAGAAGAAUUCACCAUGCAUGCGAUAGACCACACAGACAGGUUAUUCCAACAGAAUAAUAAAGAAUGAAAUACUAAAAGAAUUCACCAGGUGUGCGUAGUCCGCACAGACAGGUUAUUCCAGCAGAAUAAUAAAGAAUAGAAUAACAGAAGAAUUUACCAGGCGUGCUUAAUCCGCACAGACAAGUUAUUCCAACAGAAUAAUAAAGAAUGGAAUAACAGAAGAAUUCUCCAGGCGUGCGUAAUCUGCACAGACAGGUUAUUCAACCAGAAUAAUAAAGAAUGGAAUAAUAGAAGAAUUUUGCCACGCAUACGGUAAUCCGUGUAUACAGGUUAUUCCAACAGAAUAAUAAAGAAUAGAAUAACAGAAGAAUUUCACCACACAUACGGUAAUCCGCGUAUACAUGUUAUUCCAACAGAAUAAUAAAGAAUGGAAUAACAACCCUGACAAGUAUUGAAAGAAAUAACUCUCUUAAUAAAUACGAAAGAAAUAAUACCCCUUACCUUAGAAGAAAACUAGAAUAGUGAGGUAGCAGACUUCUCUUCUUCUUUCUCUCUAUAAUUUCUCUCUAUAAUAAUUUCUCUAUAGCUUUAGUGAAUUGGUGAACAAUAAUGAAGGAAUGAGCUUCUAUUUAUAGAAAAAUAUAGUUUCAACAAUUGCACAUUUUGGGGCUCAAAAAAUUACAGUAUAAUAUCUUCUUCUUUUUCUUCAUUUUUAAUUUAGUCCUGCAAGUAUUAUCAAACUUGCACCACCUCCUCUUGGAAGUCCUUGAAUCAAUCAGCUCGAAACAAUCCUUCUUGGACUCAAAUUCUAGUUAAAAUUACCUUUUCUACGCGUACCCAAGCCCCAGCUUGGGUAUUGCCUUGUAAAUAGUAAGCCCCGGCUUGCUAUGCUUCUGAUUUUGAACUCAGGACCCCAAGCCCCGGCUUGGGUAUAAAGCUUAAAAGAGCAAGCCCCGACUUGGGUGCAAGCUGCUAAUAGUUUUUUCUGCUGCAGUGUCCUCAGGUAAAAUGGCCAUAACUUUUGAUCCGGGAGGAGUUACGGGGCCUGCCACCUAUCAAAUCAAAGAUAUCGACGAGAUCUACAACUUUCAUUCUUUGAGAAUUGAGUAAUAACGAACGAAUGAAGGUAGAAAUUGGACUAGAAAUGACUGUUAUGCAAAUGGCCACCCAAAAUAGCGAAGUUAUUCAACAGUCUCCUGUGCUCCAUUGAUAUUCUCAACAUUCUCGGUUGUCAUUUUCAAAUACUGCCACAAAACAAGGGUUAAAUAACAUCACAUAUUAUCUCUAUACUCUGACCGACCAAUUAAAUACCAAAUAAACUUAGGUAGGUCAUACUAGUUCCCCGUCUCUCCCCACCUAGUUCUUAUCUUACAUUUUAGUCAUGGAUCAUAUCCCUAAGCUUUGAUACCAACUGUGACGCCCCCAAAAUAAGUAUACAUCACCUAUUCUGAGUCGCCAAAUACAUGAUAUAAAAUACAAAUACAAUCUUAAAUAUACAACAUAAGUUGUGAGUUUUAAUACAAACAUUGUCUUCUAGACAGUAUUAAAACUCAAAAUAAGUCAUCAAUACAUUUAUUAACACACUAUUUCACAGAAUAGUGAGGACUACUAAUGCUAUCCUCUGGACCAUUACUCCAUUCCCCGACUCGUCCCAGCUAUAUUCUCAUUUCCUGAAGAGAACAAUGAAAGAAAGGGUGAGCUCAACUAGCCCAAUAAGAAAUAUUAUGACUAAGAUAAUGCAGAAUAAAUUAUCAUUAGUCUUCAACAAUGUUAAACUGAUAAAAUACAAUAACUGCAGCGAAAUAAGUAAUCCAUUAAAAGAGUCAAGUAGAGAAUAAAAUCUACUAUCUUUUAUGAUUUAAAAGGAUUUUCAUCACUUUUAUCGCUGAGACUCAGUUUAAUAAAUAAUCCACAUCAUCGAAUCACCCCUGCACUACGGCCAAGGAUAUUCUUUAGUAUUACAACCAUAAAUAUCCAUGCACUACGGGCCAAGGACAUUCGUGUAUUCAUUAAUGGUCAUGAUCAUGCCAAAAACUGUCCAACAAUACACUACGGUCAAUGAGGACUUUUACCACAUCAUUUGUAACAUUACGGUCGUAAUUAUACUGAAUAAUCCCUGGUUAUAAUCAUACCAAGUCCAUCUAUACACUACAGGCCACAGAUGACUUUCAACAGAAUAUAAACAUGAGGACGAUGACAAUGAUAUAUGAAUUCAAUAAAACAAGUUCAAGAAUUUAUUUGUCCAGGAACCAAUAACGUCCAAAUUGUCAACAAGAUACUGUUUUGUGGGAUAAAAUUCAAGAAUGCUCAGAAGAAUAUUUUCAUAAAAAGAUAUUGGAUGAAGCGCAAAUAUCAAGGAUAUUCCACUAAUUUCAUGGAGUAUAGAAGUCAAAACUUUAACCAACUGAGUAUAAUAAAGAAUGAAAUAACAAAAGAAAUCACCAUGCACGUGGUACUUCGCAUAGACUGGUUAUUCCAACAGAAUAAUAAAUAACGGAACCAGGUUAGGCAAAAUUCGCACCGAUAGGAUGUUCCAACUGAAUAAUAAAGAAUGGAAUAACAACAGAAAUCACCAUGCAUACGGUACUUCGCAUAGACAGGUUAUUCCAACAGAAUACUAAAUAACAGAACCAGGUCCGGCGUAAAACGCACAGACAGGAUAUUCCAACACAAUAAUAAAGGCGGAACCAGGUCCGGCGUAAAAGUCACAGACAUGAUAUUCCAACAGAAUAAUAAAUACGGAACCAGGUCCGGCGUAAAACGCACAGACAGGAUAUUCCAACAGAAUAAUAAAGAAGAAAAUAACAGAAGAAUUUCAUCAAAUAUAGGGUAGCCCGCGUAUACAGGUUAUUCCAACAGAAUAAUAAAGAAUGGAAUAACAGAAGUUCUCUUCAUGAAUACAAAAGAAAUAAUACCCCUUACAGUUACAACAAAUAAUAUCCAUUACCGUAAAAGAAACUGGAUAUAGGAAAAUAAAGUUAGCAGACUUCUCUUCUUCUUUCUCUCUAUAAUUUUCUCUCUUUAAAGUUUCAGUGAAUUCGUAAGAAAUAAUGAAGGAAUGAACUUCUAUUUAUAGAAGAAUGGACUGCAUAGUAACUAAUUCAUGAACGGUCCAGAUUGAUUUACUUUUAAUCGAACGAUCCAUAAUUAAAGCAAAGUUUUUUAAAUAAAAUAUAAUAUAUUAUAUAUAUAACAUGUGCAAGAAAAGAAAAAUCACGGGUGGAAGACCCGUGAAUUCAUCUUACUCCCUCUGUCCAUUUUUUCAAACUUACAUAUAUAUAAUAUAAUAUAAUAUAAUAUACAUAAUAAUACUCCUCCCGUCCAUUUCAUCCAUACCCCCCCACCCAAGACUUUUCAUCACAUAUAUAAUAUAAAACAUAUAUAUAUAUAUAUAUAUAUAUAUAUAUAUAAUACUCCCACUAACUUUUCCUUCAACCAACCCGUGACAAACAUAACAUUUCACCCAAGACUUUCCUCCACAAAUGGGCCCCACCCGUGGCCCUCCUAAAAUAACUUCUAUCGAUUAUUUUGAAAACUGGAUAAAUAGGGAUCCAUAAAAUACGUCAAAAUUCACAACAAUUACUAUAACAAUAAUUGAACAAAACUGAGUAGUUCAACAGUAUUAACGGUAAAACUUCCGCCGUUACUUUCAAUAAAAUAUUUUUGUCGUUUUCUCAAUCCGACAAUAAUUCUGUUGUGGGGUCCACCAAUGAUUGUACCGUCGUACGGAUAUUCCCUGACAAAAAGAAUAUUUCCCGACCAAUCGAAUAUAAUAUGACAACUUGCAUACUUUGCAAAAUUUAUAAAUAUUACCCACAAUUAUAAUAUUAUAUCAAAUUAUUCCAUAAUAUUCAAAAAUGAUAUUUAUUGAAAAUUCAUUUUUAUUCAUAAAAGUUGGGGUCUUACAGUAGUUAAAUUCUUAUUUUUGACAUUUUUCAAAUAUUUCAUCCAUGCUUUUACAAUAGACAUCUUUCACUUUGAUGGCGUUUGACAUGCUUACAACAAGUAAUAGAAAUCAUUUUACAGUCAUUAUUUGCAUUAAUCAAGCAUGUUAGUCACAUAGUCAAGUCGUAGUUUCAAUGGUAAUGAAUAGAUUUCUUAUAUGUAAUACAUUUUUCAAAUAUCUCAUCCAUGCUUUUAUCAUCACCAUUUUUCUCUUUGAUGGGGUGUAGUAUGAUAAUAACAUGCAACCAUACAUAUGUAUAGUUACACCAUAUUAAGAACUUAGUUACAUGAAGUUUUCAUGCUUUGCUUAGAGACUUCUAGCAUACAAGGUGCUUUUGUAACUUAUUUUAUGCCUUUGAAAAUAUUCACAACUUGGUUGAGUAAUUUAUAGUUCUUAUAACACUUUUUAGCUUUAUUCUUGUAUACAAAAGUGUAUCAUUCUUGAUUUUCCUCUCUUUCCCAAAAUAGUCCUAACAUGAUCUAUUUGGGGCAAUCAAGCUAGCUUCUCUUGACCAUUUGGGCUUAGUCAGGCUUGGGGUAGCCUAGAUUGGCCUUGCAGUCCCAAUUGGCCUCUAUCUAUGGCAUGAUUUUAUUAAUACCCUCUUCUAUUAAGGUUUACUCUCACCUAUAUCACCAUUUGAUUCUGUUAUUUAUAGGUGAGGAUUUCUUUGAACUGCUACAUGUUUGCUACUUACUUGAUUUUGUUUUCUUUCCGUUUGUAGCUAACUACUCACUAGUAGCAGCUCUCUACUUUAGAUACUAAAUUUACUAGCUUUUAAUCUCCCACUAAACUUUUGGGUCAGCAGCUAGGGGACACAACUCCCUAAUAAUAGAGCAUAUUGGUUAAUUAUCUUAAGCAAUAUAGUUGUAUUGUCUGAAGGUCUAAAGGACAAGUUCAUUACCCAGCUCAGCUACUGUUGCUAUUAGUUGUUAUUUUUCAGUAAUAGAUUGACAGUCUUCAAACUUACCAUGUUUCUUCUUUAAUAACUUUUGUCUAGAAAAUUUCUAUUGCACUAUGUGCACCUUUGAAUACUUGCUUAAAUAAGUAACAAUUACACUCUAUUUAAUUCUGCAGUUUGCAUUUCAAAUCCAAACUACGUUGCCUAUAGCAGUUUAUUGAGGAUGUUUAUUAUUGCCUUAUAGCAACAACCCCCCCUAUUUUGUAAAAUUUCCCAAAUCACAAUUUUAGAUUAACCUAGACUGCCCAAAACCAUUUUAGUAAUGGCUCAUAGCUACAGUUUUAAGCCAACUGUUGCUGCUCCUAGGUAGCAGCUACAUUUGAUUUUGUUUCAUGCCUUGAACUCUCCCUAAUUUUGGUUUACUUGCACUUUAUUUGAAAGUUAUAUAACUAACAUUUUCAACUAAUAGGGAAACUUUAAAUCAAUAGUGAAAUUAUAAUCUAUAUGAUCCAACAUGUUAGCUAAACUGACCCUAGCGAGUCCAGAACAAUGGUCUACAGUCUUCUUUUGUUUUUCUAUGCCAGCAACCAAGCUUGGCUUGGCCCUGUAAGGCUGAUCACCUAAGCUUGGUGUGGCCCUGCUUGGCCUCACGGUCCCUAAGUCAAAUCCAAAGUUGUUAUAGCAGCUGCUAUCUUGGCAACUGCUGCCAUCAAGGAAUAACAGCCCUGCCACUCUUCUUUAAUUCUUAUACUUGCAAACCCCAGAGGAAUGUUUAUACACUAACUUCAACCAUACAUCCUAGUUAGCUCUUAUAAAGUUAUAUUAAUUUGUUAAACAGACUGCCCAAAACUGCUUUAGCAGUCAUUCACUUGUCGACUGUCGCUGCUUGUUUCUAUAACCAGUAGGCAGCCGUCCCAAGUCUUAUGCCACUAAAAGCUUUUACCUCUUAGAUUGAUAUGAAAUCUUGGCAUGUUAUAGGUGAUUCAAAUUCUGAUUAUUUUUAGCUACCAACUAGACUAGGAGAAAAGCUUGCUAGUGCCACUAAAGGUUAAUAUUUCUGCUGCUGCGACAUGCUUUUUGCUGCUGCUUGCAGCUAAUUGCUGCUGCCAAUGGGCAGCUGCGCCCCUUACUUCAGGCCAUUUUUGGCUUCACAUCAAUUAGCCUAUUCACAACCCACUUUCAUUGAUCAAUAAAUGGUACACCUGCCUUCUAAGCUAACUUAGCAACUGUGGCCCAAAUGUACUAUAUGUAAAUCAAAAUGGUGUGCUAACCUUCCUGCUCGGCUCUGCAGAGCAGUGCAGCACAACGCUGGGCGUUUACUGCCAAUGCCUGCAGUAGCCUCAGCUAGCUUUGCCCAAGCUCAAACAUUUUUUUUUCUUAAAAUUUGUUUUUCUUUCCAUUAAUAUGUCAAAACAUAUUUCCUAAUCUUAUAUAAGACGUCCAUAUAUAACCCCAACUUUAAUUCCCUCUAGAAUUCUCUUUUUAGCCAAAACAGUCCACUUGGGACUUUUAACAAAUAUAUGGUGUGCACAGUUUUAAUUUACUCUUUCCAUAGCCAUUUACUUGUGUUAUAAUCUCAUGUUAGCCUCCUUAUUACUCCACAGCCACCUAUCUCCUUGUGCCUAAAUUACAUACAUCUAGCAUGCUAGUGAAUAACCUUUACAACAAUAAAAAAGUAAAAUAAAUGCUAUGUGACUUUACCAGGCCAUUCGGCCAUAACAGUCCAUCACAACUUGCACGAAAUAGUGUUAAACAAGAUAGUUUAUUACUUGAUAACUUUUCCUUAAAAGUUUGAUAUCACAACUUUUACAGAAGAUUACAAUUACCCAUGACAAGUAUAAUUUACUAACACAUCUACAUUACAACAUUAAUAAUACUAACAAUAUAGCAGCCCCUUCUUUUUUCUUUUCAGGCCAUUCGGCCACUGUAGAUUACUAGCAGCAAGAAACUAAAGUGGAAAAGGAUUGGAAAUCUUACCUUAUUGAUUCGAAGGAAACAAAGAAGUUAUACUGCCCAGCUUCUCCACCUACUCUUAGCCGAACUCUUCCACCCUCUCUCUAUAUGACCGAAUUGCUAUAGCUAUUUUGUCUCUACUAAGUGAUGAAGCUAAACUAGUUAAUAAGCUUGGCCCCUUUUUUAUGGCUGAGCUUGGUUCCUUCUACUGUUAACUGCAUCACCUCCUAGUUGGCCCCUACACAGUCAUCAUUCCUAACCUAGCUUCACAGCCACCCUAGCAGACUCUACUUACCUGCUAAGCCUUAUCUUCUGCAAGCUUAUCUAACAUAUUCUUUGUCUGUUAUACAAACUAACCUACCUGUUAACUAGAACCAACUUAGAAACCAUAUGCUUACAGCCUGACUAUGUACUCACGUUAUGCCACUGCUUUUCUUAUUUAGUCUGAAACAGUUAGCUUGUUAUACACCACUGGGUUUACAGGAUUGGUUUAGGUAGGAGUUUGAUAAAUACUUAAUUUGGGCUUAAACCAAUCCUCAAUGGUGGCUGCCGAAAUUGGGCUAGAAAAUGAGUUAGAAUUGGCUUUAUAUUAGACCCAAUACCAUAACCCUUAUUCCUACAUUAAUUAAAGGAGACUUGCAAACAUACAAUUGCAAAAAUUUAUUAUGGCCUAAUAUUUUAAUAUGGACUCUUGUUAAAUUAACACAUGGACUUUUAUAUAUUAUUUUCUCUAGCAACAAUAGUUAACACAUAUAUCAUUAAAAUGUCUAUUCCAUGUAAUCUUAAAUAAUUCAUGGUGGUACAAUAUUUCUUUAUCCUUCAUAAUUUAAGAUGUUUAAUAACCUAUUAAAUAAAUAAUAGUUUUGUCACAAUGAGAAAUAACAUAAUUAAAAUAAAAUAAAAAAUAUACUCACAAAUUGACAUUAUAAUAAUUAAAUAUUACAUAGGAUUUUUUGAGUCAUUACAUACGCGAUAACUCUGCCGUUCUGCAAAAGCACACAGCCUUGUCCUUUAUGCGAUGCAUCAUUGUAUACCACAAAAUUCCCUGUAUCAUCAGGCAAUGACAACACAGGUGUUGAACUCAACCUUUUCAUUAAUUCUUGAAAACUUUCCUCCCACUUCUCUGUCCAAACAAACUUAACCGUUUUCUAGUUAAAUUCGUCAACGGAGUUGCGAUCUUGAAAAAGUCUUGAAUGAAACGCCUAUAGUAACCCGCCAAUCCUAAGAAACUCCUUACUUCUGACGGUAUCUUCGGCUGAUCCCAGUUUAUUACAGCUUCAACCUUUGAUGGAUCUACCGAAAUUUCGUCCUUAUCAAUAACGUGUCCGAGAAACUGUACACGUUCCAACCAAAACUCACAUUUUGAAAAUUUUGCGUACAACUUUUCUUUUUUCAACGUCUCUAACGUCAAUCUCAAGUGUUCAACAUGUUCCUCUUUGGUCUUGGAAUAUACCAAUAUAUCAUCGAAUCAAAUCCAUGAUAUAUUGGUAUGAACAGGGUGUUUAUAUCAUUUGUCUAAGAAUGGUUUAAACACCUUGUUCAUCAAAUCCAUGAACGCUGCAGGUGCAUUGGUUAAACCAAAAGACAUAACCAGAAACUCAUAAUGACCAUACCGAGUUCUGAACGCUAUUUUUGGUACAUCCUCUGGCCUCACCUUUAACUGAUGAUAACCACUCCUCAAGUCUAUCUUUGAGAAAUAGCUUGUUCCCUUCAGUUGAUCGAACAUGUCAUCGAUUCUAGGUAAUGGAUACUUAUCUUUAAUCGUGAUCUUAUUCAAUUCUCGAUAGCAAUGCAGAGCCGUAUCGAUCCAUCUUUCUUCUUAACAAACAACAUCGGCGCUCCCCAUGGCGACACACUCAGUUGAAUAUACUUUUUGUCGAGUAAUUCUUGCAAUUAUACCAUCAACUCCUUCAUCUCUACUGGGGCCAUUCUAUAUGGUGCAUUAGAUAUCGGGGUCGUUCCUGGUAAUAAGUCAAUUACGAACUCGAUUUGUAGAUCCGGCGGAAGACUCGGCAAAUCGUCUGGAAAUACGUCUGCAAAAUCUCUUAUGAUUGGUAUCUCUUCUAACUUCGCACUCUUCUUUUGUGUAUCGACUAUGUAGGCUAAGUAUCCUACACAUUCUUGUCUCAACAACUUCUUGGCUUGCAUCACCGUUAGACAACUUGCUUGUCGAGGUGACUUGCUGCCGUAGAACACAACCUUUGAUGGAGUCAUAAGGUUAACACAUUUCCUUUCGCAAUCAAUUACUGCUCCGUAAUUGAAUAACCAAUCCAUUCCCAGUAUAACAUCAAACUCACAAAGUCUAAUUGGUAUCAAAUCUACCAUCAUCUCGUGACCUUUUAUAACCACCCUACAAUUCCUAUAUAUAAAUCUAACAGGAAUCACUUCCUUAUUCGCAAUCUCUAUGCUUAAGGGAAAUUCUAAUUCUUCCUGAGGCAAAUCUAAAUUUUGAGCAAAUUCAUUGGAUAUAAAUGAAUAAGUAGCACCCGAAUCAAAUAGUACAUAAGCAUUAAUACCAUUAAUCUAAAUGAUACCUGAGACCACAUCCUUAGACUAUAUAACAUCCUGCACGGUCAUAUUAAAAGUCCUCGCAGUAGGUCGACUUUGUGACGCCCCCAAAAUUAGGUAUACAUCACCCAUCUUGGGUCGCCACUUACAUGGUACAAAAUACAAAUACAACUUAAUUAUACAACAGUCGUGUAAGCUACGACAAAAUAUAAACAAUGAGUUUUAACUCGAAUAUUGUCAUCUAGACAUUAUUCAAACACAAAUAAGUCCUCAAUACAUUUAUUGUCACACUAUUUAACAAAAUAGUGAGGACUACUAAUGCUAUCAUCUGGACUGUCACUCCGUUCCCCGACUCGUCCCCGUUACGUUCUCAAUUCCUGAAGAGAAUAGUGAAAGAAAGGGUGAGCUCAACUAGCCCAACAAGAAAUAUUAUGACUAAGAUAAUGCAGAAUAAAUUAUCAUUAGUCUCCAACAAUGUUAAACUGAUAAAAUACAAUAGACAUCAAGUUUAACUGCAGCGGAACAAGCAAUCCAUUAAAAGAGUCAAGUAGAGAAUAAAACCUACUAUNNNNNNNNNNNNNNNNNNNNNNNNNNNNNNNNNNNNNNNNNNNNNNNNNNNNNNNNNNNNNNNNNNNNNNNNNNNNNNNNNNNNNNNNNNNNNNNNNNNNNNNNNNNNNNNNNNNNNNNNNNNNNNNNNNNNNNNNNNNNNNNNNNNNNNNNNNNNNNNNNNNNNNNNNNNNNNNNNNNNNNNNNNNNNNNNNNNNNNNNNNNNNNNNNNNNNNNNNNNNNNNNNNNNNNNNNNNNNNNNNNNNNNNNNNNNNNNNNNNNNNNNNNNNAAUAAUUAAAACGGAACCAGGUCCGGCGUAUAGCACAGACAGGAUAUUCCAACAGAAUAACUGAAUAAUUAAAACGGAACCAGGUCCGGCGUAGCACAGACAGGAUAUUCUAACAGAAUAACCGAAUAAUUAAAACGGAACCAGGUCCGGCGUAUAGCACAGACAGGAUAUUCCAACAAAAUAACUGAAUAAUUAAAACGGAACCAGGUCCGACGUAUAGCACAGACAGGAUAUUCCAACAGAAUAAUAAAGACAGAAUAAUAGAAGAAUGUCACCAAGUAUAGGGUUGCCCGCGUAUACAGGUUAUUCCAACAGAAUAAUAAAGAAAUGGAAUAACAGAAGUUCUCUUCUUGAAUACAAAAGAAUAAUAUUCCUUACCAGAAAAGAACUUAAUAUAAGAGUAGUUUCAGUAGCAGAAUACUUUUCUUCUUUCUCUCUUACAAUUUAUCUCUCUAGAGUUUCAAUGAAUUUGUAAGAAAAUAAUGAAGGAAUGAGCUUCUAUUUAUAGAAAAAUGGAAUGCAUAGUAACUAAUUCAUGAACGGUCCAGAUUGAUUUACUUUUAAUCGGACGGUCCAUAAAAUAUAUUAUAUAUAUAUAAUAUAUAUAUAUAUAUAUAAUAACAAUAAUACUCCCUCCGUAUAAACCAAAAAAAUAAUUUGACAACUUUGAAAAAAACUCCCAACCUUUCAAUUUUCAAUACCGUGGGCCCCACAUGUUCCCCUCCCCCCAACAUGUCAAUAUCACAAGGGUCUCAUUAUAUGUAAAUAACUUUCUAUCAAUAAUAUUGAAAAAUAGGUAAAUGGGGGUCUAAAUAAUACGCCAAAUUUACAACAACUACCUCAUAAAAAUCCCUUCAAUAUUUUUAACAAUAUUUAUCAUCUUUAUUACAAUUCACAAUAUUAAUCGACCAGGUCGUUCCCAGGAUAGAGGGGGCUUUCCAAUAAGGAUUUCUCUCUAUUGGCGCGCAAUUAGAUUAUCUAACCUCUCCUUGACAGAACUUCUAGACAUCGUUAAUAUUGCAAAUAAUAACAUUAAUAACUUUGUCGUCUCAAUUAUUGAUUUAAUAAUAUAAAGAAUAUCAACAAUAAUUGAAUCAAAUAACGUGAGAUACUAUGCAACAAUUACUAUAACAAUAAUUGAAUAAAACUGAAUGACUUCUCACGUAAGCAUAAAUAAUCAAUACCGUGUGCUACUAUGCAACCACGCGUAUUACUGUACUUUUACUACUGAGUAGUUCAACAGUAUCAACGGUAAAACUUCCGUCGUUAUUUUCAUAAAAAUAUUUUUGUCGUUUUCUCAAUCCGACAAUAAUUCUGUUGUGGGGUCCACUAAUGAUUGCGCCGUUGUACGAAUAUUUCCUGCUAAAACGAAUAUUCCCCAACCAAUCGAAUAUAAUAUAGCAACUUGCAUACUUUGCAAAACUUAUAAAUACUACCUUCAACUAUAACAUUAUAUUAAAUUUAUUGCAUAAUAUUCAAAAAUGAUAAUUAUAGAAAAUUUAUCUUUAUUCAAAAAGUUGGGGUCUUACAACCCCCCCUUCUUAAGAAAUUUCGCCCUCGAAAUUAGGGUACGUACCUGGUAUAUCGAAGAGGUAAGGAUACCUUGAUUUCAUUUUAGAUUCUAACUCCCAGGUCAUUUCCUCAACAUCGUGGUUUCUCCACAAAACUUUGACUUGAGGUAUAACCUUGGAGCGUAAAAUAUGUUCCUUGUUAUCCAAGAUUUGAACAGGAACCUCUUUAUACGUUAAAUCUUCCGCUAUUUCGUCUGGUUCUAGCUCAAUAAUGUGGUUCGGGUCUUCCACAUAUUUACGUAACAUGGAUAUGUGAAAAAUGUUAUGAACACCAGACAUACUAGGCGGUAAAGCGAGUCUAUAGGCCACAGUUCCUACUCGAUUGAGGAUUAAAAAUGGGCCAAUGAAUCGAGGAUUGAGCUUUCUUAUCUUUCCAAAUCUCGUAACACCUUUCCAUGGAGCAACAUGUAACAACACAUGAUCUCCAAUAUCGAAUUCCACGUCCUUUCGAUGAAGAUCAGCAUAACUCUUUUGUCGAUCUUGUGAGGUUUUUAUACGUUGUCGAAUCGUUUGAAUCUUUUCCGUAGUCAUACGUACCAACUCCGGUCCCAACAACGUUGCUUCACCCACCUCAUCCCAGCAUACUGGAGAACAACACUUUCUCCCAUACAACGCCUCAAAUGGAGCCAUGCCAAUACUUGCUUGAUAACUAUUGUUAUAGGAAAACUCCACCAAUGAUAAGAACUUAUCCCAACUUCCAUUGAAGUUAAGGACACAGAGUCUUAAUAAAUCUUCUAGAGUUUGAAUAGUCCUCUCUGAUUGUCCGUCCGUCUGAGGAUGAUAUGCUGAACUAAAUCGUAAAUCUGUGCCCAUAGCUUUUUGCAAACUAACCCAAAAUCAUGAAGUGAAUCUUGGGUCUCGAUCAGAAACUAUGGAUACUGGCAUACCAUGCAGUCUUACAAUCUCGUUUAUGUACAUACGAGCAAGACGUUCAAGUGUAUAAGUUUCUCGUAUAGGUAAGAAAUGAGCAGACUUGGUCAAUCUAUCAACAAUGACCCAAAUUGCAUCUAUGCCUUGAGAAACCUUGGGAAGACCAGUAACGAAAUCCAUGGUAAUGUGCUCCCACUUCCAUUCUGGAAUUUCAAGUGGUUGCAAUGGACCUUUUGGUACUUGAUGCUCCGCCUUGACUCGUUGACAAGUUAGACACCUUGAGAUAAACACCGCUAUCUCUCUCUUCAUAUUGCUCCACCAAAAUGUAUGUCGAAGAUCAUGAUACAUUUUGGUACUCCCAGGAUGGAUUGCAAACGGUGUGUUGUGCGCCUCCAUCAUGAUUUUAUACUUUAAAUCAGGGUCGUUAGGAACACAAAGUCUGGAGUUGACUCGAAGUAUUCCUUCUUCAUCGAUUCUUGCUUCCGACAUAACACCUUCUUGCACUUUCUUCCUCAUACGCAUCAGCUCCAGGUUUGUAGUUUGAGCAGCUUUAACUUUAUCAAUUAAAGUCGAUUAUACUCGUAUGUUCGCCAUCAUCACAUGGGUCCCUGGAGUCUUUAACUCCAUCUCCAUCCUUUGCAAGUCAUACAAAAUGGGCCUUUGUGUUGACAAUAUUGCACUCGUACCCACAUAUGAUCUUCUACUCAAUGCGUCAGCUACCACGUUCGUUUUUCUAGGAUGGUAUUGGAUGGUAUGAUCAUAAUCUUUCAACAGUUCAAGCCAACGUCGUUGUCGCAUGUUGAGUUCCUUUUGAGUGAAGAAAUAUUUAAGGCUUUUAUGAUCCGUAAAGAUCUCCACUUUCUCCCCAUACAAGUAAUGCCUCCAAAUCUUUAGUGCGAAGANNNNNNNNNNNNNNNNNNNNNNNNNNNNNNNNNNNNNNNNNNNNNNNNNNNNNNNNNNNNNNNNNNNNNNNNNNNNNNNNNNNNNNNNNNNNNNNNNNNNNNNNNNNNNNNNNNNNNNNNNNNNNNNNNNNNNNNNNNNNNNNNNNNNNNNNNNNNNNNNNNNNNNNNNNNNNNNNNNNNNNNNNNNNNNNNNNNNNNNNNNNNNNNNNNNNNNNNNNNNNNNNNNNNNNNNNNNNNNNNNNNNNNNNNNNNNNNNNNNNNNNNNNNNNNNNNNNNNNNNNNNNNNNNNNNNNNNNNNNNNNNNNNNNNNNNNNNNNNNNNNNNNNNNNNNNNNNNNNNNNNNNNNNNNNNNNNNNNNNNNNNNNNNNNNNNNNNNNNNNNNNNNNNNNNNNNNNNNNNNNNNNNNNNNNNNNNNNNNNNNNNNNNNNNNNNNNNNNNNNNNNNNNNNNNNNNNNNNNNNNNNNNNNNNNNNNNNNNNNNNNNNNNNNNNNNNNNNNNNNNNNNNNNNNNNNNNNNNNNNNNNNNNNNNNNNNNNNNNNNNNNNNNNNNNNNNNNNNNNNNNNNNNNNNNNNNNNNNNNNNNNNNNNNNNNNNNNNNNNNNNNNNNNNNNNNNNNNNNNNNNNNNNNNNNNNNNNNNNNNNNNNNNNNNNNNNNNNNNNNNNNNNNNNNNNNNNNNNNNNNNNNNNNNNNNNNNNNNNNNNNNNNUCAAAAUCCAAUUUCUCCGGAGUCAAAUUUAAACGUUGAGCGCAAGUAGGAGAAAUGAAAGAGUGGGUAGAACCAGUAUCAAAUAAAGUAUAAACUUCGCUAGAGUUUAUGAUAAGCUUACCCGUGAUGACCUCGUUCGGGUUCUUUACUUUUUGGGAGGUUACAACAAAUGCUCUUCCUUGCACUACCGACUUUGACUUUUCUGGGAUGGCCUUUGGUGACUCUAUCCUAACUGAACUUGUCUUCGGUGCACGACAAAAUCGAGCCAGGUGACCUUCUCUUCCACAGUUGUAACAUGCUUUGGAUGGCAUCGCACAGUUGGGACUGAUGUGUCCCUCUCCUCCACACUUGAAACAUAUGAUAGGUGGUCGUUCCCCUUCCUUAACGACAGGUGCUGAUGUUGACGUCUUUCCAUCAUUGUUGAAUCUCCUCUUUUUGAAAUGUCCAUUUUUAUUGUUUUGGCCAUGAUUACCACCGAAGUGGUUACCAUUUCUGGCCUUUUGAUUUCCUCCACGCUUGUUGUCACCGCUUUGAUGACUGUUCUCACUGGUAUUAUCAUUUUAUUGGCUGCUCUCUUUUGGUUGGCUUAACUCGUUAUCACGCUCCAAUAACUGAGCCCUAUUAACAACAUCCGAAUACAAACACAGUUUAUGAGAGAUAAGAUAUUGACGUAUCUCAGGUUUCAAACCUCUUAAAAACAUUCGCGUCAUUCUCUCCUCAUUAUCAACCAAAUGGGACGCAAACUGGGACAACUCGGCAAACUUGGCUUUGUACUGCGAUACUGUCAUGUUGUUUUGUUCCAGCCUGAUGAACUCUACCUCUUUCAUGUGACGAAUACUUUUGGGAAAGUACUUGUCGUUGAACAAUUCUUUGAACUUCUCCCAAGUCAUCUUCAGUGCGGCAGGUUGAGUACGCUUUACAGAUUCCCACCAGUAAUCUGCCUCUCCUCGCAACAUGAAGGUGGCAAAGGAAAUCUUUUGUUCCUCGGAGCAUCCCAAGACAUCAAAUAUCUUGGUAAUCUACUUUAUCCAUGUCUCCGCCUUAAGUGGUUUUGGUUCUCCAAUAAACUUCGGUGGUCCCAGCUCCUUGAACUGUUUGGCGGUGACCAUCCGAGAGUUGCUAGUGUUUUCACCUGCAUUUUGGACAGGAGCCGCUCCUGCCUGAUGUUGUAUGAAUUGCAUGAAUCCUCGAAACAUUUUGUUGUUCAAUAUUUGGUCAGUGUUGUUGUUUGCAUGAGGAUUUUUGCCUUCCUGAUGCACAUUGUCCUGAUUGUUGAUCUGUGGAGACUCAACGGUCUCCUGUGCUCCAUUGAUGUUCUCAACGUUCUCGGAUGCCAUUUUCAAAUACUGCCACAAAACAAGAGUUAAUUAACACAUCACAUAUUAUCCCUAUACUCUAACCAACCAAUUAAAUAACAAAUAAACUUAGGUAGGUCAUACUAGCGAAGGAAUUCCCCGUCUCUCCCCUCCUAGUUCUUAUCUCACAUCUUAGCCAGGGAUCAUAUCCCUAACCUCUGAUACCAACUGUGACGCCCCCAAUAUUAGGUAUACAUCACCCAUCUUGGGUAGCCACUUAUAUGGUACAAAAUACAAAUACAACUUAAUUAUACAACAGUCGUGUAAGAUACGACAAAAUAUAAACAAUGAGUUUUAACUCGAAUAUUGUCAUCUAGACAGUAUUCAAACACAAAUAAGUCCUCAAUACAUUUAUUGUCACACUAUCUAACAGAAUAGUGAGGACUACUAAUGCUAUCAUCUGGACUGUCACUCCAUUCCCCGACUCAUCCCCGCUACGUUCUCAAUUCCUGAAGAGAACAGUGAAAGAAAGGGUGAGCUCGACUAGCCCAGUAAGAAAUAUUAUGACUGAGAUAAUGCAGAAUAAAUUAUCAUUAGUCUCCAACAAUGUUAAACUGAUAAAAUACAAUAGACAUCAAGUUUAACUGCAGCGGAACAAGCAAUCCAUUAAAAGAGUCAAGUAGAGAAUAAAAUCUACUAUCUUUUAUGAUUUAAAAGGUUUUUCAUCACUUUUAUCGCUGGGACUCAGCUUAAUAAAUAAUCCACAUCAUCGAAUCACCCCUGCACUACGGCCAAGGAUAUUCUUUAGUAUCACGACCACAAUUAUCCAUGCACUACGGGCCAAGAAUAUUUGUGUAUUCAUUAAUGGUCAUGAUCAUGCCAACAACUGUCCAUCAAUGCACUACGGGCCAAUGAGGACUUUUUCCACAUCAUUUGUAACAUUACGGUCAUGAUUACACCGAAUAAUCCCUGGUCAUAAUCAUACCAAGUCCAUCUAUGCACUACAGGCCACAGAUGACUUUCAACAAAAUAAUAACAUGAGGAUGAUGACAAUGAUAUAAGAAUUCAAUAAAAUAACUUUCAAGAAUUAAUUUGUCCAGGAAUCAAUAACGUCCAAAUUGUCAAUAAGAUAUUGUUUUGUGGUGUAAAUUAUUCAAGAAUGCUCAGAAGAAUAUUUUCAUGAAAAGAUAUUGGAUGAAGUGCAAAUAUCAAGGAUAUUCCAUUAAUUUCAUGGAGUAUAAAAGUCAAAAUUUUAACCAACUGAGUAUAAUAACGAAUGGAAUAACAAAAGAAAUCACCACGCAUGCGGUACUUCGCAUAGACAGGUUAUUCCAACAGAAUAAUAAUAACGGAACUAGGUCAGGUGAGAUUCACACCGACAGGAUGUUCCAACAGAAUAAUAAAUAAUUAAAACGGAACCAGGUUCGGCGUUUAGCACAGACAGGAUAUUCCAACAGAAUAACUGAAUAAUUAAAACGGAACCAGGUCUAGCGUAUAGCACAGACAGGAUAUUCCAAAAAAAUAACUAAAUAAUUAAAACGGAACCAGGUCCGGCGUAUAGCACAAACAGGAUAUUCAAACAAAAUAAUAAAGACAGAAAAAUUGAAGAAUGUCACCAAGUAUAGGGUUGCCCGCGUAUACAGGUUAUUCCAACAGAAUAAUAAAGAAAUGGAAUAACAGAAGUUCUCUUUUUGAAUACAAAAGAAUAAUAUUCCUUACCGUAAAAGAACUUAAUAUAAGAGUAGUUUCAGUAGUAGAAUAAUUUUCUUCUUUCUCUCUUACAGUUUAUCUCUCUAGAGUUUCAAUGAAUUCGUAAGAAAAUAAUGAAGGAAUGAGCUUCUAUUUAUAGAAAAAUGGAAUGCAUAGUAACUAACUGAUGAACGGUCCAGAUUGAUUUACUUUUAAUCGGACGGUCCAUAUUUAAAGUAAAAUCUUUUAAAUAAAAUAUAUUAUAUAUAUAUAUAUAUAUAUAAACAAUAAUACUCCCUCCGUAUAAACCAAAAAAAUAAUUUGACAACUUUGAAAAAAACUCCCAACCUUUCAAUUUUCAAUACCGUGGGCCCCACAUGUUCCCCUCCCCCAACAUGUCAAUAUCACAAGGGUCCCAUUAUAUUUAAAUAACUUUCUAUCAAUAAUGUUGAAAAAUAGGUAAAUGGGGGUCUAAAUAAUACGCCAAAUUUACAACAACUACCUCAUAAAAAUCUCUUCAAUAUUUUUAACAACAUUUAUCAUCUUUAUUAAAAUUCACAAUAUUAAUCGACCAGGUCGUUCCCAGGAUAGAGGGGAUUUUCCAAUAAGGAUUUCUCCCUAUUGGCGCGCAAUUAGAUUAUCUAACCUCUCCUUGACAGAACUUCUAGACAUCAUUAAUAUUGCAAAUAAUAACAUUAAUAACAUUGUCGUCUCAAUUAUUGAUUUAAUAAUAUAAAGAAUAUCAACAAUAAUUGAAUCAAAUAACGUGAGAUACUAUGCAACAAUUACUAUAACAAUAAUUGAAUAAAACUGAAUGACUUCUCAUGUAAGCAUCAAUAAUCAAUAUCGUGUGCUACUAUGCAACCACGCGUAUUACUGUACUUUUACUACCGAGUAGUUCAACAGUAUCAACCGUAAAACUUCCGCCGUUAUUUUCAUAAAAAUAUUUUUGUCGUUUUCUCAAUCCAACAAUAAUUCUGUUGUGGGUUCCACCAAUGAUUGCGUCGUUGUACGAAUAUUCCCCGCUAAAACGAAUAUUCUCCGACCAAUCGAAUAUAAUAUAGCAACUUGCAUACUUUACAAAACUUAUAAAUACUACCCACAACUAUAACAUUAUAUUAAAUUUAUUCCAUAAUAUUCAAAAAUGAUAAUUAUAGAAAAUUCAUCUUUAUUCAAAAAGUUGGGGUCUUACAGACUUGACUGUGCUGAUCCAGAGAUAGUUAAUGUACCACCAACGUUGUUGUUUCCUUUUCCACCACUUGCACUUCCUGCUGGCUUCUUAGGGCAAUCACGAGCCAUGUGAUCCUACGAACCGCAGGUAAAACAUGCUCCUUUAUUUGGACUAAAACAGUUCAGUGUAAUGUGUCCCUCCUGACCACAGUUGAAACACACCCGCUUUCCCUUCAAACAUACUCCAUUAUGAUUGUUUCCAUAAGUCGCAUAAGCUUCAAACUUUUUCUUCUGCUGAUUUCCUUGUUGUCCUCCCGCAGUCGAAUUUUCACUCCACUUCCUCUUCUGAUUGUUAUUUCCAACGUUACUUCCACCAGCCUUAUUUUCAUUCUCAGUCUUCCUCUUCUUAUAUUCUUGGUUGUACUUGGUCAAGGCAUCGCUUUCACCUUCUGCGAUAAUUGCCUUUUCCAGUAUAACCGCAAAUGUAUUUAACUGAAAUAUUGAAACCUUGCUAUACAGCCAGGGUUUCAAUCCAUGUUCGAACCUUAUCGCCUUUCGUUCAUCAGUAUUGACUUAAUAAGUGGCAAACCUUGCCAAUUCAUUAAACUUCGCAGCAUAUUCUGGCACCGUCAUAGUUCCUUGUUUCAGUUCCAGAAAUUGCAUUUCCAACUUAUUCUGAGAACUCGCUGGAAAGUACAUUUCAAAAAAUAUCUCCUUAAAUCUAUCCCACGCUAUCACUCCUUGUCCCCCACGAACCUUAUUUGCCUGCCACCAGUAGCUAGCUUCAGACUUCAGCAUGAACGUUGUGAACGCAGUCUUCUGAUCCUCGUUGACUCUAGAAACGUUGAACACUUUCUCCAUUUCCAUGAUCUAGGUUUGGGCUUCUACUGGAUUCAUAGACCCUUGAAACUCUGGCGGUCCAACCGCUUUGAAUUCCUUAAAGGUCAUGACUUGAGCUUGCGGUUGAUUCGCAAGUGCACCUGUUAACAAGGUUACCAACUGCUGAACCGGGUUAGCAUUGGCCUCGUUAUUAUUUUUAGUAGACCCCUCAGGAGGUGGUUGUUGACGUGUUUUUCUUCUUCUAGGAGGCAUUUUCUGUUAAGAUAUACGCUCAUUAGUUCAUUACUCAACUUCUUGAUUAUUUGAAGUUUAACUUAAAUAUUCUAAGAUUAAAGUUAUAACACAUAACAUUUCAAAUAAACUCUGGUAUUUUAUUCAUUCAUAAUGUUUUAAAACAUAUUAAAGAUAGCAUAACCGCUAUUAACAUUCACUUUCCUGAACUAAGCAAGUUUUAGGAUUACAUAUUCAUACUACCCCUUUAUUUAUCUCAAAAUAAGGGAUUCACAGUUUAUAUACUCACUUACUUAACCACGUAUUAUUAUUCUCAUUCUUUCUAUCUAGACAUAUUAAGAUGUCGUAAGGCUUCUCUAUGUUCUUCCUCCAUAAUUCGAUACAUCGUUCUACGAUCCAUCAUGAACUACAACGAAUCUUCAAAUUGAGGUGGAUAAUAAAAGACUCGAUCCUGGGCCCUAUCAAUUGCAGAAUUAAAGGCAUAAUCCAUCCCAUUCAUCUUGGCCUUCUUCACUUGAACUUUAUCCUCGGCACGGUCUGCACGUUAAGUCACCUUUAUCCAAGCGUCCUCUGCUCUCGUACGUUUAGUUGAAUCCUCUUUCAAGUCAUCUUUUAACUUCUCCACAUCAGUCUUCAUCUUCUUGUUCACUGCCAACAAAUCUUCAUGCUGACCCUUGGUAUGAAAUAGGUCCCACUCCGUGUUUCCAAGUCUUGAGUCGAGUUCUUGAAUCUCCGCAUCCUUCUGCUCUAUCGUAGCGUGAUGCAUCUCAACCAACUCCUUCAGCUCCUGAACUUUGUCUUGUAAUUCUAUGUUACGAUCGUACAGAGCAUCAUACAUCUCAGCUGAUAUGGAGCUUUGUGGAAACGCCACAGGAUCCUCUUCCUCAUCAUCCAACUCUAUCUCUUCAGAACUAUCCUCCUCGGGAUCGGUCACAGGUUCAUCCUCCUGGAUCAACUGUUCACGCAUAACAUGAAUAUCCCGGGGUUCCUCAUCUCUAGGUAUCUGAGGUAUUACUUCCCUAGCUGGAAUGGAUCCUCCUUCAUUAGACAUCCUAACAACAAAAUAUUUUAAGUUUACUUAACAUUUUUCGAUACUCGCGAGCACAUAAGUUAUUACACAUAGCACAUAAUGUCUUUUAUUAUUUAUCUUCAAUGGAUAGCUUAAUCCAUUCAUUAAAACUCGAUAAGAGUUAGACACCUCUAUAUUUUCUGUCUUCUUAAAGGUUACUUCCUAAGGUUUCCCCACCUAAGGUUCAUAACCUAAAGCUCUGAUACCAACAUGUGACACCCCCAAAUCUGGGUAUUCCUUUUCCACAGGAUUUGGUGCUCACUAUCCAAAACCAUUACAUCUAACUACCCAUAACAAAGGAUAAAGACAUAAUUUAAAUAACUUAACAAUAAUCUUCCCAUUAAAGGGUUACAUCGUCAUAAAACAAUCCCAAAUAAUUUAAUCUUAAAUUAUUACAUAAGUUUGCGGAAUACAUCAUAAAAUAAAACAAGUCUUAUAACAUAAACAUUUAAAUAAACUUUCAUAAAUCUUCAACACUUGGACAUCUUUCCCUUUUCUUUGCUAGUAGAUGGCUCAUCGACUUUCUCAACUUUAGCUGCAGUGUUAAAUGCAAGAGUGAGCAAACAAUUGCUCACUGAUAUAGAGAGUAGUAAUGAUAACAACAUAAGAUUAAACAACGAAUGCUGAACAAUAAUGAAAUUGUUCUAUGAAUAAAAAAUAGAAAACAAGUUCAAAUUUAAUAUCUGAGGGUCUUAAGACCACGAACUAUGUCCCCGAUAUUUAGGUAUUAUUACCCAACCUUAACAGUCAUUUAGACUAUACAAACCCUUCUUAACGUACUUAGGGGGAUCAGCCCUUUGUACCAUGUAUUGUGCACAAACAUCUAAACGUUACACGUACAAAAUCCCCUAUGUUAGGGUUGUUCGUCUCAGCUUGAAUUUAGAAUUUCUGCACUAAAGAGAGUUUAGCUCGGAACUAACUUAUCAAUGGUUCUAGAAUUUUAGAACACUACUCAAUUAUAGACUAAUUCAAUCAAUAAGAGUUUGCUUGCUACUUGAAGAUUUAAUAUAACAAAAAUAGAAUUGAACAAGGCUAUCAAAGUCAAAGAUCGAAUAUCAACAAUAUACAGUUGAGCACUACAACAAAAAAGCUUAUCAGCGACCGCCUAUCAGCGACCGCCUGUGGUCGCUGAUAUCUAUCUGCGACCGUCUACUCGAGUAAACAUGAUAUACAUGCAAAGUACUAUAUCCAAAAGAGUUAGAAUAAUCUCCUUUGAAUCAAUGUAUUAGAACAAUAUAUUCUUUUGAAUAACAAUAUCAAGAUUUAGGAAAGUGAAACUCGCUCAAUGUAACAAACUAGAUUACAAGAGAUUGUACGAUACACGAGAUAGAAUCAAUAGGCUUGCUGAACUUUAAUGUAAAAUUUAGAAUUAGAAAGCUUGUUUGACAUAAAAGAUAACAUAGCUAUGAAACUUGCAUUCAUUAAUAAAAGAAUGAAGUUAGAAAACUUGCUCAAUAAAAGUUUAGGAUAAGAAACUUGCCUUGUAUGUAAGCUACACAAGUGUAAUAAUGUUCGCCAAUUACCCUACACAUAUCAUUGGAAUCGCAAUAACAAUUAGUUGUAUUAUUAUUAGCUUUAAGGGUUUAAACCACCAUUUAGGUCAUAACCUUAACUUAACAUCUAACCAUGUUGGUUAACACCUUUAACAAAUCUAAAAUCCCUCUAUAAACUAACAUAAACUUUAUCAUUCAUUUCUUACUUUCAUAAACAUUAUUUUUUUAUUCAUUACAUAACUUAAUUAAAUAAUCACUUAAAAUCUUCAUACUUUAUAUUACAUCACGUUGAAAUAUGUUAUUGUAGUUCACGUUAACAUGUAUGCCAAACUAGAUUAAGUCCAUUAAUCAUAACCUAUAAAUAAGCAGAAGUCAUUGCCUAGGCUCAGGGCACGGCGCAGCUGCGCUGUCCCAAGCCUUGGCAUCGGCACAGCUGCGCCGUACACGGACAGGAACUGCAGCAGCAGCUCUGUUACACAGCACACACCAAAACUCAAUCAAAUUUCACAGAAAUCAUAAAACUCAACAUCUAAAACUUUGUGAUAACAUUAAUAAUGAUGUUAUUCAUCAUUCUCACUACCUAAACAUUAUAUAUAUUAAAUUUUAAAAGAUCAAAACCCCAAUUUUUCCAAUUUCAUCAUUUUUUUACGCUUUUAGCGAAUUCGAUUGCUACGAAUUCAUUUCUUAAUCAAUUGACACAAUUCAAACUACGUUGUUUUCGUUUCUUAACAUACUAACACAUUCUAACAUCAAAUUACAGAUUAUAGCAAGUAUUGAUCAUGAAAUUUCGUACUUUCUAAAGCCAUUUUUCAAAAAUAAACACUAUUAUUAUAACUUCUUCCUUACAAAGCCAAUUCUCACAUGUUUGGAAAUCAAAUAGCACUCACAUAUAAUGAUUAACAGAUUAUAAACCAUAUAUACAUGUAUUUGUAUUAAUCCAUCGUAAUUAUCAAUAGAAAUUUCAAACAUAAAAGUUAGAAUUAGAGUUAUACCUUACUCCUUUGAUUGUUUGCUAGCAAAAAGAUGGUGACUAGGUUUAGAAAUCCCUCUCCUUGACAAUCAUAAAGAAUUCAAACUCACUGUGUUUUCCUCUCUUGCUCUCUCUCCAAGCUCUCUGUUCUUCACUAAUAUCUAGCCUUAGGGAAAGGAAUAAUACGCGUAAAAAAAUAUACUAACUCCCACUUUCCCCACUAAUGUCAGGUCACAAACCCAAAAGUUUGUGUCAGUUAGAAAUAAGCCAAAGGCCACAGGGCCUUGUUUGGCUAACCACAAUUUCUCCUCUACUAGAUUAUUUUUAUAUUAUUUUUAUUAUAUAGUUUUUAUUUGUCACACUUGCCACCAAUUUAAAUAGCUUACAAUAAUAAUUAUAAUAAUUAUAAUUUUUAUUAUAAUUAUUCUGAUGAUUAAUAAAUAAUUAUAUAUAUAUAAUUUAAUUAAUAAAUUUGACUUAAACAUUACUUUAUUUAAUUUACCUAUUUUCUUUAAUAUAAAAAAAAAUUUAAUUUAAUUUAAUUAUUUCAUUAAAUUAAAUCUUUCAAAUAAAAAAUAGCAUUAUUCAAUUUAAUUAACAUUAAUCAAUUUAGUCACUAAAUUAAUGCACCACAAUUCAUCAAUUAUUUAUUUUUCUCAAUAAAUAAAUUAUUUAAAAUAUUUAUUUAAUUCAAUAAAUAUUUAAAUUAAAUUACAAAUUUCUCGAUCGUUACACUAUUCAUUCGGUUAGUAUUUACCCGGGGUACUAUUCAUGACAAAAAUUGAUUUCUUUUAUGUCCAAAUUAUUUUUGAUACAAUAUUAUUCUUGAAUUUUACUCCACAAUUGGUGAUCAUGUUGACAAUUUAGAUAUUCUUAAACUCUGGAUAAAUUUAAUUAUAAAUAUUUAAUAUUUAUCCUUUAUCUCGUUUGAUUGAUUCUUUAUAUCAUUGUCAUGAUCCUCAUGCUUAUAUUGUGAUAAAAGUCAUCUUUGGCCCGUAGUGCAUAGAUGGACUAUUGGUUAUUGGUUUUACAGUUGUUUUUCUUUGGCCCGUAGUGCAAAGAAGAACUGUUGAUUGAUAUCUUUGGUCGUAGUGCAAAGAUGAAUUGUUGAUUGAUAGCUUUGGCUCGUAGUGCAAAGUUGGACAGGUGUAUGACAUGAUCAUGACCACUGGUGAUACUAACGAAUAUCCUUGGCCGUAGUGUAUGGAUAAUUCAAUGAUGUGAUUGGCAGGAUCAUGACCAUUAGUUAACAGUUGAAUGUCUUCGGCCGUAGUGCACUGACAGACAAUUGAUUGGUAUGAUCAUUGUUAUUACACUUGAAUGUCUUAGCCUUUGGGGUAAGGAUAUUGAGUAAACGUUCUAUUAAGCCUUUGUGGCAAGGAGAAACUGUUGAUUCACAUUAUUAUAAACAUGAAUUGUGAAUUUAUCUAAAAUCUUUGGUGGUUCAGGUGAAGACAGGUGAUGAAAUUUCUCUUUGUCUUGGUAUAAUAAAGAACUGUUAAUGGGUAUUAUAGGGAUAAAAUUGAUGAUAAACUUUUAAAUCAUAGAAGAUAGUAGAUAUCAUGCUCUACUUGACUCUUCUAAUAGAUUGCUUAUUCCACUGCAGUUGUUGAUCUAAAACUUGUUGUCUAUUAUAUUCUAGCAGUUGUUAUACUGUUGAAGGCUAAUGAUAAUUUAUUCUGCAUUAUCUUAGUCAUAAUAUUUCUUACUGGGCUAGUUGAGCUCACCCUUUUCUUUCAUUAUUCUCUUCAGAAAAUGAGAAUAUAGCUGGGACGAGUCGGGGAAUGGAGUGAUGAUCCAAGAUAAGUGGCUUUAGUAGUCUUCACUAUUCUGUGAAAUAGUGUGAUAAUAAUUGUAAUGAGGACUCCAUUGAGUUUGGAUAUUGUCUAGAAGACAAUAUUUGUGUUAAAACUCUCAGCUUAUAUUUUCUCGUAUUCUACACGACAGUUGUAUAAUUAAGUAGUAUUUGUAUUCUGUACCAUGUAUCUGGCGACCCAAGAUGGGUGAUGUAUACAUAUUUUGGGGGCGUCACAUCAACAACCACCACAAAUAUAAAACCUUUGAAGCCAAGCCUGUGAGACCCCAAAUUUUAUGAAUAAAGAUUUAAAUUUCUCGAAAUAUUUUUUUUGAAUAUUACGGUGUGGAUUUGAUAUAAUGUUAUAGUUGUGGGUAAUAUUUAUAAAUUUUACAAAGUAAACAAGUUGUUACAUAAUAUUCGUUUGGUCGGGGAAUAUUCUUUUUGUUGGGGAAUAUCCGUACGAUGGUGCAAUCAUUGGUGGACCCCACAACGGAAGUAUUGUCGUAGUAAGAAAAUGACAAAAUUAUCUUUUUAUAAAAAUAAUGGCGAAAGUGUUACCGUUAAAACUAUUGAACUACUCCGUAGUAAAAGUACAGUAAUACGUGUGGUUGCAUAGUAGCACACGAUAUUGAUUAUUAAUACUUACGUAAGAAGUCACUCAGUUAUACUUAAUUAUUGUUAUAGUAAUUGCUGCAUCUAUCUCUCAUAUUAUUGAUUCAAUUAUUGUCACAGUAUCAUCUGCAUAAUAUGUUAUAUUAUUAAAUCAAUAAUUGAGACGACAAAGUUAUUUAUAUUAUUAUUUGCAAUAUUGAGAAUGUCUAGAAGUUCUAUCAAGGAGAGGUUAGAUAAUCUAAUUGCGCGCCAAUAGGGAGAAAUCCUUAUCGGAAAGCCCCCUCUUUCUUGGAAACUACCUGGUUGUUAAAUAUUGUGAGUUAUAAUAUUAAUGAUGUAUAAGUUUGUGUUGAUUAAAGAUGAAAUUGAUAGUUCCAUUGUGUUGGGAUUAUUAGUGUUAGUGGAAAUCGACAUUUAUUUCGAUAAUAAUUGAUGUUUGGAAGUUAUAUUGACCAAUCGGGUAAUUAACCGGAUAAAUGAGCAAUUAAUUGCUAUUAAUUCACAUGCUUAUAACUAUGUGUUCACAUGUGUGUACUAUUGAUUCACAUGAUUUACUAUUAGGGGAGUUGGUGCAAGAUUGAUAAUACUUGCAUGACUAAAUUAAAAAUAGAGGUAUAGAUGAAGGUACUAUACUGUAAUUAUUUUUUUCACAUGUUUAGAACUAUUGAGUCACAUGAUUUACUAUUGAUUCACAUGAUUUACUAUUAGGGGAGGUGGUGCAAGUUUGAUAAUACUUGCAGGACUAAAUUAAAAAUGAAGAAAAAGAGGAAGGUAUUAUACUGUAAUAUUUCGAGCCCCAAAACGUGCAAUUAUCGAAACUAUAUUUUCCUAUAAAUAGAAGCUCAUUCUUCCUUCAUUUCUCACCAAUUCACUAAAGCUUUAGAGCAAUUAUUAUAGAGAGAAAUUAUAGAGAGAAAGAAGAAGAGAAGUCUGCUACCUCACUAUUUUAGUAUGCAGUUUCUUCUAAGGUAAGGGUAUUAUUUCUUUCGUAUUCAUGAAGAGAGUUAUUUCUUUCAAUACUCGUAAGGGUUGUUAUUCCAUUCUUUAUUAUUCUGUUGGAAUAACCUGUCUGUGCGGACUACACACGCCUGGUGAAUUCUUUUGUUAUUACAUUCUUUAUUAUUCUGUUGGAAUAACCUGUCUGUGCGGACUACGCACGCAUGGUGAAUUUUUUUUUAUUCUAUUCUUUAUUAUUCUGUUGGAAUAACCUGUCUACGCAGACUACCGCAUGCAUGGUGAAUGACCCUUCGUAUUCAUUCUUUAUUAAAUUAUGUAAAUGAUCUGUCUACGUAGAUUACCGCAUGACGGGUAAAAAUCCAUUUGCAGUUUCAUAUAUUCUAUUAUACUCAUAUGCGAUAUCAUUUCUUUUGUACUCGUCAUAUAAUAUCAUUUUCUUUGGAAUUUUUCUUUUACGAGUUACUAUUGACAGAUUACUAUUCACCUGAUUAUUAUUCACUCUAGUAUUAUUCACUCAGGUAUUCGGGGCACUUUUCGUGUCAGAGUAUUAUUCACGGGUUACUAUUCACCCGAUUACUAUUCACUCUAGUAUUAUUCACUCGGAUAUUUGGGACACUUUUCGUGUCGAGGUACUAUUCACGGAGUACUAUUCCUGAAGUACUAUUCAUGAAAUACUAUUCACCCAAAAAAUAUAUUUCUUUUCAGUCCAAAUUAUUUUUGGGUACAAUAUUAUUCUUGAAUUUUACUCCACAAAACAAUAUCAUGUUGACAAAUUGGACGUUAUUGAUUCUUGGAUAAAUUAAAUUAUAAAUCUUUAAAAUUUAUCCUUGAACUUUUUUUAUUGAAUUAUUAUGUCAUUGUCAUCAUCCUCAUGCUUAUAUUGUGAUGAAAGUCAUCUUUGGCUUACGUGCAUAGAUGGACUUGGUAUGAUUAUGACCAGGGAUUAUUCGGUAUAAUCAUGACCGUAAUGUGACGAAUGAUAUGGUGAAAGUCCUCAUUGGCCUGUAGUUCAUUGAUGGACAGUUGUUGGUAUGAUUAUGACCAGGGAUUAUUUGGUAUAAUCAUGAACAUUGAUGAUUACAUGAGUAUCAUUGGCCGAGAUGCAGGGAUGAUUCGAUUUUAUUUAUUAAGUUGAGUCUCAGCGAUAAAGUUGAUGAAAAACUUUUUAAAUCAUAGAAGAUAGUAGAUUUUAUGCUCUACUUGACUCUUCUAAUGGCUUGCUUAUUCCGCUGCAGUUGUUGAUCUAAAACUUGUUGUCUAUUAUAUUCUGUCAGUUGUUAUACUAUUGAAGGCUAAGGAUAAUUUAUUCUGCAUUAUCUUAGUCAUAAUAUUUCUUACUGGGCUAGUUGAGCUCACCCUUUCUUUCACUGUUCUCCUCAAGAAAUGAGAAUAUAGCUGGGACGAUUCGGGGAACGGAUUGACGGUCCAGAUGGUUGUUUUAGUUGUCCUCACUAUUCUGUGAAAUAAUAUGAUAAUAAUUGUAAUGAGGACUCCAUUGGGAGUGGAUAUUGUCUAGAAGGCAAUAUUCUUGUUUAAACUCUCAGUUAUGUUUUGUCGUAUAUUACCCGACAGUUGUAUAAUUAAGUUUGUAUUUGAUUUAUGUACCAUAUAGUUGGCGACUCAAGAUGGGUGAUGUAUACCUGUUUUUGGGGUGUCAAAGUUGGUAUCAAAGCUUAGGGAUAUGAUCUCUGGCUGAGAUAUGAGACAAGAACUAGGAGGGGAGAGACUGGGAAUUCCUUCGCUAGUAUAUAUGACCUACCUAAGUUUAUUUGGUAUUUAAUUGGUCGAUCAGAGUAUAGGAAUAAUAUGUGAUAUGUCAAUUAACCCUUGUUUUGUGACAGUGUUUGAAAAUAGCAUCUAAAAAUGUUGAGAUCAGCAAUGAAGCACAUGAGACCGUUGAGUCACCAACGAUUAAUACCUAGGAUAAUGUGCAACAGGAAGAUAAUAAUCCUCAGGUAAAUAACAACACCGAUUAGAUGAUGAACGAUGGGAUGUUCAGAGGCUUUAUGCAAUUCAUGCAACAUCAGACGAGAGAGACUCUUGUUCAAAAUGCAGGUGGAAACACUGUCAACUCUCGGAUGGUCACCGCUAAGCAGUUUAAGGAGUUGGGACCACCAGAGUUUUUGAGAGAGCCAGAACCACUUAAGGCGGAGACGUGGAUAAACAGAUCACCAAGAUAUUUGAUGUCUUGGAAUGCUCAGAGGAGCAAAAGGUUCCCUUUGCCACCUUCAUGUUGCGAGGAGAGGCAGAUUACUAGUGGGAAUCAGUAAAACGUACUCAGCCUGCCGCACUGAAGAUGUCUUGGGAGAUGUUCCAAGAACUGUUCAACAACAAGUACUUUCCUGAAAGUAUUCGUCAUGUGAAAGAGGUAGAGUUCAUCAAGCUUGAGUAAAACAAUAUGACCGUGGCGCAGUACGAAGCUAAGUUUGCCGAGUUAUCUCAGUUUGCGUCCCACUUGGUUGAUAAUGAAGAGAGAAUGACGCGGAUGUUUCUAAGAGGUUUGAAACCCGAGAUACGUCAAUAUCUAAUUUCUCACAAACUGUGUUUGUAUUCAGAUGUUAUGAAUAGGGCUCAAUUAUUGGAGUGUGAUAAUGAGUCAGCACAACCAAAAGGCAACGACCAACAACACGAUAAUAAUCAUACCGGUGGCAACGGCCAUCGGAACAAUGAUAACCAUCGUGGGGGAAAUUAUUAUGCCAAGAAUGGUAACCACUUCGGUGGUAAUCAUGGCCAAGUUAAUAGAAGCGGAAAUUUCAAGAAGAGAAGGUUCAAUAAUGAUGGAAAGACGUCAUCACCAGCACCCGUUGUUAAGGAAGGAGAACGACCGCCGGUCGUAUGUUACAAAUGCGGAGGGGAGGGACACAUAAGUCCAAACUAUUCACAGCCUUCCAAGGUAUGUUUUAGUUGUGGAAAAGAUGGUCACAUAGCUCGAUUUUUUUCUUGUAGCGAAAUCAAGUCCAGUUGGGACAGUGGCACCAAAGGCGGAUACGGACAAAACAAAGUCGGUGGUUUCAGGAAGAGCGGUUUUUAUGACUUCUCAAAAAGUGAGUAACCCGAACGAAGUUAACACGGGUUAGUUAAUUAUAAAUUCUUGCGAAGUCUAUACCUUAUUAGAUAUCGAUUCUACCCAUUCUUUUAUUUCUCUUGCUUGCGCUCAGCGUUUAAAUUUGACUCCAGAGAAAUUAGACUUUGACUUAUUGGUUGAAACUCUGUUAGGAGAAACCUUCGUUACACCCACUGUUUAUAAAUCUUGUUUUAUUCAAAUCGACACUUUCACGUUACCUGUCGAUCUUAUCUCUUUGAAAAUACUUGCCUUUGAUGUGAUUUUAGGAAUCGAUUGGUUAACUACUCAUCAUGCCAAAAUUGAUUAUUUUUGUAAGGUUGUUAGCUUUCAUAUUCCUAACCAACUUGUUAUGCGAAUUCAAGCAACCAAACCACUAAAGUCAAUCACUGUCAUAUCAAGCCAUAAGUAAAGAGCCCCGAGCCUUUCGUUGGUGACUUCCUUGUGUGGAAUGCAUCGAAGCCGAACUUUCUGUAGGGGACGUCGUGAAUAACAGUGGCAAGUUGAUAGGUAUCAAUGUGACGUGUUAUCCAAGUCUUGGGAUGAGAGUCACAGUUUUGAAUGAUAUUUCUAUUGUUAAUAAAUUUCCUAGCGUAUUCUUGAAGACUUCUUAGCCUACCCCUAGAGCGUGAAAUCGAAUUUUUUAUUGACCCCAAUACAAAACUCAUUUAUAAAACCCUCAAAUAUUUUCUUUACCCAAAACGAACGUAUAAUGUGCCAAUGACGUUGGCUCGAGCUGUUGAAGGUUACGACUAUACCAUUAAAUUCCAUCGUGGGAAAAGCGAACGUGGUAGCUGACACAUUAAGUAGAAGAUCGUAUGCGUUUACGAAGUGUGACGUUGUUAACACAAAAACCCAUUUCGUAUAACUUAUAAAUAAUGAAGAUGGAGUUAAUGACUCUAGAGACCCACGUGAAGAUAACGAAUAUACGAGUAAAAUCGACUUUAAUCGAUAAAGUUAAAGCCGCUCAAACUACACACUCGGAGCUAGUGAAUACGAAGAAGAAGGUUCAAGAAGGCGUUAUUCUAGAAGCAAGAGUCGAUGAAGAGAGAAAAUCUCAAUCCUCGAUUUAAUUGGGCCAUUUGAAAUCCUCGAUGGAGUAGGAACUGUGGCCUAUAGACUUGUUUUACCGCCAAGUAUGUCGCGUGUUCAUAACAUUUUUCAUGUAUCGAUGUUACGUAAAUAUGUGGACGACCCGAACCACAUUAUUAAAUUGGAACUAGACGAGAUAGCAGAAGAUUUAACAUAUGAGGAUAUACGUGUUAAAAUCUUGGAUAAGAAGGAUCGUAUUCGACACUCAAAUUUUAUACCUCAAGAGUUAGAAUCUGAAAUAAAGUCAAGGUAUCCUUAUCUCUUCGGCAUACCAGGUACGUACUUAAAUUUUGAGGGCGAAAUUUCAUAAGAAGGGAAGAUUGUGAGAUCCCAAAUUUUAUGAAUAAAGAUUUAAAUUUCUUGAAAUAUAUUUUUUGAAUAUUACGGUGUGGAUUUGAUAUAAUGUUAUAGUUGUGGGUAAUAUUUAUAAAUUUUGCAAAGUAAGCAAGUUGUUAUAUAAUAUUCGUUUGGUCGGGGAAUAUUCUUUUUGUCGGGGAAUAUCCGAACGACGACACGAUUAUUGGUGGACCCCACAACGGAAGUAUUGUCGUAGUAAGAUAAUGACAAAAUUAUCUUUUUAUAAAAAUAACGGCGAAAGUGUUACCGUUAAAACUGUUGAACUACUCGGUAGUAAAAGUAUAGUAAUACGCGAGGUUGUAUAGUAGCACACGGUAUUGAUUAUUGAUGCUUACGUAAGAAGUUACUCAGUUAUACUCAAUUAUUGCUACAGUAAUUGUUGCAUCAUAUCUCUCAUAUUAUUGAUUCAAUUAUUGUCACAGUAUCAUCUGCAUAAUAUGUUAUAUUAUUAAAUCAAUAAUUGAGAUGACAAAGUUAUUCAUAUUAUUAUUUGCAAUAUUGACAAUGUCUAGAAGUUCUAUCAAUGAGAGGUUAGAUAAUCUAAUUGUGCGCCAAUAGGGAGAAAUCCUUAUCGGAAAGCCCCCUCUUUCCUGGGAACGACCUGGUUGUUAAAUAUUAUGAGUUAUAAUACUACUGAUGAAUAAGUUUGUGUUGAUUAAAGAUGAAAUUAAUAGUUCCAUUGUGUUGAGAUUAUUAGUGUUAGUGGAAAUUGACAUUUAUUUUGAUAAUAAUUGAUGUCUGGAAGUUAUAUUGACCAAUCGGGUAAUUAACCGGAUAAAUGAGUAAUUAAUUGCUAUUAACUCACAUGCUUAUAACUAUGUGUUCACAUGUGUGUACUAUUGAUUCACAUAAUUUACUAUUAGGGGAGUUGCUACAAGAUUGAUAAUACUUGCAUGACUAAAUUAAAAAUGGAGGUAUAGAUGAAGGUACUAUACUAUAAUUAAUUUUUUCACAUGUUUAGAACUUUUAAGUCACAUGAUUUACUAUUGAUUCACAUGAUUUACUAUUAGGGGAGGUGGUGCAAGUUUGAUAAUACUUGCAAUUAAAAAUGAAGAAAAAGAGGAAGGUAUUAUACUGUAAUAUUUUGAGCCCCAAAACGUAUAAUUAUUGAAACUAUAUUUUUCUAUAAAUAGAAGCUCAUUCUUCUUUCAUUAUCACCAAUUCACUAAGCUAUAGAGCAAUUAUUAUAGGGAGAAAUUAUAGAGAGAAAGAAGAAGAUAAGUCUACUACUUCACUAUUCCAGUAUCCAGUUUCUUCUAAGGUAAUGGGUAUUAUUUCUUUCGUAUUCAUGAAGAGAGUUAUUUCUUUCAAUACUCGUAAGGGUUGUUAUUCCAUUCUUUAUUAUUCUGUUGGAAUAACCUGUCUGUGCGGACUACACACGCCUGGUGAAUUCUUUUGUUAUUAUAUUCUUUAUUAUUCUGUUGGAAUAACUUGUCUGUGCGGACUACGCACGCCUGAUGAAUUCUUCUAUUAUUCCAUUCUUUACUAUUCUGUUGGAAUAACCUGUCUACGCGGACUACCACAUGAUUGGUGAAUUCUUCUGUUAUUCCAUUCUUUAUUAUUCUGUUGGAAUAACCUGUCUACGCGGACUACCGCAUGCAUGGUGAAUGACCCUUCGUAUUCAUUCUUUAUUAAAUUAUAGAAAUGAUCUGUCUACGUAGAUUACCGCAUGGCGGGUGAAAAUCUAUUUGCAGUUUCGUAUAUUCUAUUAUACUCGUAUGAGAUAUCAUUUCUUUUGUAUUUGUCAUGGAAUAUCAUUUUUUUUGGUAUUUUUCUUUUACGAGUUACUAUUCACGGGUUAGUAUUCACCUGGUUACUAUUCACUGUAGUAUUGUUCACUCGGGUAUUCGGGACACUUUUUGUGUCGGAGUACUAUUCAUGGGUUAUACUAUUCACGGGUUACUAUUCACCCGAUUACUAUUCACUCUAGUAUUAUUCACUCGGGUAUUUGGGACACUUUUUGUGUCGGGGUAUUAUUCACAGGGUACUAUUCUCGAAGUACUAUUCACGGAGUACUAUUCACCAAAAAAAUAUAUUUCUUUUCGAUCCAAAUCAUUUUUGGGUACAAUAUUAUUCUUGAAUUUUACUCCACAAAAUAGUAUCAUGUUGACAAAUUGGACGUUAUUGAUUCCUAGAUAAAUUAAAUUAUAAAUCUUUAAAAUUUAUCCUUGACUUGGUAUGAUUAUGACCAGGAAUUAUUCGGUAUAAUCAUGACCGUAAUGUGACGAAUGAUGUGGUGAAAGUCCUCAUUGGCCUGUAGUUAAUUGAUGGACAGUUGUUGGUAUGAUUAUGACCAGGGAUUAUUCGGUAUAAUCAUGACCAUUGAUGAUUACAUGAGUAUCCUUGGCCGUGAUGCAGGGAUGAUUCGAUUUUAUUUAUUAAGUUGAGUCUCAGCGAUAAAGUUGAUGAAAAACUUUUUAAAUCAUAGAAGAUAGUAGAUUUUAUGCUCUACUUGACUCUUCUAAUGGAUUGCUUAUUCCGCUGCAGUUGUUGAUCUAAAACUGUUGUCUAUUAUAUUCUAUCAGUUGUUAUACUGUUGAAGGCUAAGGAUAAUUUAUUCUGUAUUAUCUUAUUCAUAAUAUUUUUUGCUGGGCUAGUUGAGCUCACCCUUUCUUUCACUGUUCUCUUCAGGAAAUGAGAAUAUAGCUGGGACGAGUCGGGGAACGGAUUGACGGUCCAAAUGGUUGUUUUUGUAGUCCUCACUAUUCUGUGAAAUAAUGUGAUAAUAAUUGUAAUGAGGACUCCAUUGGGAGUGGAUAUUGUCUAGAAAGCAAUAUUCUUGUUUAAACUCUCAAUUAUGUUUUGUCGUAUAUUACCCGACAGUUGUAUAAUUAAGUUUGUAUUUGAUUUAUGUACCAUAUAUUUGGCGACUCAAGAUGGGUGAUGUAUACCUAUUUUGGGGCCGUCACAAAGCCCAUACACUCCCAUUUUAGAUCAUAGCUCCUAUGCCCAGACCCAUUAAGAGCAUACCCAGCCCCUACUAAUAUGCACAAUCUAAGCUCCCAUGAUCUAAAGCCCCUGACUUUGCAAAUAUAGAUCGAUAGAUAGAUUUUCGGGAAGGAUCACAUUUUGGUAGAUAGAUGGUUUAAUUUGUUUAACUAUUUAUUAUAAAAUUGAGUAUAAUUUAAUAUAAUUAAUUAUUUAGCUUACCUUCUCUCUCCUUGUCUGCAUUGACACAUAGAUUUAUUGAUUGCCACGUCCUUCUUCUGUUAAAUGGUUAACAGACAUAGACGACAAAAUUAAUUUUUGUAAAUAAAGUAUAGUUCAAUGAGUUGACCGUAAAAAAAUUUAGUUUAGUGAUGCAUUUGUAAACCGAUGUUGAGUAGAGUGGAGAAAAGUGUAUUUAAUCCGCUCCAAAAGUCACCACUUUACAAGUCUCGUCAACAAUCAGCACCAUGUAAACACUCACCCUCUUUGGUGAACUUGAAGAGUUUGAAAAUCAACUUAGGAGGUAUGAUGAUGAAAAUGAGGCACCAAUAAAGAAGACAUUGACACUUCAAGCUGAGAGUAACAAUGAAUGUGAUAACGAAGAUUUUGAUAAAGAAAUUGAAAUGCUCUCAAGAAACUUGAGAGACUAUUUCAAAAGAAAAUAAAAAAGGUAGCUCAACUCCAGUGGGUAAGUUCAAAACAGAACAAGAAGAAGAAAUUGUCCAACUCUAUUUCAUAGGACUAGAAGAUGAUGAUCAACUUGAGGUAACAAAUUUUCAUGAAGCUUUUGAAAUAUCUAUGCCUGAUUAUAUUGCUUUACAAAAUGAAAAUCAACAACUCAAAAAAAAAACUGUUUAUUUUAAGAAUUGCGUAAAUGCUAAUGAAUGAAGUUAAGUCAUUUAUUAAAGAGAGAAAAGAAAAUGAAUAUCUUAAAAAUGAAAAUGAAGUUUUAAAAGAAAAUUUAAAAAUGAGAGAUGAAUGCAUAAAUGCUUUUAAUGAUGGAAAAAUGAUGAAUGUGCAACAUGAUGAUAAUGUCACAAAUGCAAAAAUAACAUCUUUAAAAAAUGAUCUUGCUAAAUUUGUGCAAUGAGAAGAGAACCUAAAUGUUAUGUUAGGGGCACAAAGGUCUAGUCUUGAUAAAUAAGAAAUUGGGUAUAAUCCUAUUAAAAUGUGAAAAAUAGAACUAAUAAUAAUAUUAUAAUGAUUAAUAGAAAACCAAUGCAUAAACCACUUUAUUGUUCACCGUUUGUUACUUGUAAAAAAUAUGGUUUUAAAGGUCAUUUUAAAAUGUGGCUUUAUUAGAAUAAAGCAAAUUUGGGUAAAGAAAUGUGAUUUAUAUGCUACUAACCUAAUAGGACCCAAGAAGAUUUGGGUACCAAAAUGGUAGAGACUAUUUGUUCAUUUUGUAGAUGUCUCAAGGUCAAAAAGGAGACAGAUAAUACUUAUAAAUUAUUUGGCAAAAUUCGCAAGUACCUUAUUUUUUUAAAUAGAUUUUUAAUUAGAUAUAUUAUGAAAACUCUAUGGAUUUCGUAUCAUAUGGCUUCAUAACAUCAUUUAUUAUAAAGUUUUUAUUGUGCUAAAUGCUCCAUAUUUAAUACAAACGACAAUCUUGAUGAGGAAUAAGUGAAUAUUAUUUUUGAUGAACUUAACCAUGAUCUGUUAAAGGAAGAGAAUGAGGUUUCUGCUGGAAAUGACUAUCUGAAUUGUGGAACCCAAACAGUUCAAUCCGGAUAGUCUAAGCCGUCUCUAUCAGAAGGAAAGAUAGAUGAAAUCAGACAAUUUGACCCGUCUGUUUUAGAAGAAAACUCAAAUUUACAAACACCUAAAUCCAAACAGAUCGAGUCGUCUACUUUAGAAGACAAAACAUAUGAAUAUUCGGAUGCAGUAACUUAUAUUCCAGAGGAUGAAUCUCAAAAGCAAAUGACUACUGCCAGGCUUCCUAAAUCUUCUAGAACUAUGGGAAAUCAUCAUCCAAGUCUGAUCAUCAGAAAUUUCAACAUUAGGAUGUCCACAAGAAGAGGUUUUGAAGAAAUUUGUUUGCUACACUAAGGAGCUUAUCUAUUAAGCUUAUUGUUGGUAACAAAAUUGUGGAUAUAUAGGUAACAAAUCACAAAGGUAUGGUCAUUUUAUUUAAUUGCUAUAUGUGAUAUUGUUAUAAGCUUGCUCCCGUGUCUUUAUUUUAUGAAUUAUUUUUUGUUUGUCACAAAUGGGAUAGAGAUAUAACUAAAUUGAUGAUUUUUUUUUUUUUGAUAAUAACAAAGGGGAGAAAUGUUUAGAAAAAUUGAUGAUUAUGAUAUCUGAUGGUUAUAUUGAUUAUAAUAUGUUUAGAUUUUUUUGAUAUCAUAUUGAUGAUAAUGGUUGGAUAUUUUGAUUCAUUAUCUGUUAUAGCUUAUCAUUAUGCAUUAUUUAUCAUAACAGUUAUGUGAUCUUUAUAUCUCCUAUAGGCAUAAAUUUAUGGGGAGCAUGAUUGCAAGGAAUAAUAUAUUGUCAUCAUCAAAAAAGAGGGAAAUUGUUAGUUUUAUUAUUUGUGAUUUUAAUAAUGACAAUAUAUUUGUAAAUAUAAUUUAUUUAAUGUAUUGAAUUAAUUUUGUAAUGGUUUGUUGAAUAUGAUAUAUAGUAAGUUUGGUUCAUGAUAAUUUAAUUUGGUUAUAAUUCAAAUUGUUAUUACGUGCAGGAUUGAAUUGAAAUAUUUUCUUCCAGGUUGUUAUUUUGUUAAAACAGGUUGUUUCAAUUUUGAAUUGGAAUAUGUUAAGGAGUUUGUUUAGCAGUGUAAUCUAUCUAUUAAAUAUAUUAAAAUGCAGUACAUGAUAUCAUAGCUUGACAUAUGUCAUUCUCACAAUUCAACACGUGUCCUGUCUAAUUAAUAUUCCUUAAGACCCUUAACAAAAGUGCCCAGCUAACAUAACAAAUGAGGAUGAAAACAAACUUUAAUUCAUUCCCCUAAAUUUUAGAUUUAUAAUCCCCUAAAUCAUGCUACAAAUCUAAACUAUUUUGAUAAUAUCAACUGUUUUGAUAUUAUCCUUUGUAAUUUAAUUAUUAUUUAAUAAAAUUACUUUUUUAUGCUAUUAAUUAAUUUUUUAGAUUUAUAAUCUUCUAAAUAACUACAAAUCUAAACAGUUAAUAACAUAAUGUCAUUCUCUUAAUUUUUUAAAUUUACAAUCCUCUAAAUCACUACAAAUCUAAACUGUUUUGAUAAUAUCAACUGUUUUGAUAUUAUCCUUUGUAAUUUAAUUAUUAUUUAAUAAAAUCAUUACUUUAUCUCAACACCACCCCCUACAAUGUAUAUUCAUUUGUUUUUCUGUGUAAAAUUUGAUCAUCGCACAACAAUCUACCAUCUUCUUAUUAUAUUUUAAUUUAUUAAUUAUACAUACAUAUUUAUUGAAUAAUUCCGCCCGCAACGCACGAGUUUGUAUCUAGUGUGGUCUAAUUUGGAGUCUUUAAAUUAACUGGUUUAGAUAUUUGUGUAGAGUAUGGGCUCUAUCUACUCGUUAAUUUUAGCCUAUGUUGAUUACGUAUCUUUGAUUUUCUAAUUUUGAGAAUAUUUUAAGCUGUUAGCUAUAUCUAUAGUUCUGAAAUAUCAAAUUCUCGAAAUGAAAGACCAAGUCAUGCUAACCAUUUCAUAUAGUCGUUGGACUGAGUUCUAUAUAUUUUCUUCAUGUUUGUCUAUAGUGAGCAGGACUCUUGAAGCUUAUAGCAGCCAUAUUACACAGAUUAAUCAAGAGCUUUUCAAAGUUAUUUUCAGCUACUCAUUAUAUUGUUAAUUUAUUUCAGUUAAAAAUUAAGAGUCUAUUAUAAUCUAUAUUUAUUGUAUUAAAUUUUAGUUCAAGUCUUGUUUGGCUUGAUCGAUCCAAUAGUGGAUAGGUUUGUUCGAAGAAAACUUUUAAGGUUGCAGAGGUGCAAAUGUCUCAGUGGUGAGAAAGGUUGCAAUGAUGCAAAGGGGCAGAGGUGUUCAUCGCAGUGGAAAAUUUUAUUUGAACAGGGAGUUCUUUUUAUUAUACUUAAUGGAGUCUUAAAAGUUUAAUAAAAAGAGUCCAAUACCGGUUGGUUUUGAACGUGGAUUAAGCCGUUAGAGUUUAAGGGCAGAACCACGUAAAAAUUCUUGUCUGUGGUUUGUUAAUUCUUCUGGGUUGAUAAUUUAUUUCUCACGUUGCAUCUAAUCUCAUUCAUAUUACAUUUUAUUGUUGGUAGGAAAAGUAUACUAAUCUAGACACUAUCUUCUGUCUUUAUAACAAAAGUAAAAUUGACUCUAAAGCAGACACUUUUAUUUGUCUGUUUUAAGUUUAGCAGCAAGUUCAGCAGCAGGAAAAUAAAAUUAGUCAUUGUUAGUGUGCUUAUUUAUAGAAUUACAUCCACAUCUGUAAUUCUACUGAGAUUUAAUGAAUGUUUAUUUUGCCGAUUAAAAAACAAAGGAAAAAGAAUAAAAGUAAUAAGAUGUUCGAAACAUUUGAUUGUAUUAUUAUAUUUUUGUGAGCCAAGGUGAAAGCAAAGCCACCUAGUGGUAGUUGUUUUAUUUAUAAUAUGGUAAUAACAACCAUGAACUGAUAGUUGAUUUAUUUAUUAUAUGCUAAUAACAGCUAUCAGCUAGUGGUUGAUUUAUUUAUUAUAUUCUAAUAAACAGCCAUCAACUAGUAUAUAGUUUCUUGAUCAACUGUUCAUAGGAAGAUUACUGAUCGUUCAUUUAGGCGUUGGGGGGACUAAUUUGAACACCAUAGAUAACUAAACCCGUCUCCAUAGUCGUGUUUUCACUCCCGUCGAGAGCAAAUUUGAAAUCUCCAGAGUCAAAGCUAUUCAAGAAUUCCCCAGCUUUGAGUGAAAUCGGUGUGUUCCUCGGACAAUCCAUCAACCUAUAUCCAUUCACUUGCGUGGACCCAUCCGGAGGAGUAAGUGUAAGACUCACCGGACUUUCUAUGUUAAGGUUGUCUUUCAGCAGCACCACAAAAGACACCUCAUAAGUUCAUUUUUCAAGAGUUUCUGUCGGAUAUUUUCCAUCAACAUGUAGGACUAAGCUACCAAUUAAUUCAGCACUGGCAUCACUGAAAAAAAAUGAUAGUAGAAUUAAAGUCAGAAACUUUUGAUAUAAGGAGCUUAAAUUCAUUAAGGUGAUUUUAUUGAUUUUUUUUUCUGGAAAAUUUUUAAUGUUAAGUCCUUCUAUCUGACUAGAGUCUAGACUUCAAUAAAAUUUCUAUAGUCCUUCUAUCACUUUAAUUUAAUGACAUAGUUGCUUAUAUAUCCCUAUUUUUAACUGAAUAAAAUUCAGGUGUUUAAACACAAAUCUUGACCUUUGACAUCAAUUAAGUUAACUAAGUCUUAUUUCUACUUACGUAAACUUCCAGCCUGAAGGGUUGGCAUAAUUGAGUUCCUUUGCAUGCACAAAAGCCCAACUGCUCUGAAUAAGUCAACAGAAAUUUACAUUAUUAUAUGGAUAGAUAAGGCAAACCAGCGGUGACCAAUAAAUGAUAUGUCGAUGCCUUUAUAAAUAUAUAUAUAUAUAUAUAUAUAUAUAUAUAUAUAUAUAGAAUAUUGACGGUUGACAUUGUCAAAAUAACAAUUAUAAAAGUGUUGCCAAAUGUAUAUUUACUCUGAUAGCGAUGACAUUAUCAACCACCUAUAUAUAAAUAGCAAAUGUUUCAUAGCAAAAGUUUAUUACAGAAUAUGUAUCACUCAAACCAUCUUAUAUCAAUCAUGCAUUACAACAUCAGAUAGAUGAGAUCUUAAAAUUUUUGAACACUCCGCGACAUUAUGUUGCAAAUGGUACCAAAUUUUAAAAAUCCCAAAGGUGUAAGAUGGUCUAAAUUUUGCAAAAAUGUAUCACUUGCAAAAUUUACAAAUAUUAAGGAUUAUUUUUGUUCUGUAGACAACUUUAGUGUGUAUAUAUAUUUGAUGUUUGUUUCCAAUUUCAGUGGACUUACCUUCUGGCCCGGGUCCUUUUUGAGCAACGCAUUUUCCUUAGCUUGAGACAACAAUGUCUUGAGGUCAACCUUGUGAUACCUCACUACUUGUGCCAUUUCGCCUUUAAUUCUGCUAUAUAUAUUUUUUGUUUUUGUUCUUGAUGUCUAUAUAUCUCUCUUCCAAAGGCUAGCUCUAUUUAUAGAUAGCACAAAAGAGGGUAUAUUCAAUAAUAACCUAUCUUCAAAUAUUCCUUCCUUUUUCACAGUGGGGAUCCUGAUAAGUUUAACAUCAUCAUCAUCAUCGCCAAGGAUAUAGAGCAUCAGAUUCUGUUUAAUAAUUUUGUUGGAAUAUUUCUUUUCCAUUUCUCAGUUCAAUAAUUCUUUCUUUAGCUUGUUGCGCUGGCAAAAUUCGAUGAAGGCGAAAGGUACGUAGGCAUUCAAGUAAGUGAUGAUUUUCUUCUAACCAGAAGUAUGAGCAGGUUGAUGAUACAUAUGUCAUGCCAACAUAACAAACUUUAGAGGAGCCGAGUUCGAAAAAGAGAGGGUACUGGUAUAAUUGCCUUAAUUCGAUCUUAUCACCCAAGCACGGGUGCCAUCUAUUUUGGUUCAAUAUAAUGGAGUAUAUAUUCAAAUCAACAAAACAAGGCAAGAACAAAAAAUAAAUUUAAAGUGCAUAUUUUAAUAGGAAUAUCUAUUAAUAUAUAUAGGUAUGUUACUCAAAUAUCUAUACCAUCUAUACCAAUUUAUAGCAAGAUAAAUACGAGUUAUUUAAGUUGGUCUUGAGCCAAUUUAGUAAUCCAAUUUUGGUGACUCCGUAACUCAAAAUGUUUUUUUUUUGUUUUUUUGUUUGAUUUUUAUGUAUUCUUGGUCAUAAAUUUUGAUAUUCCCAAAAGUCAACUAAAACACUCAAAAGUUAUAUAUUUUCACAAAAUUUUAGUACACAUUUAUUAUUAAAGAUGGAAUAUAUUAUCUAUCAUUAAGAAUUGAGUAAAUAUAUAAAAAUAAAAUAAAAUUAAUGAAAUAACUUUUGAGCUAUCAAGUCAUCAAAUUUGGAGAGCUGAGUUGACUUGAGUUAUAUUAAAAUGUCAUUCAAAAAUAUUAUAUAUAUAAUUUACCAAAUAAAUCGUUUUUAAACUUAUCCGUACUUCGUACGGAUUAUUAAUUUUGUUUGUAUUAAAAGUAGAAGUAUAAGCAUCUCGCAGGCCAAAAAUAAAAAAAGAAAAAAAAAAAGAAAAGAAGAGCAAGACUACUUCUUUUUCUUCCUUUUUAUCUCCUUUCUUUCUUUGUUUCUUUUUAGACGGAGGACUUCAUUUCAUCUUUGAAAAUAAACAUAAGAAUUUAUCAAAGGAAAUACAAGAUAGACGAUACAAAUAUUGAGAUCUAAUGGAACUUUUGUUGUCUAAUUAUUAUUAUUUUUUAUUUUCAAAUAUACGCAUACAUGAUAAAGAUUCACAAUUAUAUAUAAUAGGCUAAAAUCAACAAUCCGCUAAAAAAUUUGCGGUCUGUCAAAAUGUUUAGUUGUCGAGCUAGUAUAAAUUACCGUCUACCAAAUCGUUAUUAGUUAACAAACUAGUGUAAAAAUUUCACUUUGGAAGCUAAUAUAAACUAUCAUCUAUCAAAUUGUUAUUAAAUGGGGAGCUACGAAUGUAAACUAUCGUCUAACAAACUUUAUUAGCUGAUGAGCUAGUGUAAAAUAUCAUUUAUCAAACUGUUAGAUAGAGUGUUGGUUACAGUUAAAUGUGUCUUUGGAUCAAUUCCUAUACAGUCCGCUUCUCCAACGGACCGGUUUGUCAGCGAACCAACUAUAGUGACGGUUCAAUCCGUCGUUAUAGCAUAGAAAAAUGUUAACGCCAAGAUUCGUCCACGUGCAAAAACGAAAUCACACAGAGGAACUUGUCGGCUUGGGCCGCCAGGGGAUAGCUCUGGUAUAAGAAUAAGUACUGACUGAAUAAAGUUAACAAUGGAGGCUUAUAAUUUUAGUGCUGAAAAAAUAAUAAGAUAUUGUGUGCAUGUGAACCAGGGUAUAUAUAGCCUUGUAUUUAUAGUGAUCACACCUCUUUAAAACGCAUCAUCUCGUAUAGGAGUAGAAUUCCUCAUUAAGAUGGAUACCUUAAUGGGACAUGAUUGAAUCUCCUUAAAAAAAGAAAGUCGGAUACUAUCCUGACUCUUUCCUUAGAAGUUAGAAAUUAAAUAUAAUUAGGAAUCCUAGAUUCCUUAAAAUUCUCCCACUGCCCGUGGGGAGACUUCCUCCACGUGGACUAUGGCCCACCGAAUUCUGUGGUCCCAAAUAAUCAUGUUCCAACAUUGUCCCCCAUUGUAAUACCUAGAAAAAUAAUUAAAAAAAUAAAAAACAUUUAAGUUUAUAUUUUAAAAUAUAUUAGUUGGAUUUUAUUAUUUAUUUGGGUCAAAGUGGUCAUUAAUUUAUGUGGGCUAAUAAAUAUUAAUAAAUUAGGGAUAAAUUAAUUUGAUAAAAUUGAGCCUUAAAACUAAUUGGGUCUAAUUUAUAUUUGUGUAAUAAUAAAUCUUAUUAAAAUUUUAUUAAAAUUAAAAGAAUUAAUAAAACAUAUUAAUUAAUGAAUAAAUAACAAACCUAAUCUUACUUUUAUUAUACAAACUGAGGGAAAGAAAAAGAAGAGAAGUAGGUGAGGCGACUUAAGAGUGAAGAAUGAAAAUUUGUCACUCUUGAUAUUUGGCAAGACACAUUUAGUAAGUUGUUACUAUUUGUUUUUUAAAUUGUUAGAUCCAUCAUGUAGAAAGCCAGUGAUUCAUAAGAAAGUUAAAAUACAUUAUAUAUGAAGUAUACUUUUAGAAGUUUGAUACAUUAUUGGUUAAUGUGGAUAGCCUUUAAGGCAGAGUAUCCAUGUGAAUUGGAUAUCGUGAAUGGCAUACUAAAAUAAUAUACGCUUAGUAUAUGGCGUGAAUCAGAUAAGAUCAAAAGGUAUUUACUGAUUAAAUGUAUCUGAAUAUAUCUAAAUAUAUCUGAAUGUAUCUGAAUUGUAUGUUCUCCAAAAUCCUAGCACCCAUAUUUAUAGGCCAUAGAAAAAUCCAUAACCAAUUAAAUAGGAUUUUUAAUAUAAAAUUGAGUAUAGAUAGAAACGAUAACUUUUCUAAAACAGAUUCUAGGUAAUACCUAAACCCAAAUCCAAUAAGGAUUCAUGUUAUACCCAACAAAUGUCCACCUUGACUUGAAUCCUCCGAAUAUUGCACAAACAGUAAACUUUUUCCUCUUCUCAAAAUGCACAACUCAAGUGCAUCGAACACUAACCACGUCCAAGCAAUGUUUGAACUUGGUAUGUGUUAACGGCUUCGUUAACAUGUCAUAUGGAUUUUCUGCUGUACCAAUCUUCAAGACCUUAUUGUCACCAUCUUCAACAAUGUCUCGAACAAAAUGAUACCUGACAUCAAUAUGUUUCCCCCGAGGACAAUACUCACAGAAGUCAAACUUUAUUAUUUUUUGUAUAGACAACUCGCUAGAUUUCUUCGUCUCCUAAUCCGUAUCAGACAUAUCUACAGGCUUCAUUGGCUUCCCUACAAUGGCUUUCUUCAAGCCUUGCUGAGUAAAAACAGCCUUCAUCCGAACCUGCCAAAGACUGAAACUAAUUUUCCCAUCGAAUUUGUCAAUAGAAAAUUUUGUUGAUGAAGUCGAACUCAACGUCAUAGUAUAUAUCGAUAAUAACCAAGCUCUGAUACCAAUUUAUUAUGACAAACUAUGACAAACACAAUAAAUCAAUGCAGAAAGAUAAAGACAAUAACACAAGGUUUUACAUGAAAACUCAAAUUGGAAAAAAACUACGGAGAAGGCAAAAGAAAUCCACUAAAUAAAUAUCUGAAGAGUACAAGAUAAAAAAAGAGAAUACUAAAUUGAGUAUAGGUAAAAAAGAUAACUUUUCUAAACCAAAACAGAUUCUAGGUAAUACCUAAAUCCAAAUUCAAUAAGGAUUCAUGUUAUACCCAACAAAUCUCCACCUUGACUUGAUCAUUCCUCCAAAUAUUGCACAAAUAUUGAACUUUCUCUUCUUCUCAAAAUGCACAACUCAAGUGCAUCGAACACUAACCACAUCCAAGCAAUGUUUGAACUUGGUAUGUGUUAAUGGCUUCGUUAACAUGUCAUCUGGAUUGUCUACAGUACCAAUCUUCAAGAUAUUAAUGUUACCAUCUUCAACAAUUUCUUGAAAAAAAUGAUACCUGACAUCAAUAUGUUUUCCCCGGGACAAUGCUCACAGAAGUACAACUUUCUUACUUUCUGUCCAGAUAACUCGCUAGUUUUCUUCGUCUCCCAAUCCGUAUCAGAGAUAUUUACAGGAUUUAUUAGUUUCCAUACAAUGGCUUUCUUCAAGCCUUACUGAGUAAAAACAGCCUUCAUCCGAACCUACCAAAGACUGAAACUAAUAUUCCCAUCGAAUUUGUCAAUAUCAAAUUUCGUUGAUGAACUCGAACUCAACGCCAUAGUUUGGAUCGAUAAUAACCAAGCUUUGAUGUGACGCCCCCAAAACAGGUAUACAUCACCCAUCUUGGGUCGUCAAAUACAUGGUACAUAAUACAACUACAAACUUCUUUUAUACAACUGUCGUGUAAAAUACGACAAAACAUAGCUGAGAGCUCUCAAUGGAGUCCUCAGUACAUUUAUUAUCACACUAUUUCACAGAAUAGUGAGGACUACUAAAACAACCAUCUGGACCGUCAAUCCGUUUCCCAAUCAGUCCCAGCUAUAUUCUCAUUUCCUGAAGAGAACAGUGAAAGAAAAUGAUGAGCUCAACUAGCCCAGUAAGAAAUAUUAUGACUAAGAUAAUGCAGAAUAAAUUAUCCUUAGCCUUCAACAGUAUAACAACUGAUAGAAUACAAUAGACAACAAGUUCUAGAUCAACAAAUACAGCGGAAUAAGCAAUCCAUUAGAAAAGUCAAGUAGAACAUAAUGUCUACAAUCUUCUAUGAUUAAAAAGUUUAUCAUCAAUUUUAUCGCUGUAAUACCCAUCAACAGUUCUUUAUACCAAAGACAAAGAGAACUUUCAUCACCUGUCUUCACCUGAACCACCAAAGAUUUUAUUUAAAUUCACAAUUCAUGUUUAUAAUAAUGUGAAUCAACAGUUCCUCCCUGCCACAAAGGCUUAAUAGAACGUUUACUCAAUAUCCUUACCCAAAGGAUAAAGAUAUUCAAAUGUAAUAACAAUGAUCAUACCAAUCAGUUGUCUAUCUUUGCACUACGGGCCAAAGAUAUUCAACUAUAAAACCAUUAGUCAUGAUCAUACCAAUCAAUUGCAUGUCGGUGCACUACGACCAAAGACAUUCAACUGUUAACUAAUGAUCAUGAUCCUGCCAAUCACAUCAUCGAAUUAUCCCUGCACUACGGCCAAGGAUAUUCUUUAGUAUCACCAGUGGUCAUGAUCAUGUCAUACAGCUGUCCAUCUUUGCACUACGGGCCAAAGCUAUCAAUCAAUAGUUCAUCUUUGGAUUACGACCAAAGAUAUCAAUCAACAGUUCUUCUUUGCACUACAGGCCAAAGUCAUACAACUGUAAAACCAAUAACCAACAGUCCAUCUAUGCACUACGGGCCAAAGAUGACUUUUAACGCAAUAUAAGCAUGAGGAUCAUGACAAUGAUAUAAAGAAUCAGUCAAAUGAGAUAAAGGAUAAAUAUUAAACAUUUAUAAUAUAAUUUAUCCAGAGUUCAAGAAUAUCCAAAUGUUAUCAAUCACUUAAUAAUCUCAUAAUCUAAUAUCAUUAAUAUUAUAACAAUAUUUUAAUCAUUUCUUAAACUUAAUUAUAAACAAUUUAUUUUAAUUGUUUACACUUUACUAAUUAAUGCAUUUAAUCAGCCUAAAAUGCCAAACUCAUAAGAUUUCAUCACCAAUAACCAAAACUCUCAUAAAAAAUCUGCAUAUACCUUAUAUAGGAUUUUCAAGCCAUAAAAUCCUAUUUAUCAAUUUUUUAACUUCACAUAACUUAUUUAAUUUAUAUGUUCGUAACUAAACUAUUUUCAUGAAAAAUAUCAAAUCAGUCUAAAAAAGUUUUCUUUUCUGAGAUUUAGCAGAAUAUAGUCCCAUAUUGAACAUAUAUUUUUCUCGAAAUUUUUAAAAUUCAUUUACUAUUUUUCAUAUGGCCAAAAUUACCGAAUAUUUAAACAUUUAUCAUAAACUAUACUUUUGUCCAAAAAUUCCAAAAUUUACAGGGUAUACUCCUUUGAUAUAUAUGUACGCCCAAUAAAUUUUUUAUCAAUUUUGGAGUUAACCACAAGGAUUUAUAAAGGUUUACUUUUAAAAUAGUCUUUUCCCAUAAAAUUCAUAACUUCUAAUCUAUACAUCCAAAAAUCACCAUUUUUGGACACAAUCUAGAAAACUCAUCAAAUUAUCAUUUCAAAUUUUUCCAGAAUUUUUGACGGUUAGAAAAAUUACGAAACUGCAAAUGGAUUUUCACCCACCAUGCGGUAAUCCACGUAGACAGAUCAUUUCCACAAUUUAAUAAAGAAUGAAUACGAAGGGUAAUUCACCAUGCAUGCGGUAGUCUGCGUAGACAGGUUAUUCCAACAGAAUAAUAAAGAAUGGAAUAACAGAAGAAUUCACCAUGCAUGCGGUAGUCCGCGUAAACAGGUUAUUAAUUCCAAUAGAAUAAUAAAAAAUGGAAUAACAGAAGAAUUCACCAUGCAUGCGGUAGUCCGCGUAGACAUGUUAUUCCAAUAGAAUUAUAAAGAAUGGAACAACAGAAGAAUUCACCAUGCAUACGGUACUCCGCGUAGACAGGUUAUUCCAACAGAAUAAUAAAGAAUGGAAUAGCAAAAGAAUUCACCAUGCAUGCGGCAGUACGCGUAGACAAUUUAUUCCAACAGAAUAAUAAAGAAUGGAAUAACAACCCUUACGAGUAUUAAAAGAAAAUAACUCUUUUCAUGAAUACGAAAGAAAUAAUACCCCUUACCUUAGAAGAAAACUGGAUAAUAGUAAGGUAGCAGACUUCUCUUCUUCUUUCUCUCUAUAAUUUCUCUAUAUAAUAAUUGCUCUUGUGAGACUUAGUGAAUUAGUGAGAAAUGAAGGAAGAAUGAGCUUCUAUUUAUAGGAAAAUAUAGUUUCAAUAAUUGCACAUUUUGUGGCUUGAAAUAUUACAGUAUAAUACCUUCCUUUUUUUCUUCAUUUUAAUUUAGUCCUACAAGUAUUAUCAAACUUGCACCACCUCCCUAAUAGUAAAUCAUGUGAAUUAAUAGUUCAUUCAUGUGACUCAAUAGUAUAAUCAUGUGAAAAAAAAACUAAUUAUAGUAUAGUACCUCCAUCUAUACCUCCAUUUUUAAUUUAGUCAUGCAAGUAUUAUCAAUCUUGCACCACCUCCCCUAAUAGUACUUGCAUGUGAAUCAAUAGUACACACAUGUGAACAAAUAGUUAUAAGCAUGUGAAUUAAUAGCAAUUAAUUGCUCAUUUAUCCGAUUAAUAAUCCGAUUGGUCAAUAUAACAUCCAGACAUCAAUUAUUAUCGAAAUAAUUGUCGAUUUCCACUAACACUAACAAUCCCAACACAAUGGAAAUAUUUUUAUCAACAAAUUUAUUUUUGAAAUUUUGAAGUUUGACUUUUUCUGCAAAAGUCAAAUGUUGACUUUUUGACCAAAAAGUCAACCCCAGUAAAUUUUGUGUUUAUAGUCUAUUUUUACUAAUUUUAUCGUUCUGGACUCAAAUAUCACGUUCGCGUCUCCAAAUUUAAUUCUGAACUCAAAUUCUAGUUUUUAAUAACAUUCAUAAUUAAUAUUAUAACUCACAAUAUUAACAACCAGAUCGUUCCCAAGAAAGAGGGGGCUUUCCGAUAAGGAUUUCUCCCUAUUAGCGCGCAAUUAUAUUACCUAUCCUCUCCUUGACAGAACUUCUAGACAUCGUCAAUAUUGCAAAUAAUAAUAUGAAUAACUUUGACGUCUCAAUUAUUGAUUUAAUAAUAUAAAAUAUUAUACAUAUGAUACUGUGACAAUAAUUGAAUCAAUAAUAUGAGAGAUAUGAUGCAGCAAUUACUGUAGCAAUAAUUGAGUUUAACUAAGUGACUUCUUACAUAAGCAUCAAUAAUCAAUACCAUAUGGUACUAUGCAACCACGCGUAUUACUGUAUUUUUACCACCAAUUAUUAUAUGACAACUUACUUACUUUGAAAAAUUUUCACAUAUCACCCUUAACUUUAACAUUUUAUCAAUUUAACUAUUUACUAAAUAGAAUAAUAAUUAUAAAAAUUGAAUACUUUCAUUUCGUAAAAUUCGGGGUCUUACAAUCUCAUCUCCUUAUGAAAUUUUGUCCUCGAAAUUUACGUACCUAGUAGUUCGAAGAGAUGAGAAUACCUUGCUUUCUUUUUCGUUUUGUACCUUCCCGGUUAUUUCCUCUCUAUCAUGAUUUUCCCAUUUCUCAUCUCCUGUAUUUCAGAUAUCAUUCUAGAAUAUAGAUUCAAAAUAAGGGUUAAUUAACAUGCCACAUAUUAUCUCUAUAUUCUGACCAACCAAUUAAAUAACAAAUAAACUUAGGUAGGUCAUACUAGCGAAUGAAUUACCCGUCUCUCCCCUCCUAGUUCUAGCCUCACAUCUUAGCCAGGGAUCAUAUCCCUAAGCUUUGAUACUAAUUGUGACGCCCCCAAAACAGGUAUACAUCACCUAUUUUGAGUCGCCAAAUAUAUGGUACAUAAUACAACUACAAACUUCUUUUAUACAAUUGUCGUGUAAAAUACGACAAAACAUAGCUGAGAGUUUAAACAAGAAUAUUGCCUUCUAGACAAUAUCCACUCUCAAUGGAGUUCUCAUUACAUUUAUUAUCACACAAUUUCACAGAAUAGUGAGGACUACUAAAACAACCAUCUGGACCGUCAAUCUGUUUCCCGACCAGUCCCAGCUAUAUUCUCAUUUCCUGAAGAGAACAGUGAAAGAAAAGGGUGAGCUCAACUAGCCCAGUAAGAAAUAUUAUGACUAAGAUAAUGCAGAAUAAAUUAUUCUUAGCCUUCAACAGUAUAACAACUGAUAGAAUACAAUAGACAACAAGUUUUAGAUCAACAACUGCAGCGGAAUAAGCAAUCCAUUAGAAGAGUCAAGUAGAACAUAAUGUCUACUAUCUUCUAUGAUUAAAAAGUUUAUCAUCAAUUUUAUCGCUGUAAUAUCCAUCAACAGUUCUUUAUUAUACCAAAGACAAAGAGAACUUUCAUCACCUGUCUUCACCUGAACCACCAAAGAUUUUAUUUAAAUUCACAAUUCAUGUUUAUAAUAAUGUGAAUCAACAGUUCGUCCUUGCCACAAAGGAUUAAUAGAACGUUUACUCAAUAUCCUUACCCAUAAGGAUAAAGAUAUUCAAAUGUAAUAACAAUGAUCAUACCAAUCAGUUGUCUAUCUUUGCACUACGGGCCAAAGAUAUUCAACUAUAAAACCAAUGGUCAUGAUCAUACCAAUCAAUUGUAUGUCAGUGCACUACGGCCAAAGACAUUCAAUUUUUACCUAAUGGUCAUGAUCCUGCCACUCACAUCAUCGAAUUAUCCCUGCACUACGGCCAAGGAUAUUCUUUAGUAUCACCAGUGGUCAUGAUCAUGUCAUACACCUGUCCAUCUUUGCACUACGGGCCAAAGCUAUCAAUCAACAGUUCAUCUUUGGAUUACGACCAAAGAUAUCAAUUAACAGUUCUUCUUUGCACUACAGGUCAAAGACAUACAACUUUAAAACCAAUAUCCAACAGUCCAUCUAUGCACUACGGACCAAAGAUGACUUUUAACGCAAUAUAAGCAUGAGGAUCAUGACAAUGAUAUAAAGAAUCAGUCAAAUGAGAUAAAGGAUAAUUAUUAAAUAUUUAUAAUAUAAUUUAUCCAGAGUUCAAGAAUAUCUAAAUGUUAUCAAUCACUUAAUAAUCUCAUAAUCUAAUAACGUCCAAGUUGUCAACAUGAUACUUCUUUGUAGAGUAAAAUUCAAGAAUGCUCAGAAGAAUAUUUUCAUGAAAACAUACUAGAUGAAGCGCAAAUAUUAAGGAUAUUCCACUAAUUUCAUGGAGUAUAGAAGUCAAAACUUUAACCAAUGGAGUAUAAUAAAGAAUGAAAUAACAAAAAAAAUCACCAUGCAUGCGGUACUUCGCAUAAACAGGUAAUUCCAACAGAAUAAUAAUAACGGAACCAGGUCAGGCAUAAUACGCACCGACAGGAUAUUCUAACAGAAUAAUAAAGAAUGGAAUAACAACAAAAAUCACCAUGCAUGCGGUACGUCGCAUAGACAGGUUAUUCCAACAGAAUAACAAAUAAUGGAACCAGGUCUGACGUAAAACGCACAGACAGGAUAUUCCAACAGAAUAAUAAAGACGAAACCAGGUUCGACGUAAAACGCACAGACAAGAUAUUCCAACAAAAUAAUAAAGACGGAACCAGGUCUGACAUAAAAUGCACAGACAAGAUAUUCAAACAGAAUAAUAAAGAAUGGAAUAAUAACAGAAUUUCACCAUGUAUGCGGUACUUCGCAUAGACAUGUUAUUCCAGCAGAAUAAUAAAUAAUGGAAUAACAAAAGAAUUUCACCAAGUAUAGGGUAGUCCGCGUAUACAGGUUAUUCCAACAGAAUAAUAAAGAAUGGAAUAAUAGAAGUUCUCUUCAUGAAUACAAAAGAAAUAAUACCCCUUACAGGUACAACAAAUAAUAUCCCUUACCGUAAAAGAAACUUGAUAUCGGAGUAGUGAAGUAGCAGAAUACUUUUCUUCUUUCUCUCUAUAGUUUCUNNNNNNNNNNNNNNNNNNNNNNNNNNNNNNNNNNNNNNNNNNNNNNNNNNNNNNNNNNNNNNNNNNNNNNNNNNNNNNNNNNNNNNNNNNNNNNNNNNNNUAACUUUAUAAAAGUAUUCUGUUUUAUAUAAAAAGAUUUUACUAUUAGCCUAAUAAAACGAAUAACUUUAUAAAAGUAUUCUGUUUUAUAUAAAAAAAAAUUCUAUUUUAUUACAUUAAUAAUACUAAUAAAACAAAACUUAUAUAUAUAUAAUAUAUAUAACAAUCAACAAUAAUUGAAUCAAAUAACGUGAGAUACUAUGCAGCAACUACUGUAGCAAUAAUUGAACAAAACUGAGUGACUUCUCACGUAAACAUCAAUAAUUAAUAUCGUGUGCUACUAUGCAACCACGCGUAUUACUGUACUUUUACUACCGAGUAGUUCAACAGGUUUAAUGGUAAAACUUCCGCUGUUAUUUUCAUAAAAAUAUUUUUGUCGUUUUCUCAAUCCGACAAUAAUUCUGUUGUGGGGUCCACCAAUGAUUGUGCCGUCGUACGAAUAUUCCCUGUUAAAACAAAUAUUUCCCGACCAAUCGAAUAUUAUAUAACAACUUGCAUACUUUGCAAAAUUUAUAAAUACUACCCACAACUAUAACAUUAUCUCAAAUUCACACCAUAAUAUUCAAAAAAAUAUUUCGAGAAAAUUAAAUCUUUAUUCGUAAAAUUUGGGAUUUUACAUUGUCGGCUCACAAUCUCCAGAAGACUAAAAGCCUCCUAUAAUUUUUCAUUAUAAUGUGUUUUUACCCGGAGAUAACUUAACGAAAGAGCCAGCCAUAGUUCAGAAUACAUGGAUCAAUGAUAUUGGAUGGGGGAAGAAGGAAAGAUGCCCUGACCAUCGAUCCACUAACAUUGUGAAAUGUACAUUAUAUACAUUCUCCUUGCUAGCUUUUGUUGGUAACCAAACCUUCACACCAAGGUAACCAAACUGUCAUACCAAGGUAACCAAUCCACACCUCCAUACCAAGGUAACCAAACCUUCAUACCAAGGUAACCAAUCCACACCUGUAGUUUUUUCAUAAUGCAGUUGGUAACCAAACUUUCAUCUCAAGGUUACCAAACCUGCAGUUUUUUUAUAGUGCAGUUGGUAACAAAACUUUCAUACCAAGGUUAUCAAUCCACCUCCACACCUUCAGUUUUUCAUAGUGCAGUUGGUAACUAAACCUCCAUACCAAGGUAACCAAUCCACACUUGCAGUUUUUUCAUAGUGCAGUUGGUGACCAAAUAAACUAUCAUACCAAGGUUACCAAACCUGCAUACCAAGGUUACCAAUCCACCUCCACACCUGCAGUUUUUUCAUAGUUCAGUUGGUAACCAAACUUUCAUACCAAAGUAACUAAACUGUCAUACCAAGGUAACCAAUCCACUUCCACACCUUCAGUUUUUUCAUAGUGCAGUUGGUAACCAAACCUUCACACCAAGGUAACCAAACCUUCAUACCAAGGUAACAAACCUUCAUACCAAGGUAAUCAAACCACAUCCACACCUGCAGUUUGUUCAUAGUGCAGUAAUUGGUAGCCAAACAUUCAUACUAAGGUAACCAAUUCAGUGUUAUUAGGUUACCAAUUUAUUUUGAAUGUGAUGCAGUUGGUAGCCAAACCUUUAUGCAGUGGGUAGCCAAACAUUCAUACCAAGGUAACCAAUUCAGUUUUAUUAAGUUACUAAUUUAUUUUGAAUGUGAUGCAGUUGGUAGCCAAACCUUCAUGCAGUUGGUUGCCAAACUUUCAGUCCAAGGUAACCAAUUCAUACUGUAGGCGUUGAUGUAGAUUGGUUACCUUAGUAUAAAGGUUUGGUUACCUUGGUAUAAAAGUUUGGUUACCUUGGUACGAAGGUUUGGUUAUCAACAUUACAUUACACAUCACUCUCUUAUCUCUCUCUUUUCUAUUCAGAAAAUAAUUUUUUUUUAUAAAACUAGAACUGAAGGUGUUCCAGUACUAUUAUUAAGUAGCUAGCUAGCUUAUUACAUGAUGACACCAAUUAUGCCUUUAUCUCCGUUCAUGUCAUGAACUCUAAUUGCUCUCUGGUGCCAUGACAUUACUAAUGAUCUUCUCCUCUGCAGUAUCUCGUGAAUUUUCUUUUCUUACCGGAAAACGGUUGCUCCCGCCACCACUGCCCCACCCUCCACCUCCACCGUCUCUGUAACCACCACCUGAGCCACCACCGCCAACUCCNNNNNNNNNNNNNNNNNNNNNNNNNNNNNNNNNNNNNNNNNNNNNNNNNNNNNNNNNNNNNNNNNNNNNNNNNNNNNNNNNNNNNNNNNNNNNNNNNNNNNNNNNNNNNNNNNNNNNNNNNNNNNNNNNNNNNNNNNNNNNNNNNNNNNNNNNNNNNNNNNNNNNNNNNNNNNNNNNNNNNNNNNNNNNNNNNNNNNNNNNNNNNNNNNNNNNNNNNNNNNNNNNNNNNNNNNNNNNNNNNNNNNNNNNNNNNNNNNNNNNNNNNNNNNNNNNNNNNNNNNNNNNNNNNNNNNNNNNNNNNNNNNNNNNNNNNNNNNNNNNNNNNNNNNNNNNNNNNNNNNNNNNNNNNNNNNNNNNNNNNNNNNNNNNNNNNNNNNNNNNNNNNNNNNNNNNNNNNNNNNNNNNNNNNNNNNNNNNNNNNNNNNNNNNNNNNNNNNNNNNNNNNNNNNNNNNNNNNNNNNNNNNNNNNNNNNNNNNNNNNNNNNNNNNNNNNNNNNNNNNNNNNNNNNNNNNNNNNNNNNNNNNNNNNNNNNNNNNNNNNNNNNNNNNNNNNNNNNNNNNNNNNNNNNNNNNNNNNNNNNNNNNNNNNNNNNAGAGUGUUGGGAGAUAGCAUUAGAUAUACAUAAUAUUUUUACAUAUUUACUAAUACACAAAAUCAUUUUCUAAUUUCUCUUUCAUCUUUCAUUCUAAACUAGCUAUCAAAGCAAAACAAAAAAGAGAGAGGGAGAGCAUAGAUUUGAUAGCCUUAAGGAGGUAAAGGGGAAGAAUUUUAAUCUUCAUGCACCCUAAGUUCAUCAAUUACUUUGGUAAAAGAAGAAGAACAUCCCAAAGAACAAGGUAAAGACCCUAAAAAAUUUCAAGUUUUGUUACUUUCUUUUGAUAAGUUUUGAUGAAAUAAAGAGCUUGUGUUCUUGAACUUUAAAACUCUUGAUCUACAUGUGUAUGCUUUUUUCACAUGUAGGUCUAGUUAUUUUUGAAGUUAAAAGUUUUUAAAAAAAAGAAAAAAGAAGAAGAAAUGAAAGUAUGUUCAAAAGGGGCUAAACACCCUAAAUUAACUAUUUUUUUUAUUUAGUUUUUUUUGAUGAAAUGUAAAGAUGAUGUUUCUAAGUUCUAAAAUUUUUUAUCUUUAUGUUUUCUAGUGUUUCAUAUAAAGAUCUAACCAUUUUUUAUGUUAAAGGUUUGAUCAAAGGUAAGGAAAGGAAACUAGUUUUUUUUUAACGAAUAAAAACCCUAAAACUUUUUAUUCACUUUGAAAUGCUAUCAUUUAAAAUCUACAUCUCCUAUUUAUGAUCCGUCAAAGAUGGGUGCUAGAUAUAGGAGUUAGCUUUCAAACCUAAGUGGUAUCACUCAAAUAUGUUGAAUUUACAAGCUUUGGUGACUGUUUUAACAAAGCUAUCCAGAUUUUUAAAAGAGAAAAAUGGAACAAUCUCAUUAUACUACAAAACAAUAUUAUUAAGGUUUAUUUACACUAUUUUAAGAGAAGCUAGAAAUGAGUUGCUGUUUGUCCAUAAGCAACAGCCACAAAGGUACUGUCUGAGAGCCUAGGAAGAGCUCCCAGACACUGUUUGUAUGCCUACUGCUACUGCCGAGGCAGUAGCCCUGCACCAAGUUCACUUUUAGCAACUUCUGAUAUUCUACUUUGCUUAGGCUAAAUUUUUAGAGAUGGUAAAGGUACUAUAUUAGUCUCUUUUAGAAACCUACGAGGCUUAAAUUUCACGUUUAUUUACUGUCCAAAAACAAUUGUCAAAGUGACUUAACAUAAUAGGUUUUAAUUUUUCACUUUGGCCUAAUAAUGUAGUUUAUUUCAUUUUAGUAAUGUUAAACUUAUUAAUUAUCUUUAUAUGUGUUGUCUCAACCACACUCAAGCUGCAAUUCCUUCUAAAAUCCCAUUUUUAGUUAAAACAGUUCACCUAGGACUUUUAACAAACAGGUGGUGUGCACAGUUCCAAUUUCUUCUUUUCAUAGCCAUUUAUUUGAGUUAUAAAUCCAUUUUUAUCCUCCUUAUUAUUCCUCAGCCCAACCUAGCUCCUUAUGCCUAAAUCCAGCUCAUAACAGUUAAAUACACGAUUUAAUAUGUGUAUAAUCAAGUAAUUGACAACUAUCUAGUUAUAACUUAGUUAGCUCACUAAUUUUCUUACUUUCAACCUUAUUAACAAUACAUUUCCAGCCCCAACAGUAGGCACAAUCCAUAACAGUUCUAGGCAUAGCAAUAUAUUGUACAAUCAUAAGCAUGUGCAAUCACUUAUUACAAUUAUAGGCAUAAGCAGUCACUUAUUACAACCUAACAAUUUCAAUUCUUGACAUACAAACUUAGUAAACAAUGGUUUUAUUACUCUACAUAAACAAGGUUCACAACUUAUAACUUUAAGCAUGAUAACUAGAAACAACCUCUAUCUUGAUUAAGGUGAAUAUUAAAGCACUUGGAAUAUGUAGUCUCUAAAAGAUAUUUGCAUACAUAGCUUCAAUUGGAUAAAUUCUUAGCUUACAUGUGAUUCUCACAACACAGUUUUUUUAUUAGUUAGUAAUAUAACCAAAUCAAGUCAUGACUUUGAAAUUAUAGGUAGCUAGGGGUUGUUUUGAAUCCUAAUCCAAAACAGGCCCAGAUUUGCCCUACUCUAGGCUCUUUUGAAAACUUCCAUAAACCUUCAUGGUUAGGUUCUUUAGACCCCAUGUUAUAAAGUAUAACCCACUUCAUUUUCAAGGACAGAUAAGUUCUUAUAUAAGUUUAUCAAUCUAGUUAAAAGUGGUUUCAUUUUGCUUAUGUAUAUGAUUGUCAUGGUAUGUAAGUUAUACCAAUACAUGUUAUACUUAGGCAUAGAGGGUACUUGAAGCAUAGCUACCCUUUAAAUGAGAACUUAAACAUAAUUUUGGACUCCAUUCCCAGCCAGCCUAUUUUGACACUAUAACAGUUUUAGAGUAGCAUUUUAGGCAUGGUUUAUUACACCAAAACAGUAGCAAGCACUAACGUAUAUGCCUUUCUAACACAUGAACCUUUUAUGUACCAUAUUUUCAUGAUUUAAAGCAUCUAAAGUCAAGGUCUUUAUGCUUUAGGCCAACACAACCCUCUUUAGUAUUUAAAUUCAAAAACAAACAUGGUUUACCAACAUGUUUACGAAGAUAGCAUAAGUGUGCAACAUAGAAGCUUAUACUAUCUUUUUAUAUAGUAUUUAACAUGCAUAAUAUAUGUUUGGAUGACAUGGAAUAUGUAAGACCCCAACUUAUUAUAAAUAAAAUUGAAUUUCUCUAUUUAUUAUCUUGAAAUAAUAAGGUGAUAAUUUGAUAUAAUACUUUAGUUAUGGGUGAAAUGUGCAAAUUUUGCAAAAUAAGCAAGUGGUUAUAAAAUAUUCAUUUUUGUCGAGGAAUAUUCGUUUGGUCAUGGAAUUUUCUUGUUGUCGGGGAAUAUUCGUAUGACGACGCAGCCAUUUGUUGGACCCAUAACAGAAUAAUUGUCGGAUGAAGAAAACAAUAAGCUUGAGUUUUUAUAAAUAACGGCGUAGUUGUUACCGUUAACACUGUUGGAAUACCCGGUGGUUAAAAUACAGUAAUACGCGUGAUUGCACAGUAGCACAUGGUAUUACACAGUAUUUUUGAAUUAUUAAUUCUUACAUAAGAAGACACUACUUAAUAAUUGUUACAGUAAUUACUGUUCAAUAUUUUAUUUUAUUUAUUCAAUAAUUGUUGCGUUGAUAUUUUAUAGUAUUGUUGUUUCAAUAAUUGUCAUUGCACAGUAUUUCCCAUUAUCAGAUCAAUAAUUCAUAAUAUUUGAAUAAUAUUAUUAGAUAGCAUUAUUGGCAAUGUCUAGAAAGUUUUGUCAAGGAGAGGUUUGGUCACUUAAUUGCGCGCUAGUAAGGAGAAAUUCUUAUCGAAAAGCCCCCUCUUUCCUGGGAACGGCCUGAUUGUCAUUAUUGUGAUUCUGUAAUAUUAUUUGUGAAUAAUUAUUUAUUGAUUUAUAUGAUAAGGAAAUAAUUAUUUUAUAUGGACAUAAAUGAUAUGAGACCCCAGAUUUUAUGAAUAAAUAUUUAUUUUUCUCGAAAUAAUUUUUUAAUAUUAUGGCGUGGAUUUGAUAUAAUGUUAUAGUUGUGGGUAGUAUUUAUAAAUUUUGCAAAGUAUGCAAGUUGUCAUAUUAUAUUCGAUUGGUCGGGAAAUAUUCUUUUUGUCGGAGAAUAUCCGUACGACGGCACAAUCAUUGAUGGACCCCACAACGGAAUAAUUGUUGGAUUGAGAAAACGAUAAAAAUAUUUUAUUAAAAAUAUCGGCGGAAGUUUUACCGUUAAUACUGUUGAACUACUCGGUAGUAAAAGUACAGUAAUACACGUGAUUGCAUAGUAGCACACGGUAUUGAUUAUUGAUGUUUACGUGAGAAGUCACUCAGUUUUGUUCAAUUAUUACUACAUUAGUUGCUGCAUAAUAUCUCACGUUAUUUGAUUCAAUUAUUGUUGAUUGUUAUAUAUAUAUAUAUAUAUAUAUAUAUAAGUUUUGUUUUAUUAGUAUUAUUAAUGUAAUAAAACAGAAAAACUUUUUAUAUAAAACAGAAUACUUUUAUAAAGUUAUUCGUUUUAUUAGGCUAAUAGUAAAAUCUUUUUAUAUAAAANNNNNNNNNNNNNNNNNNNNNNNNNNNNNNNNNNNNNNNNNNNNNNNNNNNNNNNNNNNNNNNNNNNNNNNNNNNNNNNNNNNNNNNNNNNNNNNNNNNNNNNNNNNNNNNNNNNNNNNNNNNNNNNNNNNNNNNNNNNNNNNNNNNNNNNNNNNNNNNNNNNNNNNNNNNNNNNNNNNNNNNNNNNNNNNNNNNNNNNNNNNNNNNNNNNNNNNNNNNNNNNNNNNNNNNNNNNNNNNNNNNNNNNNNNNNNNNNNNNNNNNNNNNNNNNNNNNNNNNNNNNNNNNNNNNNNNNNNNNNNNNNNNNNNNNNNNNNNNNNNNNNNNNNNNNNNNNNNNNNNNNNNNNNNNNNNNNNNNNNNNNNNNNNNNNNNNNNNNNNNNNNNNNNNNNNNNNNNNNNNNNNNNNNNNNNNNNNNNNNNNNNNNNNNNNNNNNNNNNNNNNNNNNNNNNNNNNNNNNNNNNNNNNNNNNNNNNNNNNNNNNNNNNNNNNNNNNNNNNNNNNNNNNNNNNNNNNNNNNNNNNNNNNNNNNNNNNNNNNNNNNNNNNNNNNNNNNNNNNNNNNNNNNNNNNNNNNNNNNNNNNNNNNNNNNNNNNNNNNNNNNNNNNNNNNNNNNNNNNNNNNNNNNNNNNNNNNNNNNNNNNNNNNNNNNNNNNNNNNNNNNNNNNNNNNNNNNNNNNNNNNNNNNNNNNNNNNNNNNNNNNNNNNNNNNNNNNNNNNNNNNNNNNNNNNNNNNNNNNNNNNNNNNNNNNNNNNNNNNNNNNNNNNNNNNNNNNNNNNNNNNNNNNNNNNNNNNNNNNNNNNNNNNNNNNNNNNNNNNNNNNNNNNNNNNNNNNNNNNNNNNNNNNNNNNNNNNNNNNNNNNNNNNNNNNNNNNNNNNNNNNNNNNNNNNNNNNNNNNNNNNNNNNNNNNNNNNNNNNNNNNNNNNNNNNNNNNNNNNNNNNNNNNNNNNNNNNNNNNNNNNNNNNNNNNNNNNNNNNNNNNNNNNNNNNNNNNNNNNNNNNNNNNNNNNNNNNNNNNNNNNNNNNNNNNNNNNNNNNNNNNNNNNNNNNNNNNNNNNNNNNNNNNNNNNNNNNNNNNNNNNNNNNNNNNNNNNNNNNNNNNNNNNNNNNNNNNNNNNNNNNNNNNNNNNNNNNNNNNNNNNNNNNNNNNNNNNNNNNNNNNNNNNNNNNNNNNNNNNNNNNNNNNNNNNNNNNNNNNNNNNNNNNNNNNNNNNNNNNNNNNNNNNNNNNNNNNNNNNNNNNNNNNNNNNNNNNNNNNNNNNNNNNNNNNNNNNNNNNNNNNNNNNNNNNNNNNNNNNNNNNNNNNNNNNNNNNNNNNNNNNNNNNNNNNNNNNNNNNNNNNNNNNNNNNNNNNNNNNNNNNNNNNNNNNNNNNNNNNNNNNNNNNNNNNNNNNNNNNNNNNNNNNNNNNNNNNNNNNNNNNNNNNNNNNNNNNNNNNNNNNNNNNNNNNNNNNNNNNNNNNNNNNNNNNNNNNNNNNNNNNNNNNNNNNNNNNNNNNNNNNNGAUAUUGUUUAGAAGACAAUAUUUGUAUUAAAACUCACAGCUCUCUUGUUGUAUAUUAAAGAUUGUAUUUGUAUUCUGUACCAUGUAUUUGGCGACUCAGAAUAGGUGAUGUAUACCUAUUUUGGGGGCGUCACAGUUGGUAUCAAAGCUUAGGGAUAUGAUCCCUGGCUGAGAUGUGAGAUAAGAACUAGGAGGGGAGAGACGGGGAAUUCCUUCGCUAGUAUGAACUACCUAAGUUUAUUUGGUAUUUAAUUGGUCGGUUAGAGUAUAGGGAUAAUAUGUGUUAUGUUAAUUAACCCUUAUUUUGUGGCAGUAUUUAAAAAUGGCAUCCGAUAAUGUUGAGAAUAGCAAUGGAGCACAGGAGACCGUUGAGUCUCCACAGAUUAAUAAUCAGGACAAUGUGCAACCGGAUGACGAUAAUCCUCCUGUAAACAACAACACUAAUCAAUUGACGAACGACGGUACGUUUAAGAGCUUUUUAGAAUUCAUGCAACACCAAACGAGAGAGACUCCUGUUCAUAAUGCUGGAGGAAACAAUGGCAACCCACGGUUGGUCACCGCUAAGUAGUUCAAGGAGCUGGGACCACCAGAGUUUUUGGAAAAGCCAGAACCACUUAAGGCAGAGACGUGGUUAAAGCAGAUCACCAAGAUAUUUGAUGUCUUGGGAUGCUUGAAAGAGCAAAAAGUUCCAUUCGCCACCUUUAUGUUUCGUGAAGAAGCAGAUCACUGGUGGGAAUCUAUAAAACGUACCCAGCCUGACGCACUCAAGAUAUCUUGGGAGAAGUUCCAAGAGCUGUUCAACGACAAGUACUUUCCUGAAAGUAUUCGUCACAUGAAGGAGGUGGAGUUCAUCAAGCUGGAGCAAAACAAUAUGACCGUGUCGCAGUACGAGGCUAAGUUUGCCGAGUUGUUCCGAUUUGCGUUCCAUUUGGUUGAUAAUGAGGAAAGAAUGACGCGAAUGUUUCUAAGAGGUUUGAAAUCCAAUAUACGUCAAUACCUCAUUUCUCACAAACUUUAUUUAUAGUCAGAUGUUGUGAAUAGGGCUCAGUUAUUGGAGCACGAUAAUGAGUUAGCACAACCAAAAGGCAAUGACCAACAACACGAUAAUAAUUAUAUCAGUGGCAACGGUCAUCGGAACAAUGAUAACCAUCGUGGGGGAAAUUAUCAUGCCAAGAAUGGUAACCACUUCGCUGGUAAUCAUGGACAAGAUAAUAGAAGUGGAAAUUUCAAGAAGAGAAGGUUCAAUAAUGAUGGAAAGACAGUAGCACCAGCACCCGUUUCAAAGGAAGAAGAACGACCACCGAUCGUAUGUUUCAAAUGCGGACAGGAGGGACACAUCCGUCCAAACUGUAUGCAGCAAUCCAAAACGUGUUUUAAUUGCGAAAGAGAAGGUCACCUAGCUCGAUUUUAUCGUAUGGUAAAGUCAAGUCCAGCUGGGAUAGUGAUGCCAAAGGAUGUCCCAGACAAGCCAAAGCUGAUAAUUUAAGAGAGAACGUUUUUUUUCUCGUGACGAGGAACCUGAAUAAAAUUAUCAUGGGUAAGUUAAUCAUAAACUCUUGCGAAGUCUAUACCAUGUUAGAUACCGGUUUUACUCACUCUUUUAUUUCACCUAGUUGUGUUCAAUGUUUGUACUUAACUCCGGAGAAGUUAGAAUCUGAUUUAUCUAUUAAAACUCCGUUGGGAGAAACCUUCGUUACAUCUAUUAUUUAUAAAUCUUGUUUGAUUCAAAUCGACACUUUCAUGUUACCUGUCGAUCUUAUCUCUUUGAAAAUACUUAUCUUUGAUGUGAUUUUAGAAAUCGAUUGGUUAACUACUCAUCAUGCUUUUCGUAAGGUUGUUAGAUUUCAUAUUCCUAACCAACCUGUUAUGCAAAUUCAAGCAACCAAACCACUAAAUUCAAUCAUUGUCAUAUCAAGCCAUAAGUAAAGAGCCCCGAUCCUUUUGUUGUUGACUUCCUUGUGUGGAAUGCACUGAAGCCAGACUUUCUGUAUGCGACAUCAUGAAUGACGAUGGCAAGUUGAUAGGUAUUAAUAUGACGUACUAUCCAAGUCUUGGAUGAGAGUAACAGUUUUGAAUGAUAUUUCUAUCGUUAAUAAAUUUCCUGACGUAUUCCUGAAGACUUCAUAGCCUACCCCUAGAGCAUGAAAUCGAAUUUUAUAUUGACCCCAGUACAAAACCCAUUUCUUACACCCUCGAAUAUUUCUUCAACUAAAAUGAACGUAACAUACGCCAAAGACGUUGAAUCGAGCUGUUGAAGAUUACGAACGUACCAUUCAAUACCAUCGUAGGAAAAGCUAACAUGGUUGCUAACGCGUUGAGUAGAAGAUCGUAUGCGGUUACAAGUGCGAAUAUAAGAACCCACGUGAAGAUAAUGAAUAUACGAGUAGAAUUGACUUUAAUCAAUAAAGUUAAAGCCGCUCAAGCUAAAUACUCAGAGCUGAUGAAUGUGAAAAAGAAGGUUUAAGAGGGUGUUAUUCUAGAAGCAAGAAUCGAUGAAGAGAGGAAAUCUCAACCCUCGAUUUAAUUGGCCCAUUUGAAAUCCUCGAUUGAGUAGGAACUGUGGCUUACAGACUCAUUUUACCGCCAAGUAUGUCGCGUGCUCAUAACGUUUUUAACGUAUCGAUGUUACGUAAAUAUGUGGACGACCCAAACCACAUUAUUAAUUUAGAACCAGAUGAGAUAGCAGAUGAUUUAACGUAUGAGGAGAUACGUGUUAAAAUCUUGGAUAAGAAGGAUUAUAUUCGACACUCAAAGGUUAUAUCUCAAGAGUUAGAAUCUGAAAUGAAGUCAAGGUAUCCUCACCUGUUCGGCAUACCAGGUACGUACGUAAAUUUUGAGGGCGAAAUUCCAUAAGGAGGGGAGAUUGUGAGACCCCAGAUUUUAUGAAUAAAUAUUUAAUUUUCUCAAAAUAAUUUUUUAAUAUUAUGGUGUGGAUUUGAUAUAAUGUUAUAGUUGUGGGUAGUAUUUAUAAAUUUUACAAAGUAUGCAAGUUGUCAUAUUAUAUUCGAUUGGUUGGGGAAUAUUCUUUUUGUUGAGGAAUAUCCGUACGACGGCACAAUCAUUGGUGGACCCCACAACGGAAUUAUUGUCGGAUUGAGAAAACGACAAAAAUAUUUUAUUAAAAAUAACGGCGGAAGUUUUACUGUUAAUACUGUUGAACUACUCGGUAGUAAAAGUACAGUAAUACGCGUGGUUGCAUAGUAGCACACGGUAUUGAUUAUUGAUGCUUACGUGAUAAGUCACUCAGUUUUGUUAUUGGUAUUAUUAAUGUAAUAAAACAUAAAAUCUUUUUAUAUAAAACAGAAUACUUUUAUAAAGUUAUUCUAUAAAUAGAAUAUAUUAUAUUCUAUUAUGCAUAGUGUUUUGCAUAGUAAAAUCUUUUUAUAUAAAACAGAAUACUUUUAUAAAGUUAUUCUAUAAAUAGAAUAUAUUAUAUUCUAUUAUGCAUAGUGUUUUGCAUAGUAAAAUCUUUUUAUAUAAAACAGAAUACUUUUAUAAAGUUAUUCUAUAAAUAGAAUAUAUUAUAUUCUAUUAUGCAUAGUGUUUUGCAUAGUAAAAUCUUUUUAUAUAAAACAGAAUACUUUUAUAAAGUUAUUCUAUAAAUAGAAUAUAUUAUAUUCUAUUAUGCAUAGUGUUUUGCAUAGUAAAAUCUUUUUAUAUAAAACAGAAUACUUUUAUAAAGUUAUUCUAUAAAUAGAAUAUAUUAUAUUCUAUUAUGCAUAGUGUUUUGCAUAGUAAAAUCUUUUUAUAUAAAACAGAAUACUUUUAUAAAGUUAUUCUAUAAAUAGAAUAUAUUAUAUUCUAUUAUGCAUAGUGUUGCAUAGUGUCUGCAUAGUGAUUUGCAUAGUAAAAUCUUUUUAUAUAAAACAGAAUAUUUUUAUAAAGUUAUUCGUUUUAUUAGAUUAUAAAUAGAAUAUAUUAUAUUUUAUUUAAAAGAUUUUGCUUUAAAUAUGGACCGUCCGAUUAAAGUAAAUCAAUCUGGACCGUUCAUGAGUUAGUUACUAUGUAGUCCAUUCUUCUAUAAAUAGAAGCUCAUUCCUUCAUUAUUUUCUUACGAAUUCACUGAAACCCUAGAGAGAGAAAUUAUAGAGAAAAAAAAGAAAAGUAUUCUGCUACUUUACUACUCCGAUAUCAAGUUUCUUUUACGGUAAGAGAUAUUAUUUGUUGUACUCGUAAGGGGUAUUAUUUCUUUUGUAAUCAUGAAGAGAACUUCUGUUAUUCCAUUCUUUAUUAUUCUGUUGGAAUAACCUGUAUACGUGGUCUACCCUAUACUUGGUGAAAUUCUUCUGUUAUUCAAUUCUUUAUUAUUCUAUUGGAAUAUCCUGUCUGUGCGUUUUAUGCCAGACCUGGUUCCGUCUUUAUUAUUCUGUUGGAAUAUCCUGUCUGUGCGUUUUACGCCGGACCUGGUUCCGUCUUUAUUAUUCUGUUGGAAUAUCCUGUCUGUGCGUUUUACGCCGGACCUGGUUCCGUUAUUUAUUAUUCUGUUGGAAUAACCUGUCUAUUCGAAGUACCGCAUGCAUGGUGAUUUUUGUUGUUAUUCCAUUCUUUAUUAUUCUAUUGGAAUAUCAUGUCUGUGCGUUUUACGCCAGACCUAGUUCUAUCUUUAUUAUUUUGUUGGAAUAACCUGUCUAUGUGAAGUAUCGCAUGCAUGGUAAUUUCUGUUGUUAUUCCAUUCUUUAUUAUUCUGUUGGAAUAUCCUGUCGGUGUGUAUUACGCCUGACCUGGUUCCGUUAUUUAUUAUUCUAUUAGAAUAACUUGUCUAUGCGAAGUACCGUAUGUAUGGUGAUUUCUUUUCUUAUUCCAUUCUUUAUUAUACUCAGUUAGUUAAAGUUUUGACUUCUAUACUCCAUGAAAUUAGUGGAAUAUCCUUGAUAUUUAUACUUCAUCCAGUAUCUUUUCAUGAAAAUAUUCUUCUGAGCAUUCUUGAAUUUUACUCUACAAAGAAGUAUCAUGUUGAAAAUUUGGACGUUAUUGAUUCCUGGAUAAAUUAAUUCGUGAACUUGUUUUAUUGAAUUAUUAUGUCAUUGUCAUCAUCCUCAUGUUUAUUUUUUUUGAAAGUCAUCUGUGGCCUGUAGUGCAUAGAUGGACUUGGUAUGAUUAUGACCAGGGAUUAUUCGGUAUAAUCAUGACCGUAAUAUUACAAAUGAUGUGGAAAAAGUCCUCAUUGGCCCGUAAUGCAUUAAUGGACAGUUUUCGGUAUGAUUAUGGCUAUGGAUUCUCUUCGGCCAAGGGUGCAAAAAUGAAUUGUUUUAUGUCAUGAUCAGGACCGUUGAUGAAAACACGAUUUUCUUUGGCCCGUAGUGCAUGGAUAAUUCGUGGUCGUGAUACUAAAGAAUAUCCUUGGCCUGUAGUGCAGGGAUGAUUUGAUGAUGUGGAUUAUUUAUUGGGCUGAGUCUCAGCAAUAAAAGUGAUGAAAAAACUUUUUAAAUCAUAAAACAUAGUAGAUUCUAUUCUCUACUUGACUCUUUUAAUGGAUUGCUUGUUCCGCUGCAGUUAAACUUGAUGUCUAUUGUAUUUUAUCAGUUUAACAUUGUUGAAGACUAAUGAUAAUUUAUUCUGCACUAUCUUAGUCAUAAUAUUUCUUACUGGGCUAGUUGAGCUCACCCUUUCUUUCACUGUUCUAUUCAGGAAAUGAGAAUAUAGCUGGGGCGAGUCGGGGAACGGAGUGAUGGACCAGAUGAUAGUAUUAGUAGUCCUCACUAUUCUGUUAAAUAGUGUGAUAAUAAAUGUAAUGAGGACAUAUUCUGAGAGUGGAUAUUGUUUAGAAGACAGUAUUUGUAUUAAAACUCACAGCUCUCUUGUUGUAUAUUAAAGAUUGUAUUUGUAUUAUGUACCAUGUAUUUGGCGACUCAGAAUAGGUGAUGUAUACCUAUUUUGGGGGCGUCAAAAAUGAUGGGUAGAAAAAUAUUUAUUUUGUGUGGUUAUAAAUGAAGAAAUUAAUUUUGAGGUAUUUUAUAAUUAUUUUGUCAGAAUGGAUGUAUUAAAAAUCAUCCGUAUGUGGAUUUCGGACAUUUUUUGUUUAGAAUUUGGAAAAACUUUCUUCUCUAAAGUUGUAGAGAAUUUGAUUUCCUAUGGAAUGGACAUAAAAUUCAUAUUUUUCUGAUAAAAGAGCUAUUUAUUGUGAAUUAAAUGGAGUAAAGAUAAUCAAAUUGAAUUAGUUUUCAAAUUGAAUUUGAAUUCUUUUAUUUAUUUAUUUUUCAAAAAUAUGUGAUAAAUUAUUGGGGUGGGUGAGCAAAGUUGGACAAUCUUGAUUCAAGUAAGGUGUGCGUAGAAGAGAAGGAAAUAAGAAUAUUAUUUUAUUAUUUUAGUCUCCUUUGGCGUUCUAGCAUUUUUCUAUAAAUAGGUGCUUAAGUUAGAAUUGAAAAUCACACCAGAAACAUAAGCUUUCUCUCUCUAGAUUAUCGAGCGUAUUAUUGUGAGUAUUUUUCUUGAGUAUAGGAAUACUUUGAGCGUAGUUUUCUGCAAGAUUUUCUCAGAAUAAUAUCCAAUAUUCCAGGCAAAUCCAGUUUCUACUAAGGUAAAGGAUAUUAUUUUAUUGCUUUUAUAAUUCCUGAAAUGAUUAGAAAUUUCACUUCAUCUAAUAUCCUUUUAUAGGAAUAUUGGUCUGAACUUUUUAUCAAAUUUAGAACUUUUCAUGACGGGUACUGUUCACCGGUACUGUUCACGGGUACUGUUCAAAAAAGAAAAAAAAAUUUCUCCUUCCCAGUUAUCUGUUGUGACCUUUAAUCCUGAAAUUGAAUCCAUGUUUUUGAUCUUUAUUCUUGAAUUUUACUCCAUUAUGGUUUAUUAUGGAGUAUUUUUAAACUUGAGUUAUCUAAAGUACAAAUCUCUAAACUUUAUCCUUUUAUCUCACUUGAUUCGUUCUCUAAAAUGUUUUUCAUCAUCCUCAGUCCUUAAUGGUGAUACUUGAUAAAUAUCUUUGGCCUGUAGUGCAAAGAUGUAUGAUUACCUGAUGAAUAUCUUUGGCCUGUAGUGCAAAGAUGAACAGGUGUUGAGAUGAACAUGACCAACUGGUGAUACAAAUGAAUAUCUUUGGCCCGUAGUGUAAAGAUGAAUAUUUGAUUCAAGAUGUAUAUUGAUUGAUGUUACAGGGAUAAAAUAUUGAUGAUGGACUUUUAAAUUCAUAGAUGAUAGUAGAUUUCAUUCUCUACUUAACUCUUCUAAUGAAUUGUUGUUUCCGCUGCAGUUGUUGAUCUAAAACUUGUUGUCUAUUGUAUUCUAUCAGAUUUUUCCCUGUUGAAGACUAAGGAUAAUUUGUUGUAUAUUAUCUUAGUCAUAAUAUUCUUUACUGGGCUAGUUGAGCUCACCCUUUUCCUUUUUGUUCCAUUUUUCUUCUCAGGAAGCGAGAACAUAGCAGGAACCAGUCGGGGUAUAGAGUGAUGGUCCUAGACAGUUGUUUUAGAAGUCCUCACUAUUUUUGUAAAAUAGUGCAUCAAUAAUUGUAAUGAAGACUUUAUUUGAGUGUGGAUAUUGUCUAGAAGACAAUAUUUGUAUUUAAACUCACAGUAUGUGUUGUCGUAUUUUGCACGACAAUUGUAAUAAUAAAGUUGUAGUUAUUUUCUGUACCAUAUAUUUGGCGACUCAGAAUGGGUGAUGUAUACCUAUUUUAGGGGCGUCGCAGAAUAGCUUAUACCAUAUCAGUCAUUAUCAAAUCCUCUAGUCUAGCAUACAAAAUCCUUAAAACGGUGGCUAAGUCUUAGUUAAAUGCUUAGCUCAUAUAUAGACCGGUAUACACCAAGUUAUAAUCAUCUUAUGCUCAUGCAAAACUAACCUUUUAAGCACAUUUGCAUCUUUAGAAUUUUAAUAUAGAAUAUUGGCAUAGGAUUAGACUUGGCUGUACUCAUUUUCAACACAGUUGACUCCAAUAGUCUAUUAACAGACAUUUUACCAAACAGUUGGGAUGCGGUUCAUAUCUAUCCAUACAAUACAUAUAUUCUUAGCUUAGUGAUCCCAGCCUUAUGGCUUAAACAAUAACAAGCAUAAGAUGAUACAUAACAACUCCAAUCACGGUAAUCCAAAUAGCAUUGAAACAGGCAUCCUAUUGUACCAAUUCCAAUAUAACAGCCAUACAUGUUACCUAAACUCUAACAGUCCAGUUGCUAUCAUUUAAAGAAACAGGAACGAAUGGAAAAGGAUUGGAAAGGUCAGAAUUGGCUUACCUUGUUGAUUUGAAGGUUACAAGUGGGUUGAGCUGCCCAGUUUCUCCUCCUUCUCUAGCCGAAGCUUUUCCUCUCUUACUCUAUAUGACUGAUACCGUUACUUCUUCCCUUUUUCUUUUAACUUUGCUAAGUGGUGAGCUAAUCGGUUCUAGGCCAUAAGCUUGGCCUUUUAUGGUUGAGUUUAUCUCCUCUUUUCUGGCAGUACUAUCACCUUUAGUUGGCCUCUACACAACCACCCUAUCAAGCUCCCAUCCAUCAUUCCUAUUCUAGUUCACUUGGCCCCUAUAGGGCCUGUCAGACCAUAGCUAUUCUGCUUCCUCUUAUCCACUGCAAGUUUAUCCCACCUGCUAGCUGACUGUUAACUGAACUAACAUGCUAACUAGAAACCAACUUAGAAUUCGUAUAACUUGCUACUUGACUUGGUGCUCAAGCCAUGUUAUUGUUUUUCUUAAUUGGUUUGAAGCAGUUAUCUUGCUAUACAUCACUGGGUUUACAGGAUUGGGCUGGGGGAACAAUGUGACAAUUUUAAUUUGGGUUUAAACUAACCCUCCCUCUUUAACCAUGUAGCUGCCAAAUUGCACUAAGAAAAUAGGUUAAAAUUGGCCCUUUUAAUUUUGUUAUAGACCUAAUACAACAACCCAUACCCUAAAAUAGUUGAAAGGGGCAUACAAGCAUACAUAGCAAAAUUUAAUAUGGCCCAAUGUUUUAGAAUGGACUCAUUUUAAACACAAAAUUUUUUCUAUCUUAUUAAAUUCCUUUUAGGCUAGCAACAAUAGUUGGUACAUAUAUCAUUAACUCUUUUUUUUUACCAUUCAUGAUCUAAGAUACUUAAUAAAAUAUUAAGUAACAAAUAAUUAUAAGGUCAGGAUACAAAAAUAAAAUAAAAUUUAUACACAAAAUUGACAUUAUAACAACUGAAUAUUUUAUAGAAUUUCUGAGUCAUUACAUUUACUUUGUUAAGGACUAAUGAUAAUUUAUUUUACAUUAUCUUAGUCAUAAUAUUCUUUACUAGGCUAGUUGAGCUCACCAUUUUCUUUCAUUGUUCUUUUCAGGAAAUGAGAAUAUAGUUGUGACUAGUCGGAGAAUGGAGUGAUGGUCCAAGAUGGUUGCUAUAGUAGUCCUCACUAUUCUAUAAAAUAGUGUGAUAAUAAUUGUAAUGAGAACUUCAUUUGAGUUUGGAUAUUGUCUACGAAAUAAUAUUUGUAUUAAAACUCACAACUUACGUUUUGUCGUAUUUUACACGACAAUUAAUAAUUGUAUAAAUGCAGUUUGUAUUUGAAUUUUGUACCAUGUAUUUGGUGACUCAGAAUGAGUUGUAUGGACCUAUUUUGGGGGAGUCACGAAUAGGACCCAAGAAGAUUUGGGUACGAAAAAGGUAGACUAUUUGUUCAUUUUGUCAAUGUCUUAAGUUCAAAAAGGAGACGAAUAGUACUUAUAAAUUAUUUGGCAAAAUCUGUAAGUACCUUAUAUUUUUUUCUAAAAUAGUGUUUUAAUUAGAUAUAUUAUGAAAAAUCUAUGGAUUUCGUAUUACAUGGGUUCAUAACAUCAUUUAUUAUAAAGUAUAUAUUGUGCUAAAUGCUCCAUAUUUAAUACAAAUGACAAUCUUGAUGAGGAAUAAGUGAAUAUUAUUUUUGAUUAACUUAACCAUGAUCUGCUAAAGGAAGAGAAUGAGGUUUCUGUUGGAAAUGACUAUUUGAAUUGUGGAACCCAAACAGUUCAAUCCGGACAGUCUAAGAUGUGAGACCCCGAAUUUUAUGAAAUAAAAGUAUUAAAUUUUUCUAUUUUGGUAAAUAGUUAAAUUGAUAAAAGUUUAAAGUUAAGGGUCAUAUUUGAAAAUUUUGCAAAGUAUGCAAGUUGUUAUAAAUAUUCGAUUGGUCGGAGAAUAUUCUUUUUGUCGGGGAAUAUUCGUACGACGGCACAAUCUUUGGUGAACCCACAACGGAAGUACUGUCGUAGUUAGAAAAAGACAAAAAUAUUUUAUGAAAAUAACGACGAAGGUUUUACCGUUAAAAUUGUUGAACUACCCGGUAGUAAAAGUACAAUAAUACUCGUGGUUGCAUAGUAGCACACGGUAUUGAUUAUUGAUACUUAUGUGAGAAGUCACUGAGUUAUACUCAAUUAUUGCUACAGUAAUUGUUGCAUCAUAUCUCUCAUAUUAUUGAUUCGAUUAUUGUCAGUAUCAUCUGCAUUAUAUGUUAUUUUAUUAAAUCAAUAAUUGAGACGACAAAGUUAUUCAUAUUAUUAAAUUGCAAUAUUUAUAAUGUCUAGAAGUUCUGUCAAGGAGAGGUUAGAUAAUCUAAUUACGCGCCAAUAGGGAGAAAUCUUUAUCGGAAAGCCCCCUCUUUCCUGGGAACAACCUGGUUGUUAAAUAUUGUGAGUUAUGAUAUUAAUGAUGGAUAAGUUCGUGUUGAUUAAAGAUGAAUUUUAUAGUUUUAUUGUGUUGGGAUUAUUUGUGUUAGUAGAAAUUGACAUCUAUUCCGAUGAUUAUUGAUGUCUGGAGGUUAUAUUGUUCAAUCGGGUAUUCGGGACACUUUUCAUGUCAGAGUUAUUAUUCAUGAGUUACUAUUCACGAGUUACUAUUCAUGAGUUACUAUUCACUAGUUACUAUUCACAAGUUACUAUUCACCUAAUUACUAUUCACUCUAGUAUUGUGCAUUCGGGUAUUUGGGUACAAUAUUAUUCCAUGAGGAGAUGUGUUAAUUUUUCUGACCGUUGGUUGAAAUUAUAAUAGUAAAUCAAUAUGGAUCGUUGAUUUAAAGUCUUAAUAGUAACUUGUCCCUUCAAUAUUACCAAGAGUUAAUUGCCCCUUCGUAAAUAGUAGUUGUCCCUUCAAUAUUACCAAGAGUUAUUUGCCUCUUCGGUGUUCCAAGAGUUAAUUACCCCUUCGCAAACAGUAGUUGUCUCUUCAAUAUUACCAAGAGUCAUUUUGACCCUUCGUUAAGACCAAGAGCCACUCUCAGUUUUUCUAUAAAUAGAAGCUCAUUCCUUCAUUAUUUCUUACGAAUUCACUGAAACUCUAGAGAGAGAAAUUAUAGAGAGAAAGAAGAAGAGUAUUCUGUUACUUCACUACUUCGAUAUCCAGUGUCUUUUACGGUAAGGGAUAUUAUUUGUUGUACCCGUAAGGGGUGUUAUUCUUUCUUAGUCAUGAAGAGAACUUCUGUUAUUCCAUUCUUUAUUAUUCUGUUGGAAUAACCUGUAUAAGCGGCAUACCCUAUACAUAACCUGUAUAUGCGGCAUACCCUAUACUUGGUGAAAUCCCUUUGUUAUUCCAUUCUAUAUUAUUAUGUUGGAAUAACCUGUUUAUGCCAAGUACCGUAUGCAUAGUGAAAUUCUUCUAUUAUUUCAUUCUAUAUUAUUAUGUUGGAAUAACCUGUUUAUGCGAAGUACCGCAUACAUGGUGAAAUUCUUCUAUUAUUCCAUUCUUUAAUAUUCUGUCAGAAUAUCCUGUCGGUGUGAAUUUCGGCUGACCUGGUUCCAUUUAUUAUUCUGUUGGAAUAACCUGUAUACGCGUAUUACCGUAUACUUGGUGAUGUCUGUUGUUCUUCCAUUCUUUACUAUUCUGCUGGAAUAUCCUGUCUGUGCGUUUUACGCCAGACCUGGUUCCGUCUUUAUUAUUCUGUUGGGAAUAACUUGUCUGUGUGGUCUCUAUCGCAUGCAUGAUGAAUCCUUCUGUUAUUCCAUUCUUUAUUAUUCUGUUAGAAUAACCUGUCUAUGUGGAUUACCACAUGCAUGGUGAAUGAUCCUUUAUAUUCAUUCCUUAUUAAAUUGUGGAAAUGAUCCGGUUACGUUGAUUAUGAUGAGAGUCAUAAUAAAAGUAUUGGACUAAUGAAAAUCAUGGGUAUAUGUGGUAUUAGUAAGUGUUAUGAUGAGUUAUGUUGGUUAUUAUGUGAAAACAUGAAAGUUUCUUAGAAAUCACAAAGGGUUGAAAAUCAGAUUUUGGUGAAAAUAGAACAUGAAAUUCAAUUGACCAUAUCUCCUAUUAUAUUUCAAAUUUUUGGGUGUGGUUAAGUUCUAGAGUUAGGUCUAUGAGUUAUGUAACUUAUCCAAGUGGAAUCACUGGAAAAGGUGUUGUAGAUUUUCGUGUGGACUGAUUUUAGCAAAGGAGUGCAAAGCUGCAAAAACCCAAAACUCUACUGCCCAGAAACUUUAAGGGGCUGUUUCGGCUACUUAAUUUGUGAGAACAAUUCUGGCCUUUUGGGACAUGAAAUUAUAUGAUAUAAAGUACCUCCUGUCCAAAAAUGAGCUCAUUCUGACUUAAAAUGAGCAAGUUAUGACCAUUUCAAUAUUUAGGUUUUUCCGACGAAAAACGCUAUAACCGGAGUUCUAUAACUCCGAUGACCAUGAAAUUUAAAUUGGAAGCUCAUGUUAACAUGUGUAAGAUUAUGCCAAGAUUUGGGAAUUUUUGGAGUUAACCUUGAGGUAGCUAACUUCUUAAGGAAUUAAUUAGAAAUUGAUUUUUGAAAAAUAGUAAAUGAAUUUUAAAAAUUCCGAGAAAAAUAUAUGUUCAUUAUGGGACUAUAUUCUGCUAAAUACCAGAAAAGAAAUAUUUUUGGGACUGAUUUGGUAUUUUUCAUGAAAAUAGUUUAGUUACGAACUUAUGAGUUAAAUAUGUUAUGUGAAGUAACAAAAUUGGAAAAAUAGGAUUUAUGGUUUGGAAGGUAUAUGCAGAUUUUUGAUAAAGAAUUUGAUUAUUGGUGAUGAGAUCUUAUGAGUAUGGCAUUUUGAAUGAUUAAAUACAUUAUAUGGUAAAGUGUAAGCAAUUGAAAUAAAUUAUUUAUAAGUUUGAGAAGCGAUUAAAAUAUUGUUAUAAUAUUAAUAAUAUUAGAUUAUGAGUUAUUGAUAAUAUUUGGAUAAGUUUAAAGUCUUUAGUAUUUAUCCUUGUUUUCGUAUGAUUAAUGCUUAUAUCAUUGUCAUCAUCCUCAUGCUUAUAUGGUGAUGAAAGUUAUCUUUGGCUUACGUGCAAAAAUGGACUUUUGAUUAUUGAAUUGUAUAUCUUUGGCUCACGUGCAGAGCUAGUUUGUUGAUUAUUGGUUUUAUUGUUGUAUAUCUUUGGCUUACGUGCAGAGAUGAAUUUGGUAUGAUUAUGACCAAGGAUUAUUCGGUAUAGUCAUGACUAUUGAUGAUUUAAUGAAUAUCCUUGGCCCGUAGUGUAGGGGUGAUUCGAUGAUGUGGUUUAUUUAUUAAGCUGAGUCUCAAUGAUAAAAAUGGAUGAAAACAUUUUUAAAUCAUAGAAGAUAGUAGAUUUUAUUCUCUACUUGACUCUUUUAAUGGAUUGCUUGUUCCGCUGCAGUUAAACUUGAUGUCUAUUGUAUUUUAUCAGUUUAACAUUGUUGAAGACUAUUGAUAAUUUAUUCUGCAUUAUCUAGUCAUAAUAUUUCUUACUGGGCUAGUUGAGCUCACCCUUUCUUCACUGUUCUCUUCAAGAAAUGAGAAUAUAGCUGGGACGAGUCGGGGAACAGAUUGACAGUCCAGAUGAUAGCAUUAGUAGUCCUCACCAUUCUGUUAAAUAAUGUGAUAAUAAAUGUAAUGAGGACUGAAUUUGAGUUUGUAUACUGUCUAUGAGGACUCCAUUGAGAAUUGAUAUUGUCUAGAAGGCAAUAUUCUUGUUUAAACUCUCAGUUUAUGUUUUACACGACAGUUGUAUAAUUAUGUUGUAUUUGAUUUAUGUACCAUGUAUUUGGCGACUCAAGAUGGGUGAUGUAUACCUAUUUUGGGGGCGUCACAUAAGACGUCUGCAUCAGAAGGAAAUAUAGAUGAAAUCAGACAGUUUGACCUGUCUGUUUUAGAAGAAAACUCAAAUUUACAAACACCUAAAUCUAGAAAAAUCGAGAGGUCUGCUUUAGAAUAAAAAACAUAUGAAUAUUCGGAUGCAGUAACUUAUAUUCCAGAGGAUGAAUCUGAAAAGCAAAUGACUUCUUCCAGGCUUCCUAAAUCUUCUAGAACUAUGGGAAAUCAUCCUCCAAGUCUGAUCAUCAGAAAUUUCAACAUUAGGAUGUCCACAAGAAGAGGUUUUGAAGAAAUUUGUUUGCUACACUAAAGGAGCUCAUCUAUCAAGCUUAUUGUUGGUAACAAAAUUGUGGAUAUAUAGGUAACAAAUCACAAAGGUAUGGUUAUUUUAUUUAAGUGCUAUAUGUGAUAUUGUUACAAGCUUGAUGUCGUGUCUUUAUUUUAUGAAUUAUUUUUUGUUAGUGACAAAUGGGGAGAGAUAUAGCUAAAUUGAUGAUUUAUUUCUUUUUGAUAAUGAUAAGGGGAGAAAUGUUUAAAAAUAUUGAUGAUUAUGAUAUUUGAUGGUUAUAUUGAUUAUAAUAUGUUUGGAUUUUUUGGAUAUCAUAUUGAUGAUAAUGGUUGGAUAUUUUGAUUCAUUAUCUGUUAUAUACAGCUUAUCAUUAUGCAUUAUUUAUCAUAACAGUUAUGUGAUCUUUAUAUCUCCUAUAGGCAAAAUUUAGGGGGAGCCAUAUAGUUAGGGAGAGCAUGAUUGUAAGGAAUAAUAUAUUGUCAUCAUCAAAAGGUGGAGAUUAUUAGUUUUAUUAUUUGUAAUUUUAAUAAUGACAAUAUAUUUGCAAAUAUAAGUUAUUUAAUGGUCUGAAUAUAUUUGCAAAUAUAAGUUUGGUUCAUGAUAAUUUAAUUUGGUUAUAAGUCAAAUUGAUAUUACGUGCAGGAUUGAAUUGGAAUAUUUUCUUUCAGGUCUAAUUUGGAGUCUCUAAAUUAACUGGUUUAGAUAUUUGUGUAGAGUAUGGACUCUAUCUAUAAUAUAUUGUUACUCCUUAAUUUUAGCCAUUGUUAGAUUACAUAUCUUUGACUUUCUAAUUUUGAGAAUAUUUUAUAGCUGUUAGCUAUAUCUAUGUGCUGAAAUCUCUAAUUCUCGAAAUCCAAGACCAAGUCAUUGACGAGCCUACUAAGUUUACACAGCAACCACGAUUUGUUUGUAGACUUGUAGUUAUUCAUUUUAUACCCGAAGUUAACAAAUUGUAUGAAAGGUUCAUCCUUUCAAUUAUCUACAUAAUUUAUUUUUUCCUACUCUAUGCAUUCCUAAGUAUCAGAUCGGAUCAGAUCAUAAACAUCACAAUAAACCAUCUAGUGGUAAUUGUUUUAUUUAUAAUACGGUAAUAACAACCACCUAGUGGUAGUUGAUUUAUUUAUUACAUGCUAAUAACAACCAUGAGCUGAUUGUUGAUUUAUUUAUUAAAUGCUAAUAACAGCUAUCAGCUAGUGGUUGAUUUAUUUAUUAUAUUCUAAUAACAGCCAUCAACUAGUAUAUAGUUUCUUGAUCAACUGUUCAUAGGAAGAUUACUGAUCGUUCAUUUAGGCGCUGGGGGGACUAAUUUGAACACCAUAGAUAACUAAACCCGUCUUCAUAGUCGCGCUUUCACUCCCGUCAAGAGCAAAUUUUAAAUCUCCAGAGUCAAAGCUAUUCAAGAAUUCCCCAGCUUUGAGCGAAAAUGGUGUGUUUCUCGGAUAAUUCAUCAAUCCAUAUCCGUUCACUUGCGAGGAUCCAUUCGGAAGAGUAAGUGUAAGACUCACCGGACUUGCUAUGUUAAAGUUGUCUUUCAGCAACACCACAAAAGAUACCUCAUAAGAUAAUUUUUCAAGCUUUUCUGUCAUAUAGUUUCCGUCAACAUGUAGGACUAAGCUACCAAUUAAUUCAGCACUGGCAUCACUGAAAAAAAAUGAUAGUAGAAUUAAAGUCAGAAACUUUUGAUAUAAGGAGCUUAAAUUCAUUAAGGUGAUUUUAUUGAUUUUUUUUUUCUGGAACAUUUUUAAUGUAAGUCCUUCUAUCUACCUAGAGUCUAGACUUCAAUAAAAUUUCUAUAGUCCUUCUAUCACUUUAAUUUAAUGACAUAGUUGCUUAUAUAUCCCUAUUUUUAACUGAAUAAAAUUCAGGUGUUUAAACACAAAUCUUAACCUUUGACGUCAAUUAAGUUAACUAAAUCUUAUUUCUACUUACGUAAACUUCCAGCCUGAAGGGUUGGCAUAAUUGAGUUCCUUUGCAUACACAAAAGCCCAACUGC